AAAUCUUCUCCAAAUUGUCAAAGAGGAUGAAUCUCUAGAAUCCCAAGGUUGCUUACAAGAGAAAAGUCUCAGAAAAAUUGCAGAAAGAAAACGUGGAGAGAAAAAUAGGUUUCUCUGGGUUUUUAUACCCAAGUACAGAAAAAGGCAAAUAAACCCGGUUAAGGAAAACCGGUCUGGUCGUCGAAAAAGGGUGGAUCGAUCGAUCCCCACCUGGGAUCGAUCGAUCCCGAGCUCCUGGAAUGAACACGUCUGGACGGAUGAGGGUUGGAUCGAUCGAUCCCCUCCUGGGAUCGAUCGAUCUCGAGCUACUGGAACUUUUGGCUUCAUCGUCACAAUUGGGAUCGAUCGAUCCACGCCUUGGAUCGAUCGAUCCCCAGCUCCUGGUGAUCUCUUGUACCGUUUCUCCAUUGUUUUAGCUCCGAAUAGGCUCAAUCAUGCACAAGAUGCUCCGAAUCCAGCUCGAGCACCUAUAACCUGCAAAGGACUCAAGACACAACCGAAAAGACGCAAAAGACGGACUUUGACACGAUAGAUGACUCAAAACAUGGACUAAACCAAGACUCGAAACCGUUAAAAACGCAACACAUCACACCUGACGCUCUUCUUCUGUUGAGACACUUAAAUAAAUCUCCAAUCGUCCUCUCCAUUCGUUAAAGACUGGUUUCCUAGGGAAAAAUUCAAUCCGAUGAGUGUUGUCUAUGCACUUUUGCUACGGAGUCUGAGGAUCACAUCCUGCUCCUCUGUGAGCUUUUCUGAGGUGGGAAAUUUGAUUUUCUCUAGGCCUUAUCCUCAACAAAGGUUGUUAUACUCUUGGGCUGAGCUACUUUAUUGGACCCAACGCUCUUCCUCUCCUUACACUUUUAAAGAAUUGCCCUCUCAUCAAAGACUGGCUUCUUGGGAACAAAUUCAAUCUGAUGAGUGUUGUCUUUACACUUUUGCAACAGAGUCUCGGUAUCACCUCAUGCUCCUCUGUGAGCUCUUCCCAGGUGUGGAAUUUAGUUUUCUCUAGGCUUUGUUCUCGACAAAAGUUGUUUUGCUCUUAGGCUGAGUUACUUUCUUUGUCCUAACGCUCUUCCUCUCCAGAGUCACUUAAAUAAUUGCCCACUCGUCAAAGACUGGCUUCUUGAGGACAAAUUCAAUCUAAUGAGUGUCGUCUUUGCAUUUUUGUAACGAAGUCUCAUGAUCACCUUCUGCUCCUUUGUGAGCUCUUUCCAGGUGUGGAAUUUAGUUUUCUCUAGGAUUUUUCCGCAACAAAGGUUGUUUUGCUCUUGGAUUGAGCUAUUUUCUUGGACAUGACGCUCUUCCAGUCAUGUGCCUUCUUUGCUUAGAAAAGUAGCAUCUCAAGUGGUGGUCUAUAAGUUCUGGCGACAGCGUAAUAACAUUCUCCAUAACUCCUUGCGGCUUGCUGCUCAAAUCAUUUUCAAGAUGGUGGAAUGGAGCUACGAAACAUCAUCACUUCGAGAUGAACAAAGCUUAUGCUUAUUUGGAUUCGUUAUCUAUUUCCAAAUCUUUCUUUACUCUACUGUAGUCUUGUUUUUAUCUCUUUUUUUGCCAAGGUUGCUUUUGUGUAAUUAUUUAUCUUUUGUAAAGCCUCAAACUUCAUUUUAGAUCAUAUUUACAUGUUUAGGAAAAAACAAUUCGGAAAAAUGGUAACAAAAAAAAUAGAUAAGCUUAGUAACUAAUAAAAAUUUCUGUGAUCCUUAGCACAAAACAACUCCGCAUUCCUGCAACUUUCAGUACACAUAUUUUUUAGCAUCAUUCGGGUGCCAUUGCAAACAAUAGUAGCCAAAACCAUAAGAAACAAUAUCAUAGAAACGUGAUCGACUAAUAAAUAUUCAGAAAUUAUAUAUACAUGAAAAACAACAAUAUUCGAAUACAUCGAGUGACUUCUAUUCUAGUGAAUCUCAUGAUAAAUAUGGUGAUAUUAUCGCAUUGUUUACUCCGUUCUCUCAAAAAUUUACAACAGGAUCCACCAUGUAGUCGACAUUAUAGACGUAAAUUUAUUAUAAAAUUAAGUUUUUAGCAUACUACCCAAAUUAAACUAUAACAAAUCUAAUUUUGAUUAAAUUAAUAACUUACAAUUCAUCUUCUAAUUCCACAUAAACUUGAUCCCACACAUUAUUAUUGGUUUUCCGUCUUCAAUAUUGCUAACACUCACGACCCAACCAAUUAAAUAUAAUUAUUUAAAUUAAUAGAUCAAACCAUAACAAUGCAAAGAAUAAAAUAUCCAAACAAAAGAUAUUAUGGGACCAGGGAAAUAAACAUACUCAAAACUAAGUAUCAAUUUUCCUAAAAGAUGCGAAUGCGCAGUAAUCAAUCGCACCCAAGGAAGGUAUAUGUGAAACAAAGAUUGAUAAAUUCCAAUGAAUUUUAAAAUCAUAAAAAGUAGGACUAAGCGAACCGAUAACAUGAAUCAAAAUCUCUAAGUGUUAUCCAUCCAGGGCCUGCCCUGAGAUUUGAAGGGCCAAAUACUCAAAAAAAAAAUUUUGGUUAUUUUGAAAGGUUUUAAAAUUUAGGGCCAAUUAUAGUAAAAUAAAUAAAAUUAGGGCCGUUUCGUAAAUAAUUUUUGUUGAAGAAUGUCAGAAACAAAAUUUGGGCUACAGCAAAAGUUUCUUGUUGAUGUCUAUAGGGCCGGCCAUGUAUCCAUCGUCCUUGGAAAAACUUGAAUCCACGAUGACGAUAAUACUCUCUAUCAAUUAUAGUAUGUAUGUCGUGACCCUAACAAACAAAAUAAAAUUGUUAAAGGUAUAGUAAUCUUUCAGCAAACAAUUUAUUUUAUUAGAAAAACCAAAAAUCUGUAUAACCUUUGUAUCAGUAUAAGUUGGAACAUAUCGUCCAAUAUCGAAGAACACUUAAACCUAUUAAGUAUCUAUACUCAGAUACUCUGAUUUUACAAGGGAGCACUGAAGGGUGCAGAUAUGACACUCAUGCUACGAUAAAAUCUUUCAAAGCAUUUCUUGCUCAUCUUCGGGGUUUUGUCCCAUAUUACGAGCCUAGCUAAUCUAAUCAAAUAUACAUGAUGAGAAUAUGUCUUUAUCAAGUAAGUAGUGGAUUGAUUAGGGUUAAGUGGUAUACCAAACCUCCUUAAUUAAGACUCUUGGUCUCUUAGUCUCUGUUUCUAUACCCUCUGUAUUACCUCUUUGUAAAGGAAGAAUCUAGAUUGUUCAACUUCAUGACGUAUUAAUUAAAUUUUCCAACAUGCUAUUUUUACAUUUCACCGAAUCGUUUGCUUCCCGGAACAUUUUCCUUCAAACAUUGAGAAAAAAAAUCAUCAUUAUUUGAUGUUCUAAAACUGAACAACAGAGCAGUGCAGGUAUAUCAUGGAUAUUGAGGCUUAGAGUUGAUACAAAGUUGUUUCUGAAAGAUUUACCUUGCUUUAAUUACAGAAGCAUCAGUGUUGAUUUUAGUCUUUUCUCUCUGUCACAUUUUCCCUUAGCACUGUCUGUUUUCUAGAAGUAGCAGACACAAUCAAAGGUAUCUGUUUCCUUUGAGCGGCAGAGCAUAAUGAAAUAGAUCUUUCAAGACCGUUGAUCUUCUUCUUAGUAGGAUUAUUCAUGGCUCGGUUACUACAUAGACAGAUCUGUGAUGCUAAGUUUAACAUGUAAAAGGAGUUUUGGCUAUAUUCCCGAGGCAAAAAAAAAUACAAAAGGGUUAGCAUCGCUUGCAGUUACAUUCAGUGAAUCAUAAACUUAAAACGAACUCAACAACAAGAAAAGUAUACCAAGCAUGUGAUCAGCAACGUCUGUUGCAUCCUUUUAAACAAUCUUUCAGCAUUCGAGUGAGUUUGCUCUCCCGAUAUGGCACAUGGGAUUCAUUUCCGUUGAGAGCAUACAUGACAUUCUGUAAAGCAUAUAUCAAAGUAUUAACUCUGGCAAUCUCUAGAGGAGCUAGAGCACUGUUUUGUUUCCUGGAAUCUGAUACGAGUAGUUUAUAGAAAAGGGUAUUUCAUAGAUUAUCAAGACGAGAAUUACAAGGACUCGAGGAAUUUGACAAUGGAGCUCCUCCCACUCCCCCUAAGAUUUCUCCAAUUACUCGAUAAAAGACCCUCACAACUCUCUCAGACAUUAUAUAUAGACAUAGACCAAACAAGAAAAGCUAAACCAACUAUGGUUUACCCUCAUAAUAAACCUUGGUUAAAUUGAAACCUUAGUAAAUAGUAAUUAGUCUUUUAACUGCUUCUAUCAGAAUCCUUAUAUCCUAUAAGAGAAAGACAACACAAAUCACAUGCUGACAUAAGAUCAUCACAUAGAAAAGACAAUUAAAAUGUGAUAUUAAAAUACUCAACCUGCCAUAUCAAGAAAGUUCAUCCUCCCAAGGGAGCCUGGAUUGGCGUUGCCAGUGGUAACAUGUAUCAUCACACCUUUAUGGAAUUCUGAGAGUGACUUCACAGGUAUCUGAAAGCAGAAACAUUGAAAUAUUAAUGAUGGUAAUCUCCAAAAUACAUAUGACGUUCCAAGACUUAAUGAUCAAGAACAAUAAAUGACUUGCCUGAGGAAGUCCCUUUAGUUGAAUUUUCCCUUGUGCACCUUCCAGUACAGCAACCACUCGCUUCUCUUGGUCUAAAAGGUCAUACACGGUUUCUUGAGAAACCUCGUAAAUUGAUACAGAAACUGAUACAGCCAUGGAUAGCAUCUCAGACAUUGUAAGAACGGUUAAACCAAGCUCCCUAUCAUUUCCCUACAAACCAUACGAUACAAUAAUUAGCAUUUUUCAUCUAUAGUAUCAUGUCUGAUAAUCAAUACCUUAAUGGGAUUGCUUUCAAUACAUGUAUGAGAUGUGUUUUUCCGCAAUUUCUUGCUCCGUGGGCGAUGACAUUAGCAUCUUUACCCUCACAGACAGUAGAGAUAAGAGGCUUUAUCUCAUUUGAUAGAAUUGAACCUGUGAUUCUGUUUUUUUUUUGUAGCAAUAGUCCAAUUUAUAUGAAUCUUUCGAACUGCCACAACACAAUAGUUAAUAUGGCUUGAAACGUUGCUAAUCCACAACAGACUGUGAAAGAUUUAACUCAAAACUCAAAAGUAUAUUCUACUCAGUGAGAACAUUUUUGUAAAAUUAGAAAAUCGAUAAAUUAAAGAUAAAAGAUCAAUUGAAACAUCACCUGAAUCUUCUUCAUGCAUCGUGGUUGCUUUCAUUCAUCCAAAACAUACAAUCGUUUAAAAAAACAAACACUAUUAGAAUUUAUAGUAACGAAAAUAAUAUGUAUAGCCAAAAAAGAAGAAGAUGAGCAUACCAAGGCUCCUCGGAGGCAACGAUGGGUGUCUGAAAAUUUUAGCAGCGUUGUGCCUCUUGUUGGUUGGAAUUGGAACACCAGCUGGUGUAUAAGGAUCACACAUAACCUGCAUGUAUCAAUAAUCAAUAAUUUCAUGGAUCUGAUAUAGUUCCAAUUGAAUUUGGUACACUAAUCAGAUAAAACAAACCAACCAAGAUGUUGUUGCCUUUAUUGAAGUUUAAUAUAAUAAUUGAUGAUUAAGCGUUACAUAGAUGGAUAAAGACGUGACAAUAAAAAAAGAUAGAUAAAAACAAGCUUUACGUUUUUACACGCCUUGAUUCAAGGCAAGACACCGAAACACCCCGUGAAACGAACCAUGUUCAUACCUAAAUGAAAAAUCCACAAAGAGAUCAGUAUUUAAAAAAGAGAUAAAACUUCUGAUCGCAUCAAUACAAAGAAAUAAUAAUAAUUGAGACUCCUGGUGAAAGAUAAUCAGAGAGAAGCAAGAGAAAAAGAAGAGUUCCCAACGAUUAUAGUCUAUUAGGGUUGUUGAGAGGCCGUAAUUUGCAUCAUGAUGGAAGCAAUAAUCAAACUGAUAUCAAAUUAUGUAAAUACAAAAUCAAAGCUUCUUUUUUUUUUAGUGAAGAAUAUGGUAAAUACAAAAUCAAAGCUUCUUUUUUUUUUAGUGAAGAAUAUUAAAUCUAAGCUGCUCGCAAAAUAUUAUGGGAAAGCUUAUAGAUUUCUCAAUACAUCCAAGCAUAAUUUAAAUAUUAAACAUGAAAGUACUAAAGUGAAAAACUCACCAUAUGUUCGAUUGAAUCAGCAAUUUAAUUGUCCUGAAAUUGUUUAACGACGUUGUAUCCGUAACCUAUAACCAUACAUAAACACCAUGAAUUCAUAUGUGUAAAGCCAAAUAAAAUAAAAAAAAAAUAGAAAACAAAAAAAAUGGGGUUAGUUAUGAUUUGAAAGUGAAACCUAGAGAAGGUAUUUAUAUUAAACUGAAAGGCGGUGUACGAUCUUUAAUUUUUGAAGAUAAUUACAACAACAAGAAAGGAAGAUUUAAAUAUUGUGUUAGAUCAAAUCUUUAUCAAAACAAUUAAUAUUCCUAAAAACAAUUAAUAACUACUAUGGAUAUUAAUUAUAAAAAAAUAUUCCUUAUUUUAUUUGUUAAAAAAUGGAACAAUAACAUAAUGUUUUUUAGAUUUACAAUUAUAUUUGACAUUUUUUUAGAUACACCAUCAUUAUCGGUAUAAAAUAUUAAAGAAAGUUUCUUUUAUUUUAUCAGAUUUGUGAAUUUAAAGAAUAUAUGAUAGUUGUUUUGAUAUUAUCGGCAAUAUCUAUAUAUUUUAGAAAAGUAAAUUUUACUUUUAAAAACAAUUGGCUCGUAAUUAUCACAACAUAAAUUUAUCAUUAAUAUAUCAAAAAUAUAAUUAAACGAUUAAUUAUGAGACACAUCUUUUGUUGAAAAAAAAAAAGAACCAAAAAGGAAAAAAAAACAUGGAAAAGGAAGAGAAAAGAAGAAGACACGACCAAUCAUUUCUCCGACGUAAUUGUAUGUGACUCACGACCAUGAUUAGAUUGGUGGAGAUUAAUAUACCCGUCGAUUUUGUGCAUGCUCCAAAACGAAUAUCCUGAAAAUCUUUCCCACGAGACUCAUUAGUCUCUUUAUUAUCUAAGGUAAUUUAAAAGAAUAGUUUGUUUGAUUGGUUGCAAUUGUAGGAUGCAAGAUCAUAUCAAUAUGAUGGUUUAAAGACAAAGGAUGGCCAAUAUGAUGGUUUUCUAUGAUGAUUCAACAGAUCAAAAGGUGGUUUUCUAUCAUUAAAUUGCCAAAUUUCUGUUAUUGCUAUGAAUAUAUGUUUUAUGGUAGGAUAACAAGUUCUUGGUGGUCAUUGGAUGUUCUUGGUCGAACGAUAAACCGUCAUAAAAAGGUAUGUAAACUACAUUUGAUCCAAAUUUAUUUAUUUUUUUUUCAUUUUUUCGUGUUUAAGAAUAUUACUAUUUUUAAAAAUGUAAAAUAUAUCGAAUUUUUAUAUUUUAGGGUCAGUUAUUUUUUUAAUUUUAAUUAAUAUUCGAAUUAAUUUAAUAGAGGGUAUUUAAGUAAUUACGCAAAAUCAAGGGCUCAACAAGAGCCGAGAGUCCGACACGUCAGCAAAAACACUUCUCAAAUAUUGUUAUUUAUUUAUAGAUGUUAAACAAUACAGGAUAUUUUGGACUAUUCAACAUAUUUGCCUUUUUCCGGGCAGGAUAUAUAUCACAUAUUUUUCGGAAUGUAUAUAAAUUAGAGUAUCGAUAAUUGUGGGAUAUAUGUAAAUUUUGUUGCGAAUAUGUAAACAUUAUCGUAUAAAUGUAAAACUGCUAUAAUUUAAUAAAAUUACAGAGAAAGUUUUUUUAUUAACAAUAUAAACAUAACAUGUAUAUAACAAUUUGUGAUAGUAGAUAUUAUUUUUUCCGGGCAGUAUAUAUAUCACUUAUUUUUCGGAAAGUAUAUAAAUUAGAGUAUCGAUAAUUUGUGGGAUAUAUGUAAAUUUUGUAGCGAAUAUGUAAAUAUUAUCGUAUAAAAAUAAAAAUGCUAUAAUUUAAUAAAAUCACAGAGAAAGUUUUAUAUUAACAAUAUAAUCAUAAACUGUAUAUAACAAUUUGUGAUAGUAAAUAUUAUAAUCGAACCUAUAUUUUGUCUCGUUAGUCUAAAUUUCAGAAUACAUAAAAUAAUCAUUUAUACAAGCCUAAAAAUAAUUGUAAUACUUAGGGUAUGAAACUUUGUAUAAUGAUUCCAUAAGCUACGGAAAUCUGAAGUCGUGUAGCUUUUACACAGUUUACCAAUAGGCACAAACAGUCCAAUUGUUUUACUGAACUAAAUAAUCAAUGUUCAGAUAUAUCUUGAGGAUUCGAUGUAAUCUUUUAAUUUAUUAAUUUAUUAUUAAAUAUGAACACAUACUUGGCUCUUCGAUAUCCCUUAUAUAUUAAUAGGGAAGCAUUCUAAAAAAUAAACCUUACAUUCACGUGUUAUUAACCAAACUGCCAUGCUGACGUGUCGCUUUCAGAGUGACUUUCCACCUAUUUAAAUUCUUACCCAAAUUUUACUAGAUUAUUUACAGAUUUUGCCAUUAGUCUUAAUACAUACAUAUAUCACACAAAUAAAAAAUAAAAUUAUAAUUAAAAAGCAAAUAAUUAGGCAACUAAUCUUCAUAUUUAUAUUUAACAACAAAUCAUGAGAACUUUCUUUAUUUAUAUUAAUAACUUUUUUAAAUAAUUAAAAAAUACACUUUUGUUUAUCUUAUAUUAAUAAAUCUUUAUAUUUAUAUUUUUCUUUAUACACAUUUAUAUAAUCUUCUCUAGCCGAUGUAUAAACAAUCUUUAUAUGUUAUAUCUAUAUUUAAAUGAUAAAAUAUAUACAUUUGGUUAAAGAAUCUCAAUUCAAAACUACAAAAUCUCUACAUCUUUCAUAAAUUUUUAUAUCUAUUGUAGUUAAAUAAAUAAGAUAAUCUCUUUUCUAUAUAUAUUACGAAUACUUAAAAUCCAAUUUUUAUGAAGGGAUUCUAACUUUUCCAAGAAAAAUAUUAUGACCACAUUUAUAUAUAAACCAAAAUUUGGCCACAUUAUAACCAUUUCGUAAAUACUUCAUUCAUACUCUAAGAAUCUUAGAUUUGGAAUACAAAAUCUUAACUUGGAAAUGGAAACUAUCAAAUCUCAUAUUUGCCAAAUUUUUUGGAUUCCUUGUAUUUAAAUUUAAAAAAAAAUCUUUUUAUACUAUAAAUGGUAUAUUGCCAUAAAUGGUAAUAUUUUGUAAAUACUUUUUUUUAUCACGUUGAACCUUUAUUCCAAGUUCAAAUAUUUCACGGGUAAAACGUAUUUUUAUACGAAAUAGUCCCAAAUUUAAAUUAAAAAAAAAUUACAUGUUUCGUUUUACACAAACGGAUCUUGUAUGAUUGGAUUUCGGAUAAUAAUUUUAUUUGAAUCACUUUAUCCCGCAUAUAGUGCGGGUUGUUAUCUAGUAGACUUAUAAACCAGGCGCUGUAAGAAACGAUUAACUACAAGAUAUUUGUUCAACAGAACUUAAAAAAAAAUACAGAACAUGAUUUAAAGUAAAACAAUGUCAUUUGUCAAUAAAAACAUAACACAAUACCAUAAUAAUUUCAAACAAAAGUUACAUAAAUAAUUUGCACUGUCGAAAUAGGGCCAUUGGUGAAGAUCCUGACAUUUUUUGGACCGUCAAAACAAUGAUCAAUCUUCCACUAUCUCAAGUGGACGAUAAGAGGUAAUUCCGCACCGAACUGUCGAUAAUUUCGAUCAAAAUCCACAGCCUCUCUUUUCAUGGCCAAACCAUCUAACACACAAUUCCUUAACCAGAAAAAAUAAAGAACCCUAUCAAAAUAAUCCAAUAAUUAUUUAGGAAAAUAAAAAAAAAUCAAAGAUGAAGGCUAACAUUCUGUCUUUGAUUUUAAAAGAAAAAUCAUGAACCCAUGAAUAUCAAGGGUACUGUUUGCAACAUUUGGCAAAAAAAAAAAAAAAAAGAUUUAACUUUAGGACAACAUAAUCUUUAGAUUUUACCUGUUAAGACGGACGUAUGUGCGAAAUCAUAAAUAAUAGAAGAAAACGCAGUCGAACUCCAUGCACUGUGAACAUAGAAAGAUCUAUUGACAACGGUGUUUUUUUCAAAGUUUUUCUUGUAAGGGUGAGGAGUUGCCUUUUUUUUGUCAUUACAGGAAAUGUGGGUAUUAAUAGCGGCCGAAAAACGCAAUUAUUCAUCUACCAUAGCGUUUCCUUAAGCGCUCUGACAUCGCCCGAUAUAGAAAGUCGGACACUUUUGAUAGCGGUUUUGCGUUGUGCAAUAGUUAAGUAUACAACGAUAGCGUUUAAGACGCUGCUAUUAUUAAUAUUUAUAAUAACGUGUAAUAAUCGUUAUGAUUGGGUUGUACCUAUUUUCAUAAUUUGUUUUUUCUGUAAUAUUUAUAUUUGAUUAAUUAUUUCAGUAAUAUAUAUUUUUUACAAUAUUUUUAUUUUUGUUAAUUAUUUUAAUUGUAUUUAAAUCAAAAAUAAAAUAAAAAAUACAAUAUUUUAUUAUCAUUAUUACAUGAAAUAUAUACAAAAACCUUUUAUUAAAAUACUACAUCAAUAAAAAUAUACAAGAUCGAUAAAUCUCCUAUCUUCAUCUACCCCUAUGUCUCCUAUCUUCAUCUUCCUCCUCUGUCUCCUAUCUUUUAGAACCACAAUGAGCAAACAAAGAACUCAUAUACAAAAAGGAUCACUAAACUCAAAUCAAAGUCACAGACCAAAGGCAUAAGAAUCUAGUCGUAGAUUCAAUCUAUUAAUGCACGUUUGAGCUAAAGGCUUGAUGUAUUCUCGAAUGAAGUCUUGGAUCUGGACGGUUUCUCCGGUGAGUCCAGAUGCCUCAGCUACAGUGACUUUGUUGUAGCAAUGCGAGAAGGAGAACACUUCUCCUUCAAUUCCAAUGCUGAAGUCGUUCGCUAUAUCAGCUGUAGAUACCGCACUCCUAGAAGCCCUCAAUUUCUCACUGCAUAAACUCAUUUAACCAAUGAUGAUGAUUAGCUUUUAUCCAGCAAGAUUGGCUUAUAUAUAAUUUGCCAUGAAAAUUGAAAAUCUUACAUUUCUUUCUCCAUCUGCUUCCGAAUAAACUCCUUGGUGUGUGCAGUGAGUUUAUCUGUCUUGUUACAGCAAAGGAGGACUGAAAUCUUGUUCUUGACAACAUUCGCAUUGGUCAAAAUAUCAUAUAGGUACCUAUUGCCGGAAAAAACAUUUUUUUCAAGAGUGAGAUGCAAACAUGUCUUUUAUGUAUGUGUGUGUGGGAGAGAAAGAGAGGGUUUAAAAUUACUCUGAAGCUGCACGACAGUUUGGGAGGAACUCCAAGGCAUCCACUACAAACACAAUGGCAGCUGCUUGGGGCAAGAAUUCUUCAAGCUUGGGUCGAAGCCGAGAGUGCCCAGGAACAUCAACAAGAUGAACAUGAUUGAUUUUUCCUUUCUGUCGCAUAGAGAAAGCACAUGACGUGGUUUGGUAAUGUGUUAGUCCAUCCCAUCACAAUCAUCUGCACUUGUUGUUUAAGAUAAAACAAAGUAAGAAUCUUUACCUUAGUGUUUUCAGUGUGAAGAACGAAAGUGCCUUCAUUCGGUUCCAUUGAUGUUACAGUACCCUGGUGCGACGAUCCAUCUCGGAGCUGCCAAUCAAACAAUUAUCAUGUUAUAACUCCCCAACAAUUUGCUUAGGCUGAAACAAAAACCAAAUCAUAAGCAUCAAUAGCUAACUGCCGACAACCUCAGCCACAACGGACCUAACCCAACCACCGGAGAUUGUCCGGAUUUCGUUAAUCCCGACAAAUGCAGAUCUAAAACACCGGAUUUAACCACAUAAGCUUAACCGACGCAACCGGAGAAUUGAUUUCGCUGUCACCACCCUCAGCUGCGAGAUCUGCCGCUCAAUAUCCGUCACGGAGAUGACCGAACCCAUAAACCCAAAUACACGACUGAAAUCUGCCUUGAGCCUCCGUCCUCUAACAGCUCGGAAUCAAUAGAAGUAGCCACCUUCGCCUCGCGAGCCGGAAAAGAAAUUCGAAGAUGUCCUCACCGCCACCUUCUAUAUCCUCCAGGACCUCCACUGAUCGGAGAUGUGAACGGGAAGCCAACUGUUUGAUUUUCACAUAAGAGAAGGAUACGAAGAGUCAAGGCAAAAAGAAGAAUAAGUUUUAAUCAAAAGAAGGAGAAAAUCUUAACCGUUGGAUUUAAUUCAUCAAUUGUGGCGAAUAAGCCAAAGUUCAAUCUCAGAGGUUAAUGCUCAUUGGCUAAGAAAAAGAACGGCUCAGAUCAAAGUUAUCAAGACAGAUCAACGGUGUACAUUAAUCGCGUCAACAAUAAGAAUGGACGGCUGAGAUCAAAAUCGGCGCGAUCUAACGGUGUAUGAUUCGUCCCAUAAUCUGGGAGGUUACUUCUCAUUGGCUAGUAAUGAAAAAAUCAGAAAAUUAUCAUAUAAAAUAGUUUAUUAAUGAAAAAAAUAGAAAUUAUUUCUAUAAAAAUUCAAUAUAAGUAUUUCAAUUUUUAGAAUAUUUUUUCUUAUAAGUAUAAAAUUUUAAAUUUAAGAACAACUAAUAUAGGUUAGUAUUCCAACUAUCUAACUUAUAUGUCCAUAAACACUAAGGCAUAUUUUAGGGUUUAGGGUUUAAACUUUGGGGUUUAGAUUUUUUUACUCAAGUAUUAUUACUUUAAAAUAAUUUCAUUGCAUUUUAUUUUGUUAAUUUAUAAAAAGUGAGAUAUGUUUCAAGAUUGAACUUCCAACCCUAAACCCUAUACCCUAAAACUAAACCCUAAACCCUAUACCCUAAAACUAAACCCUAAACCCUAAACUAUUUUUAAAAAUGAAUUUUAUUUAUGUUAUUAUUUGUUAUAAUUAAUAUUAUUACUAUUUCAAACAAAUAAUCCAAAAUCCUAUACCCUAAACUCUUUAAAAUUAUAACUUUGUUAUUAUUUAUAUAAUUAUUAAUAUUAUAAUUAAAUAUUUGUGUCUUUUUGAGAUAUUUGGUUAUAUUUUUUUUCUUUCUUUUUCCUUUAUUUUUUUUUUACAAAAUUCGAAAAUCAUAACCAAAAUCUUAAAAUCCUAAAAAUCAUUUAACUUGAAACCUAAAGUACAUGCCAUAAAAUAAUUGAUUCAAUUUUUUUCCAGUUAAGAUGUUUUAAGUUUGUGUAUUUGUGUUUGCAUUCUCAGAUAUAUUUUUACCAAGAGAAAACAUAUGCCAUUAGUAACAUAAGAAAACAAAGUCAGAGAAGAUCAUUCCCCAUUUGGGUUUCCAUGUGAUAUGAGACAAUACUUCAACCUCUUGAAAACCAGUCCUGUAAGUAGCUUUAAUGGCUUCUAUAGCUCCUAAUGGAAGUCCAUCAAAGGACAUUGCUUCAGGUGGUGGAUUUGGUAACGAAACCACAAGCAACAAGAGGUUUGGAUUCUUCACUGUCACCUAUCAAACAAACUCAUAAAAUCAGAAAACUGAACAAGAGCAUAUGGAUCUUAUACAAAUCUUAAGAGUGAAAAAUUUCACCUGAACAUGGUAACAAACAUCAUCAAAUGCAAUCCACUGAUAAUUUAGCUCCACAGCUUUAUCAAGACUGAACAAAAAUAAUAAUGAAGACCUAAAACUCUACAAAAAGGAUUGAACUUUUCUUCCAUUCUACAAAAUCUACAGGAUGUGGUCGGAGUUAGCCUCAGGUGUGUCUUUUUCACUCGGCAGUACAACUUGCCAAAACAUGGCUAAAUACUAAUCCCAUUCCUCUACAAUCAUUGUUCCUUUGCUGCUUCCCGUAAAAACAUGAAAGUCUAUGUUAAUCGCACUAAUAAAAAAACAGUCCAAAACAAAAAAUGCAGACUUUGCCAAAGAGAAGAACCUAAGAACAUACUUAAAGUGCAUCUACGAUAUAAAGCUUCCUAUGAGAUCAAAACAAAGUAUCAGUAUUUAACCACCUUGCACAUAUGAAACAAGCGAGUAUCUUUUUCUCCUACCCAAAUAAGAAACUAAAUUAUCAUGAAAAAUCUGGUCAUAAAAUAACUUUGAUAUACCUCCUCAUGUUCAUCAUCAAACCAAAUAAAGGUUGUGAUGAGCGGGCAAUCACAUCUCCACUUCCUGCAAUAAAGAUAAAAAAAACAGCAACAUGUAAAUGUGGAAGCUAUACAAACGAAGUACAAAUGGAAGUACCACAACCGGUGUAUUUUUACCUGGAUGACACCACAAGAUCACAAGAAAGCGAUAUCUUGCCAAAACAUGUAACUCAGUUAUUCUCAUGAGCGUAACUCAGUUGCAAGAAGUCAAGAACAGUCACAUAGAGAUCAAUUAGAUAUCAAUUAUUUACCAAAACAUUAAAAUUGAUAUAUCAAAAUGAAACUCAUAAACCUUCAACAGAAGUUUCACCAAGCUCUUCCUGCAAAAGAAAAAAUUCAUCGAUGUAAAUUAAAACUUUACAUGAGACAAAUACCCAAAACCCAAACACAAUGUCACCGUAAAUGUCAAAUUCGACUUACACGGAUGAAGAUCGAUGAAAAGUGACAAUGAAGGAUUGAGACAGAGAUCGAAGUACUAGACUGAGAUUAAGAAAAAACAAUAGAGACUGAAUCGAACGAGAUGCUGAAUUGAACGAGAAAUUGAUACAGAUUGAGACUACACAUAAGAGGAUCGAGAUUGACAUUCAGAGAACGAGACGAAGAUAGAUUUGCUACGAUUGAAUAUGAACAUACCUGUUGGAGAUCGAGAGAUAUCGACUGAGAUUGAGUUGCAGAUUGGAGAAUUCGAGUGAAAUCAAGUGAGAUGUGUUGUUGACUGUGAGAAAUCGAGAGAAAUCGAGAGAGAAGAAGUUUAUUUUGCCUUAAGAAAAAAAUGAAAAAGUGAUGUUUCUUGUUUUAAUUUAUUUUGCCUUAGCCAAAAUUUCACAUUUUUCCCUCUUAACAGAUUCAAUAGCGGGAAUUAAACUUUAGUAACCCGAAAAUUGGCCGCGUCAAUUUCAGCAUGUCCCGCUUAAAUCAUCUAUAGCGUUUACAAUUCAAAAAACGCUAUCUUUAAAUCACGAUCAAGUCAAACAUAGCAGAGACAUAAAAACCGUUAUUUUUUAGUGCUAUCAAUACCCACAUUUCCUGUAGUGAGAGAAUGGUUCAUAAUAACAACAAAGUUCAUAAUUGUGUAGCACUGACUCUCUUUUAUGAAAUUAGAGUAAUGACAUGCGAGUUUCCAAUCCACGACGCCUCAAUCGUUACACCCUACGUGUUCAUCUAACCCGAUACGUAUGAACACGGCUGGAUUAUUAUCAUGCUUCAUAAAAGAAUUUAAAAUUAUAAGCAAUAAUCUGUCUGAAUAAUCACAAUCAUAAUCAUCAAUAAUAUAGAUGUAGAUAUUCGUACCAAAACUCACAAUAGACACACUGAUAAGCCAAUAUAGAUGUAAUCGUUUGGUAGAGAAUGGCUCCAUCGACGUGAUCUGCGAUCAAACAAAAGAAAAAAGCACCAUCAGUAAUCGGUAUAUGGAGAUAGCACAACGAACGAUAAUAAAUAACAUAAAUCUAAAUUUAAUAACACGUCAAAAACAUCAACAAGCAAAAAAAAAAGAAAAAGACGGGGGUUAGUUAUGUCAUAGAAGCGGACACAGGCAAUGUAUUUAUACUGGAUGGAGUUCGACUUAAACCUAGGGUUUUGCUCUGUCGGCGUAAGUAAUAAAAUCAGAGAUAAGCAAUGGAAAAUCAAUAAUAAUAAAAAUAAAUAAUUUGGAUAGUUAACUGUUUUUUUUUUUUUUUUUUUUUUUGACAUCUUUGGAUCGACAAGGCCCGAUCCAUAGCCAAUCCCUACUACGCGGGGUAACGCGACUUAGUGGAGUCGAACUCCGGUGGGGAAGGCGGAGUCAUGUAAUGGAUAGUUAACUGUUUAGAAUAUUAGUUUAAUAUAUACUCAAUAGAAUAAAGGAAUAUUAACAUUUAACGAUCCCGUUAUUAUCGUAUACAAACUCGAUAUUAUCUCACAUUAGUUAGUUUUUAAAAAGUAACAAUACUAUAACUCUCAUAUUUUUGGAAUAUAUUUUUAAUUUAUAUUUAUAAUAACAUAUAUAAUUAUUAUGGUUACCAUACGAUAUAUUUAUAUGAGCUUUAUAGUAAAUAAUAAAUAGGAUAUAAACUAAUUUUAUUCUAUUAGUAAGAUUUAACGAAUAAUAAUUAAUACCAACAAUCGUAUCGUAUCGUAUUGCUAAUAUUCGCCUAUGCAAACCCUAGCAACAUACAUUAUCUUUGAAAUUCAAGAUCAUCGACGAAAAUCUCUCUACGAUGGGUUCGGAAGAACAUAUCAGAAGAUCAUAGUAAAAUUAUGGGCUAGCGAGAUGGAAAAAAAAAAGAUAUCAAGUCUGCACUCGACACUACGUUGAUUUAAACAAAAGGUAGUAUUCAAACCCACUAAAUAUGAAUCUUUUGCCGUCGAAAGGUAUAUGUUUUAUUCUAGGUUAUCAAGCCAAGUAGAUGGUCACGAAGCUAACAUGCGAUGGUGGUAACAUGAUACAAAAAUUAAGAUCACAAACUGGUACGUAAACGAUAUGUAGAAAUUGUGGAUGUCGGAUUCACACACUCAAGUAUUUUUAUUAAUUAGGUCAGAUUACUCUUGAGGGACAAAAAAUGAAUAUGUAAAAAGCUUAUGAAUUGCUACCAAAACUGCUAUAGUAUUUCUUUUUCGAGAAAAGACCCCUUUACAUGGCCAUUGGCCUCCAUAUUUAUACAUAGAAAAACGACAUUUAAAUGGCUAAUUAAAUAUAAUUAUUCUCUCUUAAAUGCGUCCGUUUUGAUCUUUGAUUUUAAUGCUCAACGUUCGAAUUUGAGUUGACUCCGAUCUCCAUGGGCCUCGCCUUUUUGGCCCAAAAUGUCCUUGGACCGACUUAACUGCGACUUCGUCUUUGGACUCAUGUCGAGGUGUAAUCACUUCGGAUUCUCCUCGUGGUGAUAACCACUUCGGCUGUUUCUCCGACUCACGGAUCUAAUGGGCUUUGUUCUUCGUGGGCCAUUACCUUGAAUACGUGGCAAUCUUUGGUUGGUCCCGGACUACUGGUGCGGGAUCCGACACCAACAAUUAGCCCCCCAAGUCUUUCGAAGUGCUAUUCCAAUUCGGAGGACUUUAAUGCUUUAAUGACCAAAGAUUGCGUUUUGAGGAAUCUUCUGAUUUCCCACCAAGAUCCCGUCAGUCCUUUAAUCUCGGCGCUACCCAUAUUUGGCCGCGUGACAUCUGGCGCCAUUAUAACCGUAUAUUAAUUAUUUACUAUUAAAGCGAAAAAACCUCUCCACUUCCCCCGCGAUUCCCAAGGCGAUUUCAUCAUUAUCACCUAGCUUGCGUGAGGUAACUUCUUUCAUCAUCAUUUUUACUUUUACAUUUGCGCUUUAUUUGAAACUUCUCUCUUUUUUUCUUCGCCGAACCCUUCUUCGCCGGACCUUGAAUUUUUCAUUUUUCUCCGAUGACUUCUGAUUCCGAGAGACCCAAAUCCCCAUCCUUUGAAAGAGGCUCUAGUAACGACGAGUGCACCCGCCCGGGUGACAUCGCUGGUCCACAUUACAUGUCUACAUGUACUCUCCAAUCUCUUAAUCAAUUGAGAGAUCUCUGUCAGAUUCCUUCUGGAAUCAUGGCUGAAUCGAUGCUGCCCGGUCCUAUGGAAUCUCCGGAAAGCCAUCGUGACGACUAUUUCUGUGUUUACGAGGUCUAUUUCAAGGGUUGCGGGCUAACCUUUCCUCUUCCUGAGGCCUUAAUCCGAUACUUGGCAGCCCUUCGCACCAUCCUUGGGAUUAUAAGUGUAGCGGCGGAAGCCGGGUAUGUUAUCGGAGUCCCCGAAUUGAAUGAACUUCUUAGCGUAAGGAGUUCGUCGAAGAAGGCGGGAUAUUUCUCCGUGUACCCCAACGCCAACAGGAACAUUAUCUCGCAUCUUCCAAACAAGGAUGAAAAUUGCCAUCAUCCUUGGUUCUUAAUUAAGAAAACCCCCGCUUCGAUCGGAAAUCUUUCUGAUGUACUACCAUCGAAGUGGUCUGCGGAGCCUGGUAGAAAUUAGGUCGCAUUUGCCUUUUCUAGUUAUUUCACUCACUUUAUUAAUUAACUUGUUAUUUUACUUCGCAGCUUUCAUCGCUCCAUCUAUCCCGUCCGAGGAAUUCAUCGAGUUCUUCAAAAUAGUCCUCGAAGGGGAAACCCUUUGGAACUCUUUUACACUUGAACGAUUCCUAGAAGCUAACCACAGACUCAGGAUGAGUCCCCCAGGUCAGCUUCACCAACUUCCGCCUCCUCCCUCAAUUCAGGGGAUGUCAUCUUGGGCCCUUGCGGCCAAGCGCAAGGCGCUCUCCAAGCCGAUAGCUGAGGCUUGCGAGGAGAAAAAAGAAUUUCUUGCGGCUUCUAUAGAUAAGAAGGACUACAGUAGAACCUUGCUUGUUGACGAUGGCAGUGCCGAAGGGGCCAGAUCCGCUGCUGCUUUCAGACCGACACCUCGGCGCGAACGUCGUGGUGAGCGUUCUCCUCGGAAGGCCCGAUCUCCUCGUCGUGACUCUCCUCGUCCUUUCCGAGAUGACUUUAGCAAUGAACCGCUUAAGAACUUGGUUCGUAGGAAGAGAGAUAAAUCAUCUCGUAGUGAUUCUUUUCCGCGAAGGGAGAAGUCAAGGGCCCGGACUGACCGUUCACCUCGAUCAUCCCCUCCUACUGAACCAAUGGGUCCUCCUCGACCUGUUGAUAUGUCUUCCUCUUCUCAGCCUGACAGCGAGAAGACUGCCCGGAGUACAUCUCCUAAAAAGGGAGAUUCUGAGUCUCGAGAUGCUUCCUCGAAGUUGAAGCCUGUUCUUGUCCCCCAAGUCAAAUCGCUUUCAGGUUUGGUGAUUUAUAUUUACUUAAAAGUUUUUGUCUUUGUUUAGAUUCCAAUUUCUACAACUCUUCUUCCUUCGCAGCUAUGGAGAAAGAAGGCAGCGUCUUCCGAUGCUUCAAGACCCGAUCGGGUUCAAUCUUGCCAGAUUUCGACAAGUGGCGCCCUGCGAUUCGUGAACGCUACUUGCUUCACGCUCAUCAUACAUCUCGGGUUAGUUCCGCUUUAUUUUUCGGAUGGCGCUAUCAUUCUUCGAACUGACUCGUCAUCCCGGGUUUAUGUAUGAUGACAGGCUAACGGCGAACUUAACGACAUGAUUGAACAUUACGAAGGGUUGGUUAUUGGACGAGAGAAAGGCGAUCACCAAGUUGCGUGAUUCCGAGUUGGCAAGGUCGGCAUCGAAAGCCAGAAAGGAGGUUAAGGGACGCGGGAUGGAGUUGAUCCAAGGGGCCAUCUGCUUCAUUCAUACCGAGAAAGCUAGGUCAGAUUUGGAAUCAGACAUCAAGGAGCACGAGAGCAACCUGAUUCUGUUGGAUCAAAUCCAUGAUAUAGAUUUCUCCGAGGAGCAAGAGAGGACCGAACUGUCGGCUAAUCUAUCUGAAAAGCGGAGUCGCUUAGCAGCUCUUCCUACUUCGACCUUCAACCCUCACCACUUCGAGGAAUUCUUCACAGAAUCACCUCCCAUAAGUGAGUCGGGUCUAGACUGGGCAGGUAACUCUUGGUUCCUGACAUUUACUACAUUUUUCUUGCCUUAUAUUUUUAACUGACUAGAACUGUCCUUCCUAGGCUCAAGUGGGACGGAAGAUGUCGUCCCACCCGAAGUUCCUGCGGCACCGGAGGUCACCCCGGAGGAUGGUUGUACCGUGGAGGGCGGACCAGGAGCUCCAUCUGACCAAGCAUCAGUCGAGGAGGCGAAUGACGACUGCUGAGCCGGAGUCCGAGGUAGCUGUCGAUCCGUAGUGGCUGUGUCCACUUUAAACUGGGGAUUGUCCCAUUUGGUUUAAGACUUAAUUUCGAACUUGUUUUUGCCUAAGGAGGCUUUAGCAUUCCUUUUUUUUUUUAAACAAGAUAUUUGCCUGAGGAGGCCUUUAAACCUUUCUAGGUUAUGAUCCCAAGAGGGUUCGGUUAAAACUACGUGUGGGUUUGCAAAGUCCACUUUUAACCUUUUGUGGCCUUGUGGUUAUGCUUUCGAGAUUUUUAGGCUGAUCAGACCUUUCUCUUUAGAAUGCGAGAACUGAGCUCGGCUUAACGCGAGUUCCCCACUUCGGGUUUAGUUAACUCUUUAAAUUUGUUGGGCUUGGGCCUUAGAAACUUUUGUAAUUAAUGCGACGGUUGCUCUUUCCCUUCUUAUUUCUUGAAAGUAGGAAAAACGGCUCGUCUUUAAUGCAAUAACUGCCUUUUCUUGAUUUCCAAAAAUGGUUUAAACCAUUAGGGCACGCCAUCAUUAUUGAAUUUUCAUUCCCAAGACAAACUCUAACCCUAUUAUAAAUAAGAGCUUGUUUGCCUUUGAUCUUUCCUCAAGAAACUUCAUAACACCACAUUAAUGGAAAACGAAAACGUAGCCCCCAUUGAUCCUGGCAGCCCACUCUUCUUGUCCGGCGACGGCUUUGAACCGGCCGGCGUUCUUUUCCCUUACGCCGUCUUUCACUUUCCUUCAAAGGAGAAGAAAGAGGCUUGCGACUUUAUUGACAAGGUUAAUAUCUGUCGUCUUUGAUUAAAAACUUUUGUUUUAUCUUAUUCAUUCAUCUUUAUGCUAGGUCGCCGACAAACACCGUCGUUUGUGUGAAGAGAGACAGCGGCUAGGCCUCAAAAGGCAAACACUCGAGGCUCGCAUCGCUCGGGUGGAGAGGAAGAUACAGGCUUUGGAAAGUGAUCCCUUUCAAUGGGAAUGGCGGAACUUUGAUUCUGUCGCUGAGAUCCCGAAGAUGCUCCGGAUGUAUCUCCGCGCUAAAGGAGUUCCGGGUCCCGUGAACGCCCCGGUCUAUACCGUUCCAUCUGACAGCGAAGUAGAAGAAGCGGAGGAGGCCAGCACCUGUUGAAAACGCGUUCGUGAUUGUCCCGAAGUGGAUGCCAAGAACAAGGCGUCCACUUCGAAAGUUAAACCGGCAAUGAAGGAGCCUGUUCCUGAGCCUCUUCCUUAAAUGUUCCCUAACUCUGCUCCUAUUUUGAACUCGUAACUAGGAUCGGACCCGCGGUCCACCGCGGGAGAAUAUUGGUUUACAUAUGUUGCGUUUAAUAUUGUGUGUGUUUUUUAGUAGAACGAAUCGUGUAGUAUACUUAUAAAUAUUCAUAAUAACGAAUUGUAGAGAAAAUGUAAAAUUGUUUAUAAAUAUACCCAUCGUAAUAAUUAUGAUUUACAAAAUAGAAUUUUGUGGUUUAAAAUUCUAAAAUUAGACGAUUCAUGGGAAUUAGAGCAGUCAAAAUAGGUCAAAAACCGCGGGUCCAGCCCACAUCAUCUCACUAUAGGGCAGAUUUGGGAAAAUAUAUUAAACCCGCAAAUAAGCGGGCCACAUGGAUUAAUUCGCAGUGGGUCAUAGGUAUAAUCGGUUUUCAUCCGCGGGUUGGCGGAUCAGCCCGCAUAUUAGUAUUUAUUGAUAAAAUUAUAAUUUAUUCAACAUGUGGUAAUUUAAACAAACUUUUAAUAGUAUUUUGAUUUAAUUAUUUGUUUUAGUAGUAUUUUAAAUUUUGGUUACUUUAAAAUUAUUUAAACAAAUUAAAUCCAUGGACAAUCCCGCAAAUCCGCAUACAUUCGCGGGACGGGUUUGUAUUUCAUAUAUGCUACCCGCGGGUCGUGCGGACCGACUAACUACAAGUCAAAAUAUUUUUUGUCUAUCGCAAAACGGACUUAACGGGACGAAUCAACUCGCUUUGACAGUUCUAAUGGGAAUAUUAUUUAGUCAUACAACAAAAUGAAGUUUGGACAUAGUAAUAAUAGAAUAUGUAUCUUAUUUGUUAGAUGAGAGAUUGAAAGAUGAAGUAUAAUGAUUAAAAAUUAAUUAUUAUUUUUCAUGAUUCACAAAAUUUAAUAAAUACUUAUCAUCUUGUUGAAUAAUUCUAAAAUCAUAUUCAAGAAAUCUUUAUAAAUUGAAAAUUAAAAUUCUUUGGUAAGCUAUAGGUAUGAAAAUAUCAUAAUUUCGAUUUAAUCUAAUUAAAUUAAAAUUAGUUACAUGGAUUUCAUAUCUAUUUAAUUUACACGACCAAAAUAAAAAUAUCUAUUUAAUUUACACGACCAAAAUAAAAAUAUCAAUUUAAUUUAUAAAAUAUAUAGGUUAUUUGUGAUAAAUUUUCUAGAAAUCUUUAGAAGCAAGUAAAUAUCUUUCAAUUAAUGAUAAUUGGCUAAAAUAAUCGAAAUUAAUGACAAAAACGUUGAUUGUUAUGGAAUUAGUCCCAAAAAUAUAUGAACAAAUUUAUUAUACGUAAUUAAUGUAUAAUAUUGUUUGGAAUAUGCUUUUAUUAUUAGUUACCAUAAGUACAAUCAGAUUUUAUUUGAUUUCCAUAAAUAUUUGAUUUUAUUUCGAUUUUUCAUUAUUAAUUCGAAUUUAUAUUCCAAAAAAAUUUCAAAGAUCCGAUUUCAGAAUUUUGGGUCAAUUUUCUGAUUUUAACCCGACCCAUCUUCAUUUGUACUUCUCUUUUAAUAGUAUAGAGAUGGGCUUCGGCCCCUUUUUUUUUAUUUAUGGAAACAUUUGCAUUAUUCCUUAUUCUUCAAAAUAUUCUCAAAGAUACGUCUUUUAAUGCAGGGUCGAUUUAAGAGCAUAAAUCUUUCCGCGAAUCACUCCAUUCCUAGGAUAAAAUCCGCGGCUUACCAGGGACAUGACAUUCCUAUAAAUCGUAGUCUCAAUUUCCCUUUACUCCUCACCGCUCUUUUUCAUUUUACUAGGUAUGGAGUUCAACCUUCGAUGUUCAGAAUCUAUGCCCGACUUCUCCAGGAUCGGAAUGAUAAACGAAGACGUUCCAAAUGAGCCAAACAUGCAGCCUCUUCCACCUCGCGGUUUCUUCAGAUCUCAGAUCCGAGCCCUGUGCGCUUUGAUCAGGGAUCUCCCAAUAAGGGACCAAGGAACAGCGAUGGCAUUCAUAGAGGCACUUACGCUUCGACAUCGGAAGCUUACAUUGGAAAAGAGGAGACUUCGGAAGAGGAUUAACCGGAUGCAACGCAGGCUUACUACGGUAUCGAGAGAUCUUCACAUCCUUGGUUCUCACCCUGGAAAAUGGAUCGAGCUUGGAAUCUCUGACUUCGCUCGAAUUUCGGACUGCAUGAUGCCAAUCCUCGAUCUUGCUGGUCAAGGAGUUGAAGUGUUCUGCUCGUCAACAAGAUUUCCCUAAUCCGAAGUGUACGAUGAGGGACAUUCCGUUUUAAUUGUUUGAAUAAACGCUCUAUUUCCAAUCUCUUGUAUGUUUGCAUAGCCGAACGUUUAUUUGCUUCAUUUGUUUGCUCAGUCGAACCUUUUCCUUUAAUAAAGAAAUAAAACAAAUUUUUAUUAAUAGCUGAACUCGUUUCCGAGCUGCCUACGUACCUAUUUCGGGAUCAAGCCACACCGUAGUUCAUGUACAUAAAAAAUGCAUGUAGCUGUAAACAUAAAACUUCUUUAGCUUGAUCACAUUCCAAGGUCGCUUGACUGGAUUGUCUUCUAAGUCUUUCAACCUAUAAACACCGUUCCGAACCACUUCGGUAAUAAUGUAAGGUCCUUCCCAAUUAAUACCGAGUUUACCGGCACCUUCUUCUUUUUUGUUGUCAAAGACGCGCCUUAACACAUAAUCUCCUACGAAGAACGGCCUACUUUUAACUUUAGAAUUGUAAUAUCGGGCUGCUGCCUGCUGGUAGUUUUGAAUCCGAAUAAAAGCCUGAUCACGCCUUUCAUUUAUAUAGUGAAUCAUUAAGCAUUGCUGAAUUUUCCUCCUCAUUUAACAGUGCUUCUGUUCGGCGAAGUCCGGGCACGUUGAGUUCAGCUGGUACUACUGCCUCCAUGCCAUAAACCAAAGAGAAUGGAGUUUCUCCAGUAGGUCGCCUCGGGGUUGUACGAUAGGCCCAUAGGACGGGUUGGAGUUCUUCAUAACAUCCUCCUUUUAGAUGAUUUAAGUGUUUCUUGAGAUUACUCAAUAUUGUCUUGUUCGCGGCUUCAGCUUGACCGUUUCCUUGCGGAUAUCGUUGAGUAGAGUAACUGACUUUGAUUCCCCAGUCCGCACAAAAGGCAUCAAACUCUUGUGAAAUAAAUUGUGGCCCGUUAUCAGUGACUAUUUCGUACGGAACUCCAUGUCGACAUAUAAUAUUUUUCCAAAUGAAAGUCUUCACCGCCGAAUCCUUGAUGCCAACAUAUGCCUCAGCUUCAAUCCACUUCGAAAAGUAGUCCAUCAAGACCAAAAGGUAUUGUACACCUCGAGUUGACCUGUGCAAUGGUCCGAUGAUGUCCAUUGACCACCUCAUAAACGGGUAUGGGGCGGAGAUGGAAGAGAAUAACUCCGAAGGUUGAUGGAUCAAUGGUGCAUGGAGUUGGCAGCGCUUACAUCUUUGGGCGAAUUUAACACAAUCCGUGAUCAUAGUGGGCCAGUAGUAUCCCAUUCUUUUAACUUUAAAAGCCAUAGCUCUUCCUGAUGAAUGACUCCCGCAUAACCCUUCAUGCACUUCGCUCAUAACGAUUUCGACUUCGGGCCCAAAAAUGCAUAAUAGGUAAGGGUCACUGACACCUCGUCUAUAUAAUGCAUCCUUUGAUAGACAAAAUUUCGCGCUAACGAUUUUCAUUUUCCUGGCCUGCCACUUAUUCUUUGGGAGCUCGCCUGUCGUGAUGUAGUGCUUUAUUGGCUCCCUCCAGUCAGCCCCCCAGUCUUUAGCCGGAAUUUGGUCGACCUUGUUAAAUACUCGUGGCUCUGGUUCGGGAUGCUCGUUUGGUUCUAGAAUAUCCUCCUCGAUUAAUGGCUCGGUCUCUAAUAUUGUUUCUGGAAUCGCAUCUCCUGCUAAGACAAAGGGUUCCUUGUUAGAUGUGUUUGAUCCCUUUGACUUCCUCCGUUUGUUGGGUGGCGGUUCGAUCUCUGGUUCGCCACGGUCACGUGCCGCUGCUCGAGACCUUGUAACGACGAGGGUUUCUUUGUUGUCUUGAAUGCUUCGCUCCGAAAUGCAUUCCACUAGAAUAACUCUUUUCAACUCAGGAUCUGAUGUUGACGCCAAUGCGGCGAGUGCGUCCGCAGUUGUAUUCUCCCCCCGAGGUAUGCAGAUUAAUUUGAAUUUCGAGAAAUUUUUAGAUAGAUCCUUCACCACUUCGAGGUACGCUUCCAUUCUUGAGUCAUUGGCUUCAUAGUCUCCAUUAAACUGGUUAACUACUAAUUGCGAAUCACAAUAAGCCACUAUUUCCUUAGCUCCAACUCCUUGUGCCAAUCGAAGUCCGGCAAUCAGGGCUUCGUAUUCUGCCUCGUUGUUGGAGGCAUUGAAUAACAAUCGAAAUGACUGUUCUAGAAUUUCUGAUGUUGGAGACUCCAACUUGAUUCCCACUCCGGAUCCUUGUUUUGGUAAAGACCCAUCUACAUGUAAUUUCCAAGUUUGGUUCUCCGGUUGCUCUAUCGUUCCAGGUAUUGGUAGCUCGGUCAAGAAGUCUGCUAAAACAUGAGCCUCCAUACUGAUCCGGCUUUUGAAUUCUAUAUCGUACUCGCUUAAUUCCACCGCCCAUUUCGCCAAACGUCCGGACUGACUUGGACUAUGAAGUAUUGUUCGGAGUGGCUGGUUGGUUAAUACUUCAACCGGAUGGGAUUGAAAAUAUGGGCGCAGCUCCCGAGCCGAAGUCACCACCGCGAGUGCGAGUUUUUCCAUCAUUGUGUAUCUGGUUUCCGGAUCCGUCAUUGACUUACUUACGUAGUAAAUUGGCUUCUGUUCCCCGCGGUCUUCCCGAACCAAGACUCCACUAACCGCAUGGUUUGAAACCGACACGUACAAAUAAAGUUUUUCAUCCAUUUCUGGUUUGGACAGUAUAGGUGGAGUGGUUAAGUAUGCCUUAAGCUGCCCAAAAGCUUCUUCACACUUCUCAUCCCAAAGGAAUCCUUUGUUUCCUUUUAGAAUUUGGUAGAAAGGUAACGACUUAUCUGUUGAUCUCGAGAUAAAACGAUUCAAAGCCGCAAUCCGCCCAGUUAACAGUUGUACUUCCUUGAAGUUUCUUGGAGAUGGCAUGUUUAGAAAGGCGUUAAUUUGAUUUGGAUUGGCUUCAAUCCCUCUUUCUGUCACAAUAUAGCCAAGAAAUUCUCCGGAUGGGACUCCGAAUGUGCACUUCACCGGGUUCAGCUUCAUUUGAUAUUUAUUGAGAAUAUCAAAACAUUCCUCUAAAUGCUUAACGUGAUCUUCUUUCUUUAACGAUUUAACCAACAUAUCAUCUAUGUAGACUUCCAUUGUUCUUCCGAGAUGAUGGUGAAACAUUUUGUUAACCAACCGUUGAUAAGUUGCCCCUGCAUUUUUCAAACCGAAAGGCAUUACCUUAUAACAAUAGAUACCUCUAUCAGUGAUAAAUGACGUUUUUUCUUGGUCUUCGGGGUUCAUCAUUAUUUGAUUAUAACCCGAGAAGGCGUCCAUGAAUGUUAACAGCUCAUUCCCAGCGGUGGAUUCUACAAGUCGAUCUAUAUGCGGGAGUGAGAAACUGUCUUUGGGACAUGCUUUAUUGAGGUCUGUGAAGUCGAUGCAAACCCUAUCUUUCCCAUUCUUCUUCUUGACAACGACAGUGUUUGCUACCCACUCCGGGUAUUGCACUUCCUUAUGGACCCUAUCUUCAAAAGUUUAUCUACUUCAUCAUUUACUAUUUUCGCUCGCUCCACUCCAAGCUUUCUUCUUUUUUGUUUUACCGGCUUGAAGCUUGGAUCCACGUUUAGUUCAUGACAAAUUAUGCUUGGAUCUAUGCCAGGCAUAUCCGCCGCUGACCAUGCGAAUGAUGUUAUGUUUUUUCUCAAGAGUUCGAUCAAAGCUUCUUUUAUUUGGCCAGUCAAAGUUGCCCCAAUUCAAAUUUUCCGGUCCGGUUUGUCUUCUUCCAACACCACUUCGAUUACUACAUCAUCUUUUUUCUGCCUGCUAGGAAAUUUUGUUCUUAGUCCCUCUUUUGCGGGCUUCGUUAAUUGCUAUUGAAUCUUCAUACAGUGGCUAGCUAGAUAACACGUCCGUGAAGCUUCUUGAUCUCCCCGAAUUGUUUCCACUCCUCUUGAUGUUGGAAAUUUGAUACAUUGAUGAUAUGUAGAGAGGACUGCUUUCAUUUGAUAAAUCCAGGGAGUCCCGAGGAUGAUGUUGUAAGCCGCGGGAUUAUCGAAGACAACGAAAUCCACGAUCUUUGACACCCGUUUAGCAAGGACUGGUAGUUUGAUUGUUCCGAGGGACAUGGCUGAUUCACUUGUGAAUGCCACUAAUGGAGAUGGAGGCCCUAUAAUGUCUGCCCGACUAAUUCCCAUUCUUUCCAAAGUACUUAAAAAGAUUAGAUCGACCGAACUACCCGUAUCGAUAAGAAUCCUUGAUACUUCGAAGUUGGCAACGUCCAGGGUAAUGACUAAUGCAUCAUCAUGAGAUCUCUCGAGGUGCCGCGUUUCUUCUUCGUUAAAUGAUAUUGAUGCACCUUGAGAAUCGACUUCUUCACUCAAACUUGCUUUGAGUAAAACAUUUCGCCUAUGUUUUUUGAUGGAACUUAUCGAAUCUUGGCAAAAUUUAGAACCUCCUAGAAUCAAAUUGAUCUUACCCUUCGAACAUCUUGGCUCUUCCUCAUUGGAUAACUUUGGUCUUUUAGAAUUUUGAUCUUUGGAGUUAUCCUUUGAUUUGUGGUAUUCCUUUACGAAAUCUUUUAUAUCGAAUUUGGAAAGAUCUCCAUUGGCCCAAAGCUCCGCGAGAUGCCUCUUAAGGACACUACAAUCCUUGGUUAAAUGUCCGGUUACGUUAUGAAUAUCGCAAUAUAAACUUUCAUCACGGACCCAAGUGUUCGACCUUCCUUUUCCUUGGAAUUGCUUUCCGACGGUACUGUUGAAGAGUUGCGACCCAAAUUUUCUUGGUCCUUUGUUCUCCUUAGGCUCAAACUUCUUGGUAGGGACGGUGAUUGCCGGCUUUUCUUGCUUAUUUCUUUUGGCGAAAUUUUCUUUUUCGUCCUCUACUUCCAUCCAGUUGUUUGCACGGAAGAGUGCAUCCUGAAUCGUGUCUGGUUUAUGAAGUAUUAAAUCUUCUUUAAACCUUGAAUCAUGUCGCAAUCCUUUUCGUAGGGCAGAUAAAGCUGAUUGCUGCGAGAUUCUUGGGAGCUUUGACAGCACUCCUUUGAAUUUGGUGAUAAAAACUCGAAGUGACUCAUUUGAUCCUUGUGAUAGGUUCCAAAGAUCGGCAUCUGAAACGCUUUUAUCCAUAAGGAUGGAAUAUUGCUUUAAGAACACAGCUGAUAGCUCGUCGAAAUUGCUGAUCGAACCCGGCUCUAAUUGGGUGAACCACAUUAAAGCUUGGCCGCAUAGAUUUUCCGAAAAGAGCUUGCAGUAACCUGCGUCCUCAUCAGCUUCAUCCAAUUCGACUCUUCCAGCAGCGAUCAGAAAAGCUGCGAGAUAGCUCUUUGGAUCCUCCAAUCCGCUGUAAGGGUCCAACUUGAGCUUCCGGGAAUCUUUGAUUCUCAAACUUGUAAUUCGCGAGAUGAAAGGUGUUCGCCUAGCUUCUUCAAUGACUCGAUUGAUGUCUGGCUCCGAACUUGUAGCUUGAUGAAAUUUUGAUUUCAUUUCUUUUAAUUCCUGGCUAACCUUCCUCGUGGUCUCGAAUUGGUCGAGGUUCUCCUGCUCGUAUUGAGCUGCAAGUUGUUCUUCAUCUUCGAGCUGUGUCUCUCCUUCCAACGGAUGUACUGCCGUAUUAGUAGCACCAUGAGUUGUUUGUCCGCUGGUUUCAUUUCGCGCGACGGAACUUGGCGAGUUGAAUAUCCUUCUUCGGAUUACCACAGGGUUUCCUGCACUUAAAGAGCGAACACGAGUUUGUAUAGUACUGACGUUUUGACUAAGAGAUACUUGGGAUGUUUGUAACGUGUCGACAGCCUUUUCCACAUUGGAGAACUUCUGCGACAUUUCCGACAUAGUUUGUUGCAUGGCUUUGAGGGUUUCGGCCAAUGAUAGCUCAACUGCGUCUCCUCCGGACAUUGCUGCUUAUCUCGGAAAUGUAGUAAAGAAAAAUCUGACCACUCAAGAAUCUCUAUCCCCACAGACGGCGCCAAAAUAUGGAUGUCGGAUUCACACACUCAAGUAUUUUUAUUAAUUAGGGAAGAUUACUCUUGAGGGACAAAAAAUGAAUAUGUAAAAAGCUUAUGAAUUGCUACCAAAACUGCUAUAGUAUUUCUUUUUCGAGAGAAGACCCCUUUACAUGGCCAUUGGCCUCCAUAUUUAUACAUAGAAAAACGACAUUUAAAUGGCUAAUUAAAUACAAUUAUUCUCUCUUAAAUGCGUCCGUUUUGAUCUUUGAUUUUAAUGCUCAACGUUCGAAUUUGAGUUGACUCCGAUCUCCAUGGGCCUCGCCUUUUUGGCCCAAAAUGUCCUUGGACCGACUUAACUACGACUUCGUCUUUGGACUCAUGUCGAGGUGUAAUCACUUCGGAUUCUCCUCGUGGUGAUAACCACUUCGGCUGUUUCUCCGACUCACGGAUCUAAUGGGCUUUGUUCUUCGUGGGCUGUUACCUUGAAUACGUGGCAAUCUUUGGUUGGUCCCGGACUACUGGUGCGGGAUCCGACACCAACAGAAAUGUCUAGAGAUUUAUUUGAUGUUAGGGUAUCAGGUUCUUCAAGUAACCGGAUGUUCUUGGUGGGAUGAUAAACCGGCAUAAAAAGGUACGUUAUUUGCAUUCGAUCCUAUUUUUUUUUUUUUGUAUUAUGUGGUGUUUAUAAAUAUGGAUAAAACCAAUUAAUAAUUUUGCCUAUUAAUAUAUAUAUAUAUAUAUAUAUAUAUAUAUAUAUAUGUAUCGAAUACCGAAUAUCGAAUAUUUAUAUUUUUAUUUUAGGGUAGAUAUGUAUUUUAACCUUAACUAAUUAAUAUUCGAAUUAAAUAAAGGGUAUUUAAGUAAUCACACAAAUUCAAGGGCUCAACUAGGCCUGGGCAUAUGGGUAACCCGUUUGGGUUCGGGUAAAACCCGUUCGGGUUCGGGUUGAAUGGGUAAUGAAUUUAUGGUCCAUUCGGGUAUUCCUAUGGUUUCGGUUCCGGUCCGGUUCGGGUAUUGUCGGGUUCGGGUCGGUUUGGGUAAUACCCGAAGUUUAAAAUCACUUUACAUACUCAAAUGAUCAAAUAAAGAGAAUAGAACAUCAAACAUGACAUUUAAAUACUAAAAUCCAAUCCAAAAUAACAAAGAUGACUAUUUCACUCUUAAGUGUUAAGAGUAGAUUUUAGUUAUCUAUAUACAUAUAUAAACAUAUGUGUAUUGCAUAUAUAUAAGUAUAUAUAUAAGUAUAUAACUAUAUAAGACUAUAUAUCUAAUUAUCUACUGAAAAUAUUUAUACUAAAUUUUAACCCGUGGAUGAUUUAUUUUUUAAAGUUACUAUAUAUAAAAUUUUGCAAAUUGUAUCUCCUUAUAAAAUAUUUAUAUAUUACAAUUGUUAUUAAGUGACAAUAUACCACGAGUCCACAGGAUAAUUGUUAAUAAACUGAGGAUUUAACCUAGGCAUGGGCGUUCGGAUAUUCGGGUCGGGUUCGGAUCGGGUUUUUCGGGUUCGGGUUUUUCGGAUUUAGAAAACUAAGACCCGUUCGGGUAUUUUAAAACUUCGGGUUCGGGUCGGGUUCGGAUCGGGUAUUUCGGGUUCGGAUUCGGGUUUACCCGAAGUAUCCAAAUAUUAGAAAUUUUGUAUCCGAUUCUAUGCAAAGUAUUGAAAAUACUCAAAAAAAUCUAUAAAACCCAGUAUUUUAACCCAUAUCUAACCCAAAGUAGCUAAAACACCCGAAAAUAUCUUAACAUCCGAAUAAUUUAGGCACUUAGGUUAUUACAAGUAUAAAUAUUACUAAUAUAUUAUAACUAUGUACUUAUAUUUUGGAUAUGUUCGGGUACUUGUUCGGGUUCGAGUUCGGAUCGGGUUCGGAUUCGGGUUUUCGUGUUGUGAAGUUUAGAACCCGUUCGGGUAUUUUAAAACUUCGGAUUCGGAUUCGGGUUGGAUUUUUCGGAUCGGGUUCGGUUCGGUUCUUCGGGUUCGGGUAUUAUGCCCAGGCCUAAUUUAACCCGUAUUAAGCGGAAUGUUAAUGAUAUUUUAAAUUUUUAUAAAUAUUGAUUCAAACCCGUCCACCAUAUAAACUCGUUCUGAAAUAUAACCCGUCCGUAAUUUCUUAACUCGUCCCGUGAUUUGUUUUCUAAAAGUAGUGAUUUUAAAAUUUAAUGAUUAUUUAUUAUAUAUAAAAGUUUACAAAUUGUGUCAUUCUCUAAGAUAUUUAUAUUUUAAUAAACUGAGGAUUUAAUCUGUAUUAAAGCGGCAUGUUAAUGAUAUUUUAAAAUUUUAUAAAUAUUGAUUCAAACUCAUCCACCAUAUAACUUCAUUCCGAAAAUAACAUGUCCUAUAAUUUCUUAACCCGUCCCGUGAUUUGUUUUCUAAAAAUAGUAAUUUUAAAAAUUUAACGACUAUUUAUUAUAGAUAAAAGUUUGCAAAUUUGUAUCAUUCUCUAAGACAUUUAUAUUUUAUAGUUUCCAAUUGUUAUUAAUGAACAUUAUACCAUGGGACAAUUUUUGGUUUUAUACAAUCUUUUCAAAAUGAGACUGAUUUGAUAUGUCUAAUAUUGGUGGUAUUAAAAAAAAUUAAGAAUUUAAUCCAUAUUGAAACGGCGGAUUAAUAAUAUUUUAAUUUUUUUUAUUAUUGUUGAUUCAAAAACUGUUCCGCCAAACCCGUCUAGCCAAAAUACCCAUUUAUUUUAUUAAUAUUGAUAUUAUUUAUGAUAUGAUAAUGAUUCAUUGUCUAAAUAUUUUAGUCGAUGUGGAACGUUGACUACACAUUUUUCGUCAAUUGGAUAAUAUAUGUCCGUUUUUGAAAUUUCGAAUCACAAUAUAUGUAAAAAAAUUGAUUUUUUUUUUCCUUUAUGUAUUAUAUGAUGAUUCAAAACAGUGAAAAACAAUUCAAACAAAGAUGAUAGGAGAAUCAUAAUUCUAAAAUCUUACUCAAAUCUUCUAAAUAUCUAAAUUAUUAAAUAUAAAAUAUCCGGUGUAUGAGUUGGGUUAAAUAUAACCCGAUCCAACAAUAUUUUUUAUGACCAAAAUUUGUAAACGGGUCGGAUACCCAUUGUAUCUAAAUGCAUUUUUCCCCAUCCGCUAAAAAUGUACUUCAAAAAUACUAGUAUAGAUACGAUAAAAUUUUAUUAUACAAUACAUAGAAGUUUAAAAUAUAUAGUUUAACUACUGAAAACAAUUAUUAUACUAUCCAGAGAUAUGAGAAAGAGCGAAGAUAGAAUUUUCAAGGAAACUUAUCAAAUAAACUUUACCCACUGCAUAAAACAAAAGCCCAUAUGAGAAAGGGCGAAUAUAGAAUUUACUCAUUUCUAAGAAAAGAUUUGGGCAAAAGAUGAAAGAAAAGAUCUACAUUACUUAUUAAAUAUAUUUAAGUUUUGCAUAGAAACCUACAAAACAUCUAAUAAAAUGAAACAAACAAAAAAACUAAAAAACUUAUAUAUUGGGACAUAGGGAGUAUUGUUUAAAUUUGGCCAAAAAAAGGAGUAUUGUUUAAAUAUUAUCUUAACACAUUUAAACAAUAGUUGUUUAGAUUGUUUUAACCAUGAUACUAAAAACACCUAUAUAAUCUAUGUUUUUUAAUCGUGAUAAUAUUUUUAAAUUGGAUCAUGUAAUAAGUAUUUAUUUGAUACUAUAUAAAAAUAUGAUGUUUAUUUAAAAUUAUUUGAAUAUUAAUAUACUUUGAGAAAGUCUUAUGAUAAUAUUUCUCAUGUCGUAACUAAGAUUACUAUUUUUAAUUUUUCAUUUCAUAUAAAAUAAUUUAAAAAUUCAAAUUAUAAGAAAUUGACAUGACAUAAAGGUGAAUAAAUUUUAUAGAAACGUUUAAUUUGCAUGCUAUUGUAAAAUAUACAUAUUUAUUUAUGAAAAUAACAUUAUACUAGUCCUCUCUGUAUUGGUUGUAAAGUAUAGAAAACAAAUUUACCAUCCUUUUAUCUCUUGACUAUUAUUUAUCAUAUUUAGAUGCAUGAAUAAAUUUAAUUAUAUUUUCAUACAAUUUUGAAAAUUGAAUGUCUACAGAUAAAUGUGUAUAUGUAUCAAUAAGUAAAUAUAUAUACUUCAAAACAAUACAUUAUAUAUGAUGAGAUAUAUAUGCAUUUUACAUAUCUUUAUUAAAAAAAUAUAUAUAAUUUGAAGAAGUUAUGAUAUAAAAAUUUAAUUAAAAAGUAAUAUAUAAUGUUGAGUUCUUUAAUGGUGUCAAUGAUUCAAGCGAAAAUUAAUGUUUUCCUAAAAACUGGUAUUUAUAUAUGUUUUCAAAAUAUCUUAUAAAAAGAUACAAUUGACUUCUCAGCUUUGCAAUCCGAACUAUUUUGUUUCAAUACUUGUUACUUUCCCAACAGUCUGACCAGAAUUUUUCGGCUCUUAAAAUACAACCAAUAUUUUUAGACUAUAUAGAACUAAAUGAACCUUUUUAUUUUAUACAAAUAACUAUGCCUCCAAUUAAAUUAGAUAAUUACGAUUCAUAAAUCAGAUUUAACCAUAAAAUUGUAUUUACUGUAUUGCGAUUAGGAUAACCCGAUUAAACAUGACCUUACGAUAAUCGAUUUUGGGGAGAAAUACAAAAUUGAUUUGGGGAUUUAGGGUUUGUUCUUCAUAACUCGAGCAUCAAAUUUCCAAAAAAACAUGAGCUACUCUUCGGGUUCAAACGGAUUUCAUCGAGAAGCCUUUCCUUCUAGUGUUCUGACAAAAUGCUGCUGUGGAGAAGAUGUCAUCACCUUCACCUCUUGGCCUUUCAUAUUCGCUUUAACAUCUCCAUUAUCGUAUCCAUCGUCUCCGCUUUCGUCGUUUUCGCUAUCAUAUGUGCUUUUGUUGCUGUUAUAUCCGCUUCCACCAUCACUCUCUCCAACUUCGCUUUCAUUGUAAUCGGGGUCAUCCAUAUCACUAUGAUAAAUCAACUCUGCGAUAAGAAUUUUAUCUCUAACUUGGAAUCAAAAUUCGUAUCUAGAUCCCAAUUUCACGAUUUUGGAUUGACAAACCAAAUAUUCCCAAUUUUGGAUUGAAGAACCGAGGGAGGAACCCUAAUUUUGAUUUUCUCUAGAUUUGAGAUAUGACGAUUCGAUUUACCUUUUACGUAUAAUUAAAGAGCUAAACGACAUCGUUUAGCUAUGAUUUUGUUAAAGAAAACAAACGAGAAGCGACAUUGAUUAACUUUCUUUCGCUCUUACUUAAAAUAAGUUAAGUAUCAGAAGUUCAGAACUAAUACUUUUAAUUAAUAUAAAAUUUAUUUAAAUUUCUAUAGCCAUUUUUACUAGAGAUUUAGUUCUUACACUAAAAAUAACGGGUUAGAUUUGAUAAAAUCCCUAUUUGUAUUAACUAAAAUUGCUCAAUGAUGUAGUUUGAAAUUAAUGAAUAAUAAACUUUGAGUGUUGAUUAAACUUUAUUUUCUUAAUGUUAUAAGCGAAUAUAAACUACCAUACGUACCAUCUCUUUUAUGAGAUAUAAUGAUCUUAUACAGUUUGAUUUUUUGACAUAGACCAAUUUAUAUAUACAUUUAUCAACAUUUUAUAUUAUAUUUGAAAUAUGUAGUAUUUGUUGAUAUUAAAUAUACUUGGAAAGACAUAUACACUAGGUUAAUCCUUGACGAACGUUAUGAGGAAAAUAUUUAUAACAUAGUAAUAGCUUUUGCUAAAUUGAUAUUCCCUCCAUUUAAAAUUAAGUAUUAUUUUAUAUUAGAGAUAAUAAUAUCCCACAUUGGAAAGGACAAUGAAUUUUGACUGGUAUAUAAGAUAUAUGGGAUAAUUCUCUCAUUGCCAAUUGGUUUUGAGUUGGACAUAGUCCAAUAUUUUAGAUUUUUAAUGUAAGAGUUUAGUCGACAUUCCACUUUUAAUUUUAUAUCAUUUUAAUGUAUUAAUAAGAAAGAGAAAAGUAUAUCUGAUAUUAAUAAGGGGUAUUGUAAAAAAUUUAAUAGAUUGUUUUAAUAUUUGUAAAGAAAAAUUAAACGACACUUAAACUAAAACGGAGGACGAAUAAAGUGAAAACACUAGUAUAAAUAUGUACAUAUACAAUAAAAGCUCAAUAAAUUAAGAACAUUGAGACUAUGACAUUUUUAUAUUAAUGUGUAAAGUUAUUAAUUUAUCGAUAUAUUAAUUAAUCCAAAUAAACCAAUUCUGGACUAAAGAAAUGUAUUUAUUUAUCGAGGUAUUAAUUUAUAAAGGAUAUACUUGACAUAACUAUCUAAGUUUGUAAAUAAUCAUUUUAUUUUAUAAAGCCAGAUAUGAUAUAUGCAUGUAGAUAUGUGAUGUGGAACUUAAGUACUUUAAUGUAGCAAAUUAUUAUUAUUAUAAAUACUGUUACAAAAGAAGCUAAUAAUUUAAAUUAAAAAUAAAGACAAUUAUCAUUGAUAAUUAUUUCUUAAAAAUAAGAUUACAUCUGAAGAGACAAAUCAAGGCCCCAAUCUUUAGAAUCAUUCAUGAUGGAACUGUUUCCUGUGAACUUUGGAAUAAGAUCUACCGAGUAGUGGUCACGACUUCCAAUGGUUGAAAUGAGAUCCCUUGUAUAAAGCUCCGGGAUAUGAGCAUUGCCACGAACAAGAUUUAGUGAUAAAUCACACAAAAAUGAGGUUGAAGGACAAGAAGAAGGGGAAUCAAAACUCAUGGUCAAACAACCAUGUUCAGAACUAUAACGAAUUUUCUUAAAUGGUUGGAGAUCUGAUUUGGCUAUAGAAGCAUCAAAGAAACAAGCACUAGUACAAAAUUUAUUGAAGGGAGAAAAGUUAUUCAAAGAUCGACAACCUUGUGAAGAUCGAGAAAAUUGGGAGUAUUGAUCAUAGUAGAAGAGGCUAGAAUGCUCCUUCUCCAUAGUUCUACUUAUGUUAUGAGAACAAUUUUGUGGCUUUGUUUUGAGAAAACUUUUUCUUGCUUAAACCCUAGAUUGUAAGACAAUUUGUUUUCAGACUAUAACUCAAACCCACUGGUUUUAUAUAAGGGUUUGUUUGGCUGGCUUUGAAAACAUUUGAUGUGCGCUGUGUCCAAUUUAUUAGUCCAAGUAUCUAACGGUCUUAAUUAAGCUUAUUUAAGCACUUUUGGUAUAAAAUCUUUAGAGUUUGAAAAUCACAUUAAUGUCGUGAAACUAGAAAAAGUUAUAAUCAAAUUAUAUAGAAAAAAAUAAUGCCCAAUAUUAACUUUCUUCCUUAAAUGAUAUUUUAUGUGCUUAUAUUGCUUUCAUAAAACUUUGAAAAUUAAAUGUACAGCUAAUUAAUACUCAAUUAUUGAUUAUUUAGAGUCAUAAUACUCAAUUAUUGAUUACAUGUUAAUAAUGAGUCACAAAAAUUAAUAAUGAUACUGUCAUUUAAUAGAUGCCAGUGCAGAUAGAACAAAAUAUCUAAUAUAAAGUUCUUGUGGCUAGGAAAAAAUUAGUAACUCAAAAUGAAUUUGUUCAUUGAGAAAAAGAAGCAGUUUGUUCUUAGACAUCAAAUUUUCUUUUGUCAAAAAUCAAUAUAUCAGAUAUUCUCUUAAUAUUUUUUUUUGUUGAAAUUUUAUGUUUUAUAAUGAAAAGUCACAAAAUGUAUACUAACCACAUUGAAUGGCAUAACUUUUACUUACAUAAAUUCAGAUGUUAUAAAGAAAAUUAUAUCUAAUCAAAAGAACAUUUUUGUAGAUAAUUCUUUUUUAUAUUAUUAUAUACAAUGUCUAUAAUUUAGAUGCUACGCGAAAAGUGAUUGAUUAAAACAAGAGGAGGUAAAUAAAAUGAUUCAUCCCUAUAAGUGAACCCAAGAAUUGUUUAUCUAAUUAUAUAAGAAACACCGAUCAACUCUUUUGAGUUUCACUGUAUCAGCAUUUUAUAUACAUUACAUUACGUUAAAUUUAAAUUUGUUAUACAUUAUUAUUUUAUUAUUCACGAUAAACUAAUCUUAUUGUUUGCAAUGCUUAGAUAGAUAGCAAACGAAUCUUGACGAUCACAAUAGAUGGUUUUACCGAAAGUUGAACUUAAAACCCAAACGAUGGAUGCUUUGGUCUUGAGGCCCAAAGCAUAUGAUGUAUUUCAUCCACCAUGGAAUUGACAAAAAAAAAUUAUAGUGUAGUAAUAGUGGUCUUUAAAGUUUGUGUUGAAUGUCAAAAAGAAAAAUAUCAACUAGAAAGGGAGAGAGAAGUCGCGCGUGGAUCACACUCGCGGGUUAUUUCUCUCCUAACUUUUCUUCCUUUUCUGAGCACAAUCUCUUGCGUAGUUGAUGGAGGUCUCUGUUGAUUCCGGCGACGAUGAGACCACGUGGCUCAUGGUACUUCAACCGUGAUCCGCUACAUCUUCUCGGCGAAGCUAUCCAUACAAAAUCAAGGGAGCAGUAGAGCGAAGAAGAUUCUGCGAGACAACACCGGUAUGAGCUCUAUCGGUGGAGUAGCAUGCACGCAGAGUGGAAGAGAGUCUUCACGAUGAGGAACGAGGAAAGAAAACGGUUAGAUCUAGGGAUUGGAGAUUCUGGAAGUUUCAAGGGGUCGUCGCGUGAUGGGGGAGGUCGACUCUGGCCCGGUAAAGCUAAGCCACCGUCGAUGGUCCUCAGAUCUACUCCUUACUGUCUUCAACUCUCACGACUGAGCAUGGAGAUUCACGAGAAAGGAAGGUUGGAUCUCUUCUUCCUCCUCAAAACUGCUCUACGGUAGCGGGAUGGCAAUAAAUCCUGGAUCACCAUCUCCGUUCGGCACACGUCGUCCAGGUUCACCGGAGGUUUUCUGUUCUGGCGAGUUUCUGCAGGUCUUGGACGGCGACUCUAUCGUAUUCUACGAUUAGAGAUCAGGGUUUUUUUUUGGCUCCGGUUUAGAUCGGUUAAGUAAAACCUAGUCAGUUUUGUAAUAGAUGGUUUAGUUCGGUUAGAUGCUAGUUUAUUGGAUCCUAAGAGAAAAUGUAUGGACCUAAAUCCGGAAAUAGCCUAUAUUUAUAAAAUUUUCAUACCCUUUAUCAAAAAAAAAUUUUGCGCUGAAAUACCAAGUUUGAGUUUUUCUUUUACUUUCGACAAAAAAAAAAAAGUUUUUCUUUUACAAGUCAUUUUUAAUUUAUAAAAUUAAUCCCAAAAUUUAUAGGACAUUAAUUAAUUAAAAUAUAUACAUUGCUACACUCGUGCCUUCAGAGUUCAGACUCACAAGACCGGUUCUAAUUUCACCCACAAGACUAAGGUAAAAUUUAUAGGACAUUAAUUAAUUAAAAUAUAUACAUUACUACACUCGUGCCUUCAGAGUUCAGACUCACAGGACCAGUUCUAAUUUCACCCACACGACUAAGGUACACAAAAAAUGGUUAUAUGUGUACUACUAUAUUCACGGUGGAUAAUUUUUAUUUUAGAACGUGGGACUACUGUGACCGACUCUAUCUACACCAGGUUGAAAAAUCUCUGAGAAUUGAACUUCAUAUCUGGAGUAGAAACAUUAACUAAACUCUUAGUCAAUCACUGGAGCAAAAUAACUUCCAUCAUUUUAUUGCAAUCCACAAAUAAUAUUAUUUCCUUGAUAGAAAAAAAUAUAGGUAAAAGAAAAUAUUAUAAAAAAUAUUUACUCUAUGUAAGUUUUUUGUUUUGGGUCUAUAAUAUGCAUAUGAUGAUUUAAACUUAAGUGGUGAUGCAACAAUUAAUUACAUUAAUUAACAAAAAAACAUUAGUCAUAAUUUAUAUAUUUUCAUAAGUUAAUUGAUAAAUCCUCAACAAUGGCACGAGCACCUUUGGGCAAGUGGCUUUCCUAUUUAAUUCAUAAAUCAUUCAAAAAUACCAGCGAAUUUUAACAUUCAAAAACUACUAAAUCAGAGUAGGACACAUGGACAUGACAUGAUCCCUUAUGGUCAUCAUAACGAGGAGCUCCAUUUAAAAGUACAAUGUCCAUAUCUCGGUUGUUCGUCAAUACACUUCGACAAUUACAAUUAGGAGACAAUCGGCAUCUCUGUCAUAGAUGACUGCGUGUCAUUCAUCGCUAGCAGCUACAUAUAGAUCUCUUCAUCGGCAGUUGUUCGUCACUCAUCUUGAGCGCCUAUUUUUAGAAGGUCACUCCUAGGUCCGGCUCAUAUACCAAGCCACUAAAACCAUUGCUUUGCUUUGAGCCUCAAAAUUUAAGAGCUUUUUUUUUUGUAGGGUUUUAUAGUAGCAAACAAUUAUUUUGCUUGUUUCGACACUUUGAGGGUACUUUUUUACCUCGGCUUCAACUACAACACUAAAACAAACAUGAAAUCAAUUAAAAGUGUCUCUCUUUUUUCUCUAAUUUCAUAGCUUUGUUUGUUUUGUCUAGUUCUUCAAUUUAUGUUUCAAUUUUGUUCAUGGUUGGUGUUCAUGAUUAAUGAAUGAUUGUUAACCUUAUUGUAUAUUUUCUAACUGUUUCUGGAAUUUGUAAACUUUAUAUGAAAAUUAUGUGAUUUUAUUCAUAUGACUAUUAUUUAUGGUUUUUUAUAAUAUAUGAAAGGGACAUAUUUUUAAGUCUUGCAUAGGACAUCCAAAAAUGUCGGACCGGCAGUCACUCAGUAGUCGGUACCUCCGGGAAAUGGUAAACUAUUGACUAUUGUUAUGACUGUUGACUCGCCUAGUGAACGAAGACUAUAUCUAUGUUGCUAUGGUGCAUGGGCUAUUUGAUACGAAUUACCUUUUCGUCUUUGAGACUCGUAAAUGCAAAACUGUCUAUUAUAUUAUUAAAUUAUUAAUUUAUAAUUAUAACUUCCGGUCAUUCAUAUUAUAAGUAAAAGAUUUGUAAAAUUAAAUUAUUUUAGUUUUGUUAGGAAAGUGACCCCUCAAAUCUUAUGGUGAAGAGCACCAGUUCAUAGUCAAAUGGAUUUACUAAUGUACUUACUAUUUCCAAUAAAACAGUUUUUUUUUCAAAAUAAAAAACAAUCUUUUUUUUAUAACAUUUUCUCUUGAAAGUUGAAACUACUUUCUAAAAUUUUCGAAAUGCUCUAAUAUAUUUCGGGCAUCCCUCUAACUUGACCUUUUAUAAACCAAAUAAUAGACUCAUUUUGCAUAUAAUGCCCGUUAAGUAAAGUAUCAAUUUAAUUGAUGUACGCCAUUAUCUUUUCAUAGCGAAAGUUUUUAUCUAUAUAUUGGCAUAUUGAUAACUUCAAUCUAAAUAACUUCAGGGAGAGACAAACAUAUUAUAAAUAACUAAAUUUUAAAAUCUAUGGAUUAUAGGCUAUACUUGAAACUUUUGUUCAUAUACUUCAGAUGAAAUCUAAAGAAGCUUGGUUGGCAAAGUUACACCUCAUAUCAUGAUGUUGAUCAUCGGUUCCUACUGAAUUUGGCUUUAGGACCAAUAUGAAAUCUAUUUUGUACCCCUUGCUUGCUAACUAUGCUUCAUUCGGUACUAUUGUACUCAUUAUUCCCAAAGUAUCAUAGUUUUUUUUUUCUGAAAGUAGAUGAUAGAUUUUUUUAAUGUCUUGAAAAACAUAGAACAUACUAGAUUUUAACCCGUGAUGUACCGCGAGAUGAUUUAUUUUUUAAAUUAGUAUAUAUAAAAUUUUACAAAUUAUAUCUCUUUAUAAAAUAUUUAAUUUUAUAGUUUACAAUUGUUAUUAAAUAAUGGUAUAUCACGAAUCCACGGGACAAUUGUUAAGAAAGUGAAGAUUUAAUCCGUAUUAAAGCAGCAUGUUAAUGAUAUUUAAAAAUUUUAUAAAUAUUGAUUCAAAUCCGUCCGCCAUAUAAACCCUUUCCGAAAUAUAACCCGUCCCGUAAUUUCUUAACCCGUCCCGUGAUUUGUUUUCUAAAAGUAGUGAUUUUAAAAUUUAAUGAUUAUUUAUUAUAUAUAAAAGUUUACAAAUUGUAUCAUUCUCUAGGAUAUUUAUAUUUUAAUAAACUGAAGAUUUAAUAUGUAUUAAAGCAGAAUGUUAAUGAUAUUUUAAAAAAUUUUAUAAAUAUUGAUUCAAACUCGUCCACCAUAUAACUCCGUUCAGAAAUAUAAUUCAUCAUGUAAUUUUUUAACCCGUCCCGUGAUUUGUUUUCUAAAAGUAGUAAUUUUAAAACUUUAAAGAUUAUUUAUUAUAUAUAAAAGUUUGCAAAUUUUAUCAUUCUCUAAGACAUUUAUAUUUUAUAGUUUACAAUUGUUAUUAAGUAACAUUAUACCACGAGAUAAUUUGGUUUUAUAAAAUAUUUUCUAAAUGAGACAGAUUUGAUAUGUCUAGUAUUGGUGGUAUUAAAAAAAAUUAAGCAUUUAAUCCUUAUUGAAACGGCGGAUUAAUGAUAUUUUAAUUUUUUAUUAUUGUUGAUUCAAAAAUCUGUUCCGCCAAACCCGUUCCGCAAAAAAAACCAUUUCUUUUAGUAAUGUUGAUCUUAUUUAUGAUAUGAUUCUGAAUCAUUGUCUAAAUAUUUUAGUCGAUGUGGAACGUUGAACACACAUUUUUCCCCAAUUGGAUAAUAUAUGUCCGUUUUUAAAAUUUCGAAUCACAGUAUAUGCAGAAAAAAAAUGAUUUUUUUUACUAUAUGUAUUAUAUGAUGAUUCAAAAUAGUUAAAAACAAAUCAAACAAAGAUGAUAGGAGAGUUAUAAUUCUAAAUCUUAAUGAAAUCUUCUAAAUAUCUAAAUUAUUAAAUAUAGAAUAUCCGGUGUCUGAAUUGGAUUAAAUAUAACUCCGACCCAACAAACUUUUUAUGACCAAAAUUUGUAAACGGAUCGGAUAUCCAUUGUAUCUAAAUGCACUUUGACCCACCCGCUAAAAAUGUACUUCAAAAAUAGUAGUAUAGAUUUUGGAAAAUUCCAGUCAACACGAUUUACUCAAAUUACUUUUUACAAAUAUUCAAAUUGUUCCAUUGCAAAUGUAAAACUAUGUUUGAACAUUGCUCUAAGUUAACCUUCCCUAACCUAAAUAAAAGACUCAUUCCGUGAGUUUGGUCUACGAGUCUUUGGCUUAAACAAAUAUGCGAAGAUUUCAGAGGCCUUAUCAUCCUAUGGUUGGAUCAUUCGUCAAUGCGGGCUAUCAUCUUAUGGAAAUCAUCGAGAGCACUACAACUACUCAUCCACCUUCUCCUGCCGCUGGGCAAGAUUUUCCUUUAUGGAUGUUUAAAGAGGACUUUAGACCAUGUUUUUCCGCUAAGUACACUUGGGAGCAGGUUCCAAAAUACUACUUCAUAACCUGUGUUGCUCUAAAGAUAGGCUUGCCACAUGAUCUCGGCCACAAAGUUUGGGAGUUAUACAGCCAUGUCUUCUAUGCAGCGGGCCGAAAGGGUCACAUGAUCACCUCUUCUUCUCCUGCCUGUAUUCUUUCACCAUAUGGAUGGAAAUCAGCGAACCUCUUCUCCAUCAUCACAUAAUGCCGGACUGGAAAGACACAAUCUGAAGUCUGCUUAGCUGUGAAGAGUACAAUCACUUUUUUUUUUUAAUUUCCAUUAAAAAAUGAAUUAUAGAGCUCAGAGGCCCAAAAAGAGCCACAAAGCCCAAACAAAAUAAAACAAAACAUGCGACUGUACAAUCAAAGCCACACCUGCACAUCAAAAGACAACCACAACAAUUACAAGGGAGAACCCUGAAAAACGCUAAACCUAGAACCCAGGAGAGACAAAGCCAGGGGAUAGCAGGCCUAGCCCGGGAGAGAGGAUCAAGACGAGCAAUGAUGGUUUGUUUGAUUACAUUAUCUAUUGUGUAUGGUGCUUAUUAUGCCAUUUAGUAUUCCAUCCCCAAACUUGAUUUUUACUUUUUAGUGACACAACAUAUUAUCAAAGAUACAAAUGUAAAGGAACAAAAUAUAUAUACACGGAUGUACAUUACUAAUCGAAAGACCCUAAAUGUUUCUACUACUUCAAUGUUAUAACAUCAAUGUUAUAGAUGUUCAAGAAAACUGACAAAUAGUUUUGGUUUCUCCACAUACUUCAAAUCAAGGCACAUAACCUUGGGGGGAUUUAAUUCGUUAUGAAUAUUUAAUCAGGACGUAUUGGAAACUGCAAAAAAUUGUAGAACACUCACGCGAUAUAGAUAUUGGAGUAAGAAAAAAAAUUGGGAAAUAAUAAAAGAAAAUUAACUAGAACACAAUUAGAUGUGAAUAGAAGAAGAGAUGAUACAAGGAAAUGAACAUUUAUAAUGAAAUUCAAUAACUUAAAAAGGAUAACAACAAUCUUCAUAUAGAAAUGUGGUGAAUAUAAGGUCUCUAGUAACUAUGAAACCUCUAAAAUGAAAAAUUACAUAACGCAUAAAACUAAAAAAGAUACUCAAAGGGAUAGAGAUAAAUCAAUUCCCCCGCUUUUAGUUUUUUCUUCUUCUGGUUGGAUAUCAUCAUCAUCAUCAUCAUCAAUCUCCACAAUAUUGUUCUUUGUUCCAAUCUUUGAGAUGAAAUUCUCCUCGCUCAAACCGUUUCCUUGCGAAACCAAAUUGCUAGAAAGUUUGGUAGUUUGAAAAGGAGGAAAAGGAAGAACGUUUCUCGAGUUUAAUGGGUAAAGGUUGUUGUAGGAUGGUAAAGGAUUAGGGACCCUUGAAGCUGAACCAUUGGUACUAGUGUUCCCGGUGAAGAAGCGAGUAGGAGUCACACGAGGAACUACAGCCACGUUCAUAUCCGCAAUUCCUCCAAUGACCCCACUCUUGAAAGAUGGGUAAAUUAAACGUUUAAAAGGAUCAAGAGUGAUCCCAAGAUGAUUUUCAUUUGAUAAAGCAUCUUGUGAAUACCCACCUAAGAGAAUGUGAGGCUUAUCAAGGUAAGGGUUAAAAAAGGCGAGUCCAGGGUAGUCGGCUUGCAUCUCCUUCCGCUUUUUGUCCCACUCCCGCUCUUGCUUGUGCGCGUUCUGGUGACCACCUAAGGCUUGAGAGGUUGAGAAUCCUUUCUUGCAAAAAUGACAAGUGUAGAUCUUGUUCGAUUUGGACGGAUAAAACUUCAUGAUCUCUCUUCCUCUUCGGACAGCACUAGAUCCAAAACUAGAGUUCUCAAACCUCCUUUCAGAGGUAACCUCUUGAGGAGAACCUAGUUUCAGAUUAGUGCUCCUUGUUGCCUUCUCUUUCGACUUCUCCAUGGCCACAACAAUGCCUUUGAGUUUUUUGGAUUUGGGUGUGGGUGUGGAAGAGCUUGAAGAAGACAUAGCUUGGUUCUUUGUCACAAAUCUUUUUUUUCUUUGUUCGGAUUGAUAAGUGAUCUUUAUCUGUUUGUGAUAGAUACGGAGCAAUGAGGAUGCUAUUUAUUGAGAAGGUAACCUUAAUGUUCGUUAACUAUUAUGGUAUAAAAUCUCCAAGGGUAAAAUUAAUUUAAAAUCACAACUACUAUGACUUCAUAUCUGGUUGUUUCUUUAACUAUGUUGAUUUUACUUGACUUACAAAGUGAUAUUCUUGUGUGAAAUAUGUAAUAAUAUAAUAGUUAUAUAACUCAGUAUACAAGUAUUAUGAAUCCAUAAUUUUGAAAUUUAUGGUUGUUUCUGUAACAAUUUUUUAUUCUUUUCGUCUCUCAAUAUAACAUUUUUCUGUGAAAUAUGUAACGUAUAAUUUAUAUAACUAGGUAUUUGUUUAUACAUUCUAAUAUAUUGCAUUUAAGUUCUUUUUUUUUUCAGUUUUGUUUAUACUUUCGAAUAUAUUUCAUUUAAGUGUUUAUUUUUAUGUUAGGUAUAUCAAAAUAAAUCCAUAUUGUUAAAUUUUUAUAGUCGAUGUAUAUGUUAUAUAAAAUAUAUAUUCUUAUAAAUAUAUAUUUUUAAAUUUAUAAACAUUUUUGUAACAAUCUUUCAAUUUACUAUUUUAUAUUCCAAAAUAAUAAAAAUGUGAAAUUUGUACCAAAAUAGUUUAUAUUAUCGAUAUUAUUUUGGUUAAAUUUAUAGAAUAAUUGAUAUUUAUUUACUCAUUUAAAUAUGUCGUAUUUACAUGUGCUUACAUUACAUAAAAGUACUAUGAACAUUACUUUAAAAGAAUGCUUUUUCCAACCAUCUUGUUAAGGAAAUUGAUAGUUUAAUGUUACAAAAAAUAGGGCGCGAAAAUUCGUUUGAACAAGUGUUACAAACUAUUAAGUUUUCUAUGAAAUCUCGUGUUUAUUUUUUUGUGUAAAAAUAUAUUAAUAAUUUAAAAUGAAUAAAUAAACAAUAAACCAACUAGUCAAAGUAGCAUCUUUAACUACUAUGGAAGGAUGAUGUUAUUCUUCACUAUUUUUAUAGAAAAUAAUUAGUCAUUGCAAAUACAAUGAAAUUGCAUUCUACUAUAUGGAAAAUUUACCUUGGAAGGUGUUUCAUAAACAUUAAACUUAGACAGCUUGUGAUUGACUACAGUUGUUUCUUUCUCAUUACUAAAAACUAGAAAUAAAAAAUGUGAGAUUUCUUUAAUUAGUUUUCCGGCAGUAAUCAAAUUGUUUACUUUCUUUGUUCUGAUUGGGAGAAAAAUACCCAAAAAGGAAUAAAAUGACAAACAUGGUCUAUGAACUGUAAAGAAUAACAAUUUUAUUCCUUAUAUAUAUAUAUAUAUAUAUAUAUAUAUAUAUAUAGGAAUAUAUAUAUUUUCAGAUAUAUAUAUUCAUAAAAAGAAAGCUUGAAUACCUUAAGUGUCACUUUUUUCUUAAAUGAGACUACUGAAGUAUUUGGUAAAAGAUAUCCAAGAUACAUUCAUGAAUACUGACGUAUUCCCACAAAAUAUCCAAGAUACAUUCAACAUUUUAUAAUUUUUCAAAUUGUAAGUCUGUAAAUAAUUAAUUUUGAGAUGAUUUUCUAUUUAAGCUUAAAUACGAAUAUGAAAAAAAAAAACUAAGGGGAAUAAUUUUUCAAUGAAUAAAUUUGUAUCUAUUAUCCUAUUAGGAAAAGAUUUUCUAAAAAUAUUUGAGAAAUUUAUGAAUACCCUUAGAGCAUCUCCAUCAAAGAGUUGUCAACUUAGGUAUCUCAAAAUUAAGAAAGCAAAAAUAUUUAUAAUUUAAUGUGUGAAUAUCUCAAAUAGUUGAAAAACUCAUUUAAAGAGUUUCUCAAAUGAGAUACUUUUGAGUGGAUUUCUCAAUUAUUUGAGAUACUCACUCAUUAUAAUACUAUUAGUUUUGCUAGAUAAUCGUAUUAAAUAAUGGUAGAGGUGUUCUUAUGUUAUGUCUAAAGAUUGCGGUACUCUUUAUGACUUUAUGUGCUAUUUUAUUAUUGUUUAGUUAUUUCAUUAAUCUAUUUUAUACGAAUAAUAACAGUUAUAAGAUAUUUAAUAGAAAGACUUAUAUAUAUUUUAUCAUUAUAUAUAUCUAGCAACCAUUUAGUUUCUACCACAGGAUAAAAAUUCAGUUACUUUUGUGGAACACUAUACUAUCUGAAACUAUGAAUUUCUAUUUCACAUAAUUAGAACAGGUAGUGACUCUAUAUUUUUUUUUCCGCUAGUAAUGAGUCAAUAUAUAUAUAUAUAUAUAUAUAUAUUGGAAAUGACCGCAUAUGUAUAUCUAAAAUUAUAAUUAAUUAUUACCUUGAAAUAUAUUUAAACUUCUUGUUUGUUUUCUUGUUAACAUGUGAAAGAUUUCAGAUUUCUAAAAUACUUUCUCUGGAUAUAAGUCGCACAUAACCAUAGUGGUAUAUGUAUAUAUAUUUUUCAAAAAAUAAUAUUUUAUGAAUCCCAAACGGGCUGUGGCUCUUGGGCCAAGAAAAUUGCACGGAUAUAAUUACCUUCUAGCUCUGAUGUUAAAAGAACGUUGUGGUGGUGAUGACAGCGUGGUGGUGGUGGUGUGGUGGUGGUGACGACAUCGUGGUGGCUGUGGAGGUGGCGGUGGUGGUGAUAGUGAUGGCAUUGAUGGUGGUGGUGAACUGGUGAUGGAGGUGAGUGGUGGUGAUGGUGAUGGUAGUCACAAGCCAAAAAAAUAUUAUAAGCCAACUAAUAACAUAAUUUUAGGGGAAAAAAAUGGGAAAACAAAAGAGGGGAGGAUCGAAACCGUAACCUCGGCUACUGAAGUUUUUCUCAAUAAUCAGCUGCUCUAAUAGAUAUUAUAUUAAGGGCCACAAGCAUGUGCUUGAUGAGCAUGUGGUCAAGGCCGGCUCUAAUGGUAGUAAUUUACAUCUUUUUUUUUGGACAUAUAUAUUUAAAUCCGAGUCUGGUAAUUUUCAGGGUUGGGCCAGACCGAUCUGCGGACUCUGGUUCUAAUUGAUAUGCCUAGUAGUAAAGGAAAGAAGUGGUGGUGAUGGUGGUAGAAACACUAAAAUGUUGAAGAGAGAAAUGCAAAAUGGUCUAAAGUCUAAACUAUAUAUAAUACACAAAUAUCAUAGAUUCACAAUAUAUUAAUUUUUUUUUGGUUAGUUUACCUAAUAAUUAGUUUGUUUUUUUUCUUGGUUAGUUUUGCAAGAAAAAUUAUUAGUUUUGAAUAUUUUUCUUUUAUGUCCACCAAAUUAUGUGAGCAAAAUUAAUUUUUAUUUCCCACUAUAUAACUUAAAUUAAGAUUGAUUUUUAAUUAAUAUUCCAAGUUUAGUAAUUUGGAAGGAAACCACAAACCUAUUUUGGUCUGUCUCUCACAUUCUUAAGCCAAACGACUUUCCCGCCAAACCUCAUAAAUCAAAGCAACAAAAACUACGAAACUCUUUAUCUAUCAUAAACAAAAUUAUCCUUGUACAUAUUUUCAAAAUUAUGCAGAAUUCACACUCCUAAAGAGGCUACGUAAGCUUCGAAAUAAGAAACAGCUCUUCAAAAAAAAAAACACAAAACAAAAAAAAAAAAAAUCAACAAAAACGAGCUGUUCAUAUAUAAUUUUUUUUAAAAAACAAAAAAAAAACUUAACAAAAAAAAAAUGUCAUAUGGGUACGACGAUGAUGCAAAGAGGAAAAAGAGAUACGUUAUUAUCUCUAUCUCCUCUGUUCUUUUGAUCUCCAUGGUUGUUGCAGUUACCAUAGGCGUUAGCGUCAACAAGUCCGAUAACGGAGGUGAAGGAGAAAUCACAACUUCUGUUAAAGCCAUCAAAGAUGUUUGCGCACCGACGGAUUACAAGGAGACUUGUGAGGAUACUCUUAGGAAGGAUGCGAAGAACACAUCAGACCCGUUGGAGCUAGUGAAGACAGCUUUUAACGCGACGAUGAAACAGAUAAGUGACGUGGCAAAGAAGUCACAGACUAUGAUUGAGCUACAAAAGGAUCCGAGGACGAAGAUGGCUUUGGAUCAAUGCAAGGAGCUAAUGGAUUACGCAAUCGGUGAGCUUAGUAAGUCGUUUGAGGAGUUAGGGAGGUUCGAAUUUCAUAAGGUUGAUGAAGCGUUGAUUAAGCUGAGGAUUUGGCUUAGUGCGACGAUUAGCCAUGAGCAAACUUGUCUUGAUGGGUUUCAAGGGACACAAGGGAAUGCAGGUGAGACGAUUAAGAAGGCAUUGAAAACUGCGGUGCAGUUAACGCAUAACGGGCUUGCAAUGGUCAGCGAGAUGUCGAAUUACUUGGGACAAAUGCAGAUUCCGGAGAUGAAUAGUCGACGGUUGUUGUCCCAAGAGUUUCCUUCGUGGAUGGAUGGCCGAGCGCGUAGGCUUUUGAAUGCUCCUAUGUCCGAGGUCAAACUGGAUAUCGUGGUGGCGCAAGACGGAAGUGGUCAGUACAAGACGAUCAAUGAAGCAUUGAAUUAUGUCCCGAAGAAGAAGAACACGACUUUCGUGGUUCACAUUAAGGCCGGAAUCUAUAAAGAGUACGUUCAGGUGAAUAGGAGCAUGACACAUCUGGUUUUUAUCGGCGAUGGCCCUGAGAAAACUGUCAUUUCCGGCAGCAAAAGUUACAAGGAUGGUAUUACCACCUACAAAACCGCCACUGUUGGUAAUGAAUUAUCUUUAUAUGUUUUACAAAUAUGGAGAUUAAUUUUUUUUGUCUAGAUAUUGCUUAAGGUACAAUGUUUUAAUGACCCGGCACGGAUUUGAUGAGUCUUAUAUGGUUAUUGCAGCAAUCGUUGGAGAUCAUUUCAUUGCCAAGAACAUUGGGUUCGAGAACACAGCCGGGGCAAUAAAGCAUCAAGCGGUUGCGAUUAGGGUUCUAUCAGAUGAGUCAAUAUUCUACAAUUGUAAAUUCGAUGGUUACCAAGAUACUCUAUAUGCACAUUCCCACCGUCAGUUUUACCGCGACUGUACUAUCUCGGGCACCAUCGAUUUUCUCUUUGGAGAUGCAGCUGCGGUAUUCCAGAAUUGUACUUUAUUGGUGAGAAAGCCACUUCUAAAUCAAGCAUGCCCCAUUACAGCCCAUGGACGUAAAGAUCCGCGAGAAUCCACGGGAUUUGUUCUCCAAGGAUGUACGAUUGUUGGUGAACCGGAUUACUUGGCAGUCAAGGAAAAUAGCAAAGCUUACCUUGGAAGGCCAUGGAAAGAGUAUUCAAGAACUAUCAUCAUGAACACGUUCAUCCCAGAUUUUAUUCCGCCGGAAGGAUGGCAACCGUGGCUUGGCGAUUUCGGUCUUAACACACUUUUCUACUCGGAGGUACAGAACACUGGGCCAGGUGCACCUAUCACAAAACGGGUUACUUGGCCUGGAAUCAAGAAGUUGAGUGAAGAAGAAAUACUUACAUUCACUCCAGCUCAAUACAUCCAAGGUGAUGCUUGGAUUCCGGGUAAAGGUGUUCCGUAUAUCCCAGGUCUUUUCACUGGAAAUGGCUCAACAACCAAUCCGACCGAAUUGGGCUCCACAAAUUCUACCAUAACUGGCUCCGGUUCGUCUUCUAACACAACAGGUUCAUCAGAUUCACCUUCGACGGUAGUGUCUCCUUCAACUUCUCCACCAGCUGGCCAUCUUGGUUCCCCACCAGCUACACCUUCAACGAUAGUGUCUCCUUCAACAUCUCCACCAGCUGACCAUCUUGGUUCCCCACCAACUACACCUUCAUCGGUAGUGUCUCCUUCAACUUCUCCACCAGCUGGUCAUCUUGGUUCUCCACCAACUACACCUUCAACAGUAGUGUCUCCUUCAACAUCUCCUUCAGCUUCUCCUUCAGCUUCACCAUCAGCUUCUCCUUCAGCUUCACCAUCAGCUUCUCCUUCAGUUUCACCAUCAGCUUCUCCACAAAGCUCGAUAGGUUAAGACGGAGACUGCGGCUGACUAGAGGUCAUGUGAUUUCUACUCUCAAAGCCAAAAAAACAAAAUUCUAGAAAGUAAACCAUAUUUUGACAAACCUCUGUUUUGGUUUUAAUAUUUAGACAAACUUUAAGGCCUUCAGGUUCAGUAAUCAGUAUUAUUGGUCUGCCAAAUUAAUGUGAAUAUAUCAUGUUCAGUAGUUUUGUAAAUUCAUGUUUAAUUGUUGUAAUUAAUUUAUUAAAACCCCGAUGUAUAUUAAUGGGUAGGGUUUUCUUUUGUAUCCAUAUAUAGAAGAUUUCAUACAAUAUACACUUACUUUCUUAGGCACCAUGAUGGUUGAGGACCUUCGGGUUCAUGCAAGAAUAGCAUUGUCAUAUGAUUCGGGGGAUGACGAAUAGGAGGUAUAAGAGCAUCUCCAACGGAGAGCUCUCUCCACGAGACUCUCUCAAAUUUUUUAUUAUAAAUUUUUUGAAAAUGUGAGAUGAGAACUUUUGUUUUUUUUUUUAAUUUUUCAUAGUCCAAUGGUAGGUUCUCUAGUGAGGUUCUCUUAGAAAAAAAAAUUAUUAAAAAUAUUCUUUCAUAAAACUUAAUAAUUAUUGUAAUUCAUAAAAUAUUAAACAUAUAUGACAAAAUAAUGUAUGAUUAUAACAAUAAAAUUUUGUCAUAAAUCAUGACCUAGUAAUAAUUUUUAGUUAAAUAUAUAACUAUAACAAUAUAAUUUUGUAAUUCUGUCAUAAAUCAUGAGCUAAAUUAAAACAGAAAUAGUAAACCAAAACAUUUAACUAAAAUAAUACACCAAGUCAUAAACAAAAAUUAUUGAAUUGCCUCACUUCAAAACCAAUUGAGAUGACAUUUUCCCUGAUAAAUUUCCUUUCUUGAUUUAUACUUCAGAAGCCAAUGUUGGUUUAUUUCCACAAAUUGUGGAUUCUUUAGUAUGGAAUCUUAUCGUUCUUGAUUACACAUUAUUUGAUUUAUAAAACAGCUCGUUAUAUAUAUGUUUCAUAGUUACAAGUCUAUCACCAAAUCAGAGAUACAUAAAGCCAACAAAACAAACUCCAAGUCUUGUACAUCCAAGUCUCCAUAAGGCCAUGAGCUUCUGCUGCUUGGGGCAAUGGUAAAUACUUGUGAAUCACUGGUUUUACCUUCCCUGCUUUUAUCGCUGGCCAAACAUUCUUCUCGACUUCCGCAACAACAACAACUUUGUUUUCUAUGCUCUUUUGUCUCAACGCAGCUCCUGCAGAAAAAAAAUAUAUAAGAUGCCAAAUAUGAGAAUGGAUUAGUCUUCUCCACAGAAACAUAAUCAACAACGGCAAAACUAAACACACACAUUAUACAAAAACUCAUUAGAAACCAUAUACUAGUCACAGCCAGGCCUGAGUUUUAGUGGGCCACAAAAGAUUUUUUUAUUAUUUUAAAAAAGGCUGAUUUAUAUUUUUUUUUGACAUCUUUGGAUCGACAAGGCCCGAUCCAUAACCAAUCCCUACUACGCGGAGUAACGCGACUUACUGGAGUCGAACUCCGGUGGGUAAGGCGAAGUCAAAUGGACUUAACCACUUGACUAAAGGCACAUCUCCAGGCUGAUUUAUAUCAUAAUUUGUUUUUGUACAUUUAAAAUUUUUAAAAUAAACAUGUGGUAAAUAAACCUUUUUUGUCUCACAAAAAAAAAUAAGGGAGACUCACAAAAAUGCUCCUUUUCUCAUGACCUUUUUCAAAAAUAACCCCUCCCUAAUAGCUUUUCUGAAACUGAUCAUUUUACCUUUAAUGACAAUUUAACCUAAAUAAAAAACCCUAGCUCCCAUCACCUAGAUUGCCGCCGACUACGCCGCCGCUGACGAGAUCUGUUAAGAUUCCUGCCUCUCGCGUUCGUUCUUAUCCAAGCCAGCUCUGCUUCACCGUCGCAAUCUCCGUCUUCUCCAUUAGAUCCAACACAGAAGCUUUUUCUACAUGAAAUUCGGCAAAGAGUUUCGUACUCACCUCGAAGAAACUUUACCUGAGUGGAGAGACAAGUUCCUUUGCUAUAAACCUUUGAAAAAGCUUCUCAAAUAUUAUCCUUACUCUUCCGAUCACCUCGAUUACGCCAUUGCCUUGUAAAACUUUUAAAUUUUAAAAACCUUAUAAAACCUUUUAAAUGAUUUAUAAAUCAUGUUAUGUAUUAUAAAUACUUUGUAAAACCCUUAAAACACUUUGUAAAAUCAUUAAAACACGAUGUGAAAACUUUUAAAAUACCUUGUAAAAUCUUCAAAAUACAUUGUAAACCCUUUAAAAAACUUUGUAAAACUUUUAAAUUUUAAAAAUCUUAUUAAAAUUUUAGAAGAUUUUAUAAAAACCUUAUAAAAUCAUUUAAAAGUUUUAUAAAUCAUCUUAUAUCUUAUAAAAUACCUUGUAAAACCAUUAAAACAUCUUGUAAAACUUCAUAAAAUCUUUUAAAACACAUUGUAAAACAAUUAAAAUACCUUGUAAAACCUUUAAAAUACCUUGUAAAACAUUUAAAUUUUAAAAUCCUUAUAAAACAUUUAAAAGAUGUUUUUUUAAGUUUUAUAAAUCAUCUUAUACCUUAUAAAUACUUUAUAAAACCAUUAAAACACCUUGUAAAACAUUUUAAAAUACAUUGUAAAACCCUUUAAAAAACGGAAAAAAACUUUUAAAUAUAUUGUAAAACUUUUACAAGAUUUUUUAAAGGGUUUUAUAAUGAUGUUUUAUAAGGUAUUUAUAAGAUUAUUUUAAUUUUUUAUGAGGUAUUUAAAAGAUUUUAUAAAAGGUUUUAUAAGAUCUUUAAAAGUUUUUGUAAAACGAAAUUGAUGGACCAACGAUUCACAAGAACCAUCAUUUAUAUUGUCGACUGAAUUUUAUAUUAGCAAAUAUUAGUCUCCAAAGACUCACAAACUAUAUAACGAGAUCCAUCAUCUAAGUUAUCAACUCCAACAAAAAGUUUGCACAACAAAAAAUCCACACACACUAUUACAUAAACCAGUGGACCCACCCUCAAACUGUAUGCAUCCCAAGAACCAUUCGUUGAUUCACAAACCAAACUGAAAUUGUAAUGCAAGACCUGCAAUUUUGAAUCUUCACAAGUAUCAUCUGUGACUUCAAAUCUGAUAGAGGCUUUAGAUAGGAGCAUGCCUCUUCUCACCGUCAGCCACUUGCUCGUGAAGCCAAUAAACACCUGGCUAGAGUUGAUUUUUUAUUUGUCAUCCUUAACAACAGCAGAAACAAUCAUGGUCAAAUCAGAGGUUUUCCCAACCAAAAGGAACACAACGAUAUUCAAAGUAAUGCUCAAAACGAAUUAGCUCCGAAAAUGGCGUAAUCAAAGUGGAAGCUAGAUGUAUCUCUAAAAACCAGAAACUCAAAGUUGAUCCAUGGAAUAAACAAGAAAGCUAAGAAGCAAGGAGCAACGUAAUAGGGAGAAGUGAUUCCAUCAACAUUCCUCUCGAUUCUGGCCCUAUUACGUUUAUUCCAUGAAUCAAGAAGCGCUUGGAAAUUGAAAUUGGCAACAUUAGAGGCGUUGAGAAGCUUUGUAACGUGGUCGAUUGAUUCAACCUUCGCCUUGAUCCUAUUCGCACUAUCUUCUUCUCGCGUUUGAGAUUUCGAUGCGGUAUCGUCUAGACUCACUUAAAUCUACAUCUUCCACUCGGUGAUGCUUGCUCGUCACAAACCCCCCCAAUCACUCGUGUCGUCGUCAUCAUCAUCAUCCAUUAUCGUCAAGAGAAACCCCAGUUUAUUUACAUCCAGUGGGAUUCGAAUUAGGAAUCAACGACGGUGUCGCCGGCUCCUCCGCCAUUUUCAACAGAUUACGGGUUCGAUGGAGCAGACGACGACAAGAGAAGAUGGGAUUUUAGGGUUUUGGCCUGCAACAUGUAUCUCAUUAAACAAGGGUAUUUUGGUCAGUUUAGAUAUUUUUGAGGGGUAUUUUUAAAAAUGACCAACUGAAAGGGACAUUAUUAAAAAAGGGCAUAUGAAAUAGGGCAUUAUUAACAAUUUCUCAAAAAAUAAACCUUUUUUGUUGAAAUAUUUCCGUAAUUUAUUUAUACAUCUGUAGAUAUGUAGAAUAAUUUUUGUUUUGUUGAAUAAACAAACAAAAAAAUUUGGCUGACACAAGAAUCAAACACAGGUUAUGACCAUCGCUGGGAUGUAAACUACAAGAAAAUAUGGGUAUACUCAUUUGUAGCGACCAAAUUGCGACUAAUUUACGACCACCUUUCGACUCACUUCAAGUAGUCGUUAAUUUGUCGCUAAAUAGCGACCAAAACCAAUAGUCAGGCAUGUAGUCGUCAAAAAGCGACUAUGCGACGACUAUUUUGUGGACAGGAGUGAAUUAUCGCCAAAUUAGCGACUACAGUUCGACCAAAUUUAAUAGUCGCUAUUUUGGCGACUAAUUUGUGACUCAUUCGUAAGCUAGUCACAAAUUAGUCGUAGUUUAUAGUUAGAAAACACAUGUUUUUUGUUAUGGGGUUGGUGUACCGGUUUUUGGCGACUACGGCAUUUAGUCGCUAAUUAGUCACCGUCAAAAUGUAUAUAUAAAGAAAAUUCAACAACUCUCUUCAUUCAUGCCAAAUAAAAAUCGUUUGGAAAACAAAAAUCAGAGAAAAAAAGAAAAUUUUAGUUUUUAUUAUUCUCAUAAUGGCGGAAAAUUACAAUUAUCGCGGUAAUGGCUGUUUUUAUCGGGAGUGGAUGUACAAGAGGUUCUCGAUUAAGUGACGGGAAAUUUUACGGCAGAAUUCAAAGCAAGGGUUGAAGAAUUCAUGACGUUUGCUAAUAGUCAGCCCAUAGAACAGAGUAAUCGGGGUAAAUUUCAUUAUCCUUGUAGUGUGUGCAAGAACAAAAAACAUAUCGUCUCCGGUAGAAGAGUUAUGAGUCAUUUGUUUAGUCAAGGAUUUAUGCCAGAUUAUUAUGUUUCGUAUAAGCAUGGAGAAGAAAUCAAUAUGGAUAUAGGAACGAGUUAUGAUGAUAGGACGUAUCUAAGUGAGAAUCAUGAAGACGUGGGUAAUGUUGUAGAAGAUCCACAUGUGGGUAUGGUGAACGAUGCAUUUAACGUGGGAUUUGAUUAUAACUAUCAUUAGGAUGGUAGUUAUCAGAAUAUGGAAGAACCGGUACGUAAUCAUUCAAAGAAAUUGACUUGUUAGAAGGUGCAAAAAAUCCAUUAUACAAUGGUUGUCGUGAAGGUCAGUCGCACUUAUCCUUAGAUGCUCGAGUCAUACAAAAUAAGGUGUGUGGAUUCGAGCAGCUAAGGAUAACUACGACCGACCUUCACGACAACCAUCGUAUAAUGAAUUUUUUUGCACCUUCUAACAAGUCGUAGAAUUUAUUUGAAUGGUUACGUACUGGUUCUUCCACAUUCUGAUAAUUACCAUCAUGAGUAUAGUUAUAAUCAAACCCCACGUUAAAAGUAUCGUUCACCAUAUCCACAUAUGGAUCUUCUACAACAUUACCCACGUCUUCAUGAUUCUCACUUAGAUACGUCCUAUCAUCAUAACUCGUUCCUAUAUCCAUAUUGAUUUCUUCUCCAUGCUUAUACCAAACAUAAUAAUUUGGCAUAAAUCUUUGACUAAACAAAUGACAAAUAACUCUUCUACCAGAGACGAUAUGUUUUUCGUUCUUGCACACACUACAAAGACUGUGAAAUUUACCUCGAUUACUCUGUACUAUAGGCUGGCUAUUAGCAAACGUCAUGAAUUCUUCAACCUGCUUCGAAUUCUGCCGUAAAAUUUCCUGUCACUUCAUCGAGAACCUCUUAUACAUCAACUCCGGAUAAAAACAGUCAUAACCGCCAUAAUUGUAAUUUUCUGCCAUUAUAAGAAUAAUAAAAACUAAAAAAUUUCAUUUUUUCUUUGAUUCUUUUUUUUCCCAAACGUUUUUUUUUUCCAAACGUUUUGUGUUUGACAUGAAUGAAGAGAAUUGUUGAAUUUUCUUUAUAUAGAUAUUUUGACGGUGACUAAUUAGCGACUAAACACCGUAGUCGCCAAAAACCGGUACACCUACCCCAAAACGAAAAACACGUGUUUUCUAACUAUAAACUACGACUAAUUUGUGACUAGCUUACGACACGCCGAAUGAGUCGCAAAUUAGUCACCAAACUAGCGACUAUUAACUUUGGUCGGAACUAUAGUCACUAUGUUGGCGACUAAUUGGCGACAACCCACUUCCGUCCACAAAAUAGUCGUUGCAUGUCGCUUUUUGACGACUACAUGCCUGACUAUUGGUUUUGGUCGCUAUUUAGCGACAAAUUAACGACUACUUAAUGUGAGUCAUAAAGUAGUCGUAAAUUAGUCACCAUUUGGUCGCUAUAAAUGGCGACUAUAUACAUAGUCGUGGGAUGAAUUAAAAUCAAUAUAAAGUUUAUAAUAUUAUGAACAUAUUAAAAAAAAUAGCACGGGACGGAUUAUAUUGCGAGAAGGGUUAUAUGGCAGGUCGGGUUUGAAUUAACAUUAAUAAUAAAUUUAAAUAUCAUUAACUCGCCGCUUCAAUACGGGUUAAAUCCUCAUUUUAUUAUUUUUAACACCACGAUUAUUAGACAUAUCGAAUCAACCUGAUUUAAAUAAGAUUGUAUAAAACAAAAAUUAUUUCGUGGUAUAACGCUAUUUAAUAAUAAUUGUGAACUAUAAAAAUAUAAAUUCCUUAUAAAAUGAUACUAUUUGUAAAUUUUUUAUAUAAUACAUAAUCACUAAAUUUUAAAAAUCAUUACUUUUCGUAAAUAAAUCGUCCCGCAGGUUAAAAUCUAGUUUUUAAGUAGAAUGUAAUGCAGACAUAAUGAGAAGGUAACCUCAUUACAUGGUGGUGAUUUGGCUCUAAUUUUUACUUUGGUCAUUUAUAUUAAAGAAUAUAUAUAUAUGUAUGUUUGUGGUGUCAAAAGAAAUCAACUUAGCACGGUUGGUAAUGUAUAUAUCGAUUGUACGAAAGACCAAGGAGUUCAAAUAUUAUUUUUUAAUAAAAUGACGCCGUUUUGUGUAGUUUAACAUAUAAUCUCAUUGUAAAUUUAUCUCCGUUAAUAAAUUUAUCGAUGUGAUUUAUUUAGUAAAAUUAAGAAAAAAUAGAGAUUAAAAUAUAAAAAAAAUCAACAAAAUUUAGAGAUUAUAAUGAAAAAAUUAAUAUAAGUUAGCUAAUUAUUUUAUCAAAAACAAAGUUAGAGCUUUUGGCAUUUUUGACAGUUGAGGACUUUUUGACAUUUUCUCAUACAUUGGACUUAAAUUAGACAUGUCAAUUAGGGCCAAAGCCCGCAGGCUAGCCCGGCCUAGCCCUGAAAAAUAGCUGGCUCGGGCUUCAAAAUAUAUGUCCACAAAAAAUCGGGUCUUUCGGGCUAAGCCCUUUAAAAAACAUUUUGACAUAUUUUUGUUAAUAUUUUCGUUUAGUUGUAAGAUUUGUUGUAAAAAAAAUUUUUAGUAGAGUUGAAAACCCUAAACUUAUUUUUUUUGUUGUGUAUUACUAUAAAUCGAAAAAGCAAAUAUUAGCUCUACUACCUAAUUUGAAUUAUUUUGAUUUUAUAUUUUAUCUAGUAUAAGUUUAAAUAAUUUAUUUGGAUUAUUUAUUUGAUUUUAACUCUCUUUUUAAAAAAUUAAAUUAGCGUUAGUGGUUUUUUUUUUUUGACGUCUGAAUUUAUUAUUUAUUGCAAAUUGUGAGAACUGUUACAUAGACGAUUCUACAACAGACAAUUCCUUCCGACCCUUAUUAGAUCCACGACAGACGACACUUCCAACUUCAUGCUCUUGACGGACAUCUUCAAUGAUCCACGACCUGACGACACUUCUCUCUCUGCGUAGAAUCCUGGCGAACGGCUAUAAUUGUACAUCGCUGGAGAUCUCCUGCACACUUGCUUCCAUUAAUUUGCAAAUUUAUUAAUAAAUCGCAGUACCUGGGACUCGAACCCCAGACCUCUUGGUGUAGAAGCAUUAAUUAACCCUUGAUCAACCAAUAGGCCAAGGGGGCUUCCACCUAGCGUUAGUGGUUAUUUAAAUUUUGAUUGACUCGUUUCAUAUAUAGAUUUUUUUUUAAGAGAUAUUAGAAAUUAUAAGUUUGUUUUUUUGUUGUCGGAAGAAAAACCCAAAAAAGCCCGAAAAAGCCUUGUAACCAUGUUAGGGCCGGGCCGAGCUUUAAAAUAUAGGCUCGAAAUUUUUACGGGCCGAGCCGGGCCUGGCUCAAAUAUAUACGGGUUUUGCGGGCUUCGGGCCGGGCCGAGCUAGCCCAAUUGACAUGGCUAACUUAAAUAUUGAUUGAAAAAGACAAGAAAAUGGGACUUCAAUAAAAACGUUAAUUGCAAAACGUACCCAUGAUGUCUUUUUCUUGGCAUAAAGUACCAUAAAGUCUUAUUUGUUACAAAAUUAACCCCUCUAGUUAUUUCGAAUAAAUAUCUUUCUUAUAAAUUUGACCAAACCCUUAAGAUCUAAUUUUCUCUGUUUGAUUUUUCCUCCCAACAAUGGCGGCUUCAUCAUCUUCUUCCUCUGACGUCUCCUCUGACUCUUCAGACUCUCAUCGUCGCCGUAAGGAUUGCCGUCGUCACCGUAGAAACGAUCGAGACAGAGACUCGCUCAAAGUACGGAAGAAGAGCCGAUCCACCUCGAAAAAACGCCGUAGACGCCAGCACUCCUCCGAUUCCUCCGAUUCUUCUUACUCCGAUUCAUCCAGGUCCGUUGAUUUCUUAUCAACUUCUCUCACCGAUUGAAAACCCUAAUUUUCCCGUUUGGUUUCAUUUCUGGAUCGGAGACCUUGAUUUUACAUUUUGAAUUGUUCGUCGAUGUUAGGGUUUAGGGUUUGGUUUGAUGGAAACUAUAUGAGAAUAUCGUUAAUGGAGCUUUAUAGAUUCAUUGAAACAGAAACUAGUUUGAUUUCAUUUUUGAAUCGGAGCAUUUGGUUUGACAAUUUGAGUUUGUUCGUCAAUGUUAGGGUUUAGGGUUUCGUUUGAUGGAGAAUAUCGUUAAUUGAACUCUUUAGGUUGAUAUAAACAGAAAUUAGAGAAAACAAAGAGUAAUAUUUGUGUUUUUGUCGCAGUGAGAGCUCAGAUAGUGAGCACGAGAGGUCACGAAGGCACAAGAAGCAUGAAAAGCCAAAGAAGGUUACUUUGUUUGAUCAAUUCUUAAUCAUGUGAUGUCUCUCUCUUAUGGUGUUCAGCUUAUAAGUAUCAAUUUUUUUGUUUACAGGCUAAGGAUAAGGAACGAAGCAAGAGUCAUCGUCAUAAACGGCAUAAGAAUAGAGAUAGAAAGGUGAGCCAUUGUUUCUUGUUAUGCCUUAGAUAAAUUUUCAACAAGAUAACAAGUUACUUAUAAUACUUCUUUUGCCUUUCUUUGUGGCCUCUUCGAACUUGGAGCUGGGGUUGGUGAAAUGAUAAACUGGGGACAUUUUGUUUUCUUCGGUUUGUUUGUUUUUUUCUUUUUGGUCCUGGCAAUGUGAGUGUUGUAUAGAAAGGGGAAGGAGAAGGAAGCAGCGGGCCUGUUAAACUAUCAAAGGUACUAAAGCGAUAUACCCAUAAAGAUCUUAAGUUUAUAUGAAGUCCAUGUUUUUUGGCUAAACCGUUACUAUGUUCUUUCUGAUUCAGUUGUUGAACCGUGACAAAGAGGAUGGUGAGCGUAGAAGUGCUGUUUCAGGGAAAAAAGUCAGUCUAAAACUCUCUUUUGGGUUGUCUAUCACUCCCUUCACAAUAAAUUGAUGUUCUUUUCUCACUUCUUCUGUGUGUUUGGCUACAGAUUCUGCUGAAGGUUGACAAGUCCAAAGAGGACAAAGCUGCAGAGAGCAAAAGAAAUGAACUACUUAAGUUCUUAAACGCAAGUUUUGACUAGUAUUUUUCGCUUUUGUCUCCAUGACAGGAUCUCAAGAACAACAAGAAUGUAAGAUGCUAUCUGAUUAGAUUCUAGUUUGCGUAUCCGUUUGGUGAUUCGGAUGCUUGUUUUGUUUAUCCAGAGGACUAAGCCUGUCAUGGAUUUGAGUUGUUAUUAUAGCCAUUUGAACUUAUAUUUUGACUUCUAUUCUCUUGUUUGGUCUUAAAACUUUGUGUUAUCGCACACUGUUCUUCUUGGAAACCCGAGAAAUGGUUACUGAGAUUUUAUCGGUGCGUACAUCAAACCAGUUCCAACUUCUAAGUUCCAUACUGGAACUUUCGAGCCAUCUCCGGUUACCAUGGAGUUGUGUUCCAAUGUUGUUGGAGUACAUACACUUGUGCUAAGAAGCCUUAGAUCAUCCCUAUUUGACAUGUUUCAUGAUCAUGGAAAUACUAUUUUGCAAGAACCUAAUUUUCGCAUAUGUGAAGAGUUUUAGAAUAUGUAGAGAGAUUUUUGCCCAAAAAAAAAAAAAAAGAGUAUGUAGAGAGAUUUUGGUGUCAGGUGGUCCAACAAGAUAUCUUAUUAUCAUUCAAAACCUCAAAAUAUGAAUUGUGUUUGGCUAUUAAUCAUCAGAUUCACAAUAAGAGUUUUGAGUUUUUUUAUUGUCAUUGCAUGGGUAAUCAUCCGUAAUGGUUGUUUUUUUAGGAAUGCGUUGAAAUGAAUAGUUCUACAAUUUUUAUAGCGAUAAAGAUUUGUAUAAAUAAAAAUUGAGUAAACACGAAUCUUUGAAGAAUGAAAAUCAACGUAUCGCCGUGGAAAAAAACUCUCUUAUUGGACUGCCAAUGUGCUUAUGUCGUAGAUCAGGACUUGCCGUAACACUGAUCUAACAUUGGUAACCUGGCUACGACAAGUUCUUAAUAUCAAUCAAAAUAAUAAAUUGAUUGAUACAAAACGGCAUGUAUCUUUGUAAGUACCUAUUAGCUUUUUGAAGUAAUGGAAUGAAAUUGUUUAUAAAUAAUAGAACAAUGCAAUCCAAACCGAAUUCUAGACAAGUCUCAAAGAGGCUAGUAGUAGUAAGAUUAAAAGACAAAGCAAAAUAUCCAAUAGUCUUAAGAAGAGAAACAGAACUUAAAACAAUGUCUGGAACAGGGCAAAGAGGAACCAGUGUUCCCUACCAAAACUUCGAUACUGAAACCAAGCAAAACGAAACACAACAAAGUUAUCUUAGACCUUGAAUCCACGACUCUUUCGCUUUCCUCUAGCUUUCUCAAACUUCCUUCCCUUAUGCCUAACAUAUGGCUUAGUGCUACUGUGUGGCACACCAGGAGCAGGUCCAAAAUGCUUCACUGCUUCACGAGAGUUCUUUGGUCCUCUAAGGAGAACCUGUCACACAUCAAACACAGCUCAGUCUCAUAUAUAUUAAACUUGAAUAUCCCAAGUAUUCAGAUCAAACACCCAUGUAAAAUCUACUUACUGUGUUCUGGCCCAAUGGAGCUUUGAGUGCAAGCUGGUCAAAGGUUAAGCACUCUCCCCCAGCUUUCUCAAUUCUAGCUCUAGCCCUCUCUGUGAACCUCAAGGCAGUAACUUUAAUGGCAGGAAUCUCAUGAACUCUCAAAUCAUCAGUGAUGGUUCCAACCAACACAGCAAUCUUGUCCUCCUAAAGAAGAUAAAAACCACAACAUUUCAGUACUAACAAUCAGAAACAAAAUCUAUAUCAGACCAUAUUCUCACAUACUUACAUAACAGGACAAUGUCAAAACUUAUAACUUAACCAAAUGAAAAUAAAACUACAUGAAAUGGGGUUCUAGAUUAAUUGACCAAGGACAGACUUUAAAUGUAUAUAAAGAGAGAGAGUUUCAAAAGAUCGAACCUUGCCCGUCAUGAACUCCACAAGCCUAGAGAGUGAAAGAGGAGCUUUGUUGACUUUGCUCAUGAAAAGCCUCUUUAGAAUCACAGCAUUGAACUUGCUUUCAGAUCUCCUCACCAAAAACCGGUAAAGCUUCAAAAUUUAUCAAAAAAACGACCAAAUCUCAAAACCAAAUGUAACAGACAGAGAAACAUAACUAUGUAAUAGACCUGUCAAUGUUUUGUUACCUUGACGAGAAGCUUGAGGUAAACAUCAUCGGACUUUGGAGCAGUCCUUUUUGUCUUCUUACUCUUACCUCCGGCGAUAAGAUCGAUACCCUACAACAACAACGACAAGACCAAAUAAGCAAUCCAUAACCUAAUGAAGAAAUACAGAUACCACACUCCAAAUCUACAAAAUCUAGAUUCCACUAUCGAAACGAAGAAACCUAAGGAACCAUUAUACGCUAAACCAAUAGAUCAAGCUCGCAAACGGAGAAUUCAUUUGUUAAAACAUAGGAGGCGGAGAUCAAGAAUUACCAUGGCUGCGUCUGCGAGAGGAAAAUGAAGUUAGGGUUUAUGAAUUUAUAGGAGCAACAAGCAAGCUCGCUUACAAUUUAGGUUUUUAUGGCUUUAUCUCGGCUUUAGGCUCUUUGGGCCCAAAAUUACAAGCCCAUUUCUUAAACAUCGUUCGGCUCGGGAGAACCUAUCUAUAUAUACAUCUAUAUAUACAUUUUUUUAGCACAAUUAGCAAAUAAAUCCUGGAGUUGGGAAGUAUUUACAACUUAUGCCAUUGGCAUUUAUUAUUAAGUUACAAAAUUUAAAUAAAAUAUAUUAACCAAACGAUAUCUUGCCUAAUUUGUUUCUAAAAAUCUCUACACAAUCUUUCCAUAUAUCUUCAAAAAUAUUUUCCUGAAUUUUACUCUACAAAAUAUGCAUAAAUCCGAUUUAUAACAAAUAUUUAUAUUAAAAUUUUGCAUAGUAAUAAAAAUACUAAUUUAUAAUAAUCAAAAUAUUCACAUAGAAAAAUCAUAUACACAUACAUGAAAAAAAACUAUAUAUAUCAUCAUUUAAGCCGUUGCUUUAUUUAAAUAAAAAAAAUAACACAAAAAGUAGAAAUCAUAUACUUUAUAUGAUAAAUUUAAAAUAUAUAUUAGUAGUAUAAAUUUAAAAUCAUUCAAGAACGGUAUACCACGGGUGAGAUCCUAAAAUUAUUAGAUUUUAUAAUAAUAAGAAUUUAUUUUCUUGGAUUUUAUAACACUAAUAAUUUAGCUAAUGGAAUAAUAUAGAUGGGUUUAUAUGGGAUGACGGGUUUAGAUCGAUAUUAAUAAAGAACAGUUUAUUACGGAUGAAAUCCUAAAAUUAACAAUCAAAAUACAAUUAUACAACAUUAAACACAAAACAAAAUAUACAAUAUUAACAAAACAAAUAUAACUUGAAAUUUAAAAAAAUUAGUUAUAAAAAAAUCGACCCGCGGUAUACUGCGGAGUAAAAUAUUCAAAAUUUUAAAAUCUACCAUACAUCGUUACUUAAAAAAAUGUAUGUUUUCGAAUCUAUACUUCAAAAAUUGAAACCUAAACAAUAGUAAUCAUACACUAAAUAAUAUAUAGAUAAAUAUCUACAUUUAAAAAUACAAAUUAAUAUGAUAUAUUUUCAGUUAAUCUUUAAAAAAAUAACAUUACAUUUAAAAAAAAUAUAUAUAGCCCCGCGGUGUACCGCGGGUUAAAUUCUAGUUUUAUAUACAUUUUUGGAUGACAAUUAGUAAAAAAAUCCUGAAGUUGAGAAGUAUUUACAAUGGCAUGCCAUUAGCAUUAAUUAUUUAGAUUUAUUUUAUUUAAGUAAAGAUUUUUAAAUGAAAUUCAUUUCUCAUAUAUUUAGCAAAAGUUUCUACAAAAUCUUUCCUUAUCUAUUUAAAUAAAGAUUUUGAAAUCAAAUAUGUUCUCAACAAUUUACCAAAAAUCUCUACACAAUCUUUUUAAAAAUCUCGACUUAGUUAACUUCUGAUUUUUAUCUGCAAAAAAAAAAAAUUAAUAGCAAUGAGUGAUGUAAAAAUCGGGAAUGUUGAUAUUACAAUUUCUUCUACUUCUUUUUUUUUCAUAUAAUAAAAAUUAUUUUUAGGGAUACUUUCUCAAAACCUCUAAAUAAAACAAAAGGUUUCAAAAGAUAGCUUCUCUUUCAAAACACGCAAACCCGCAACUCUCUACGGGCUUAUCCGCAUGAACCUGCGACCCGUAGUGGAUAAAAAUAUUAUUCAAAAAAAAUAACAAAUGAUGUUUAAUUUUACGGGACGGGGUUAUAUGGUGCAACGGGUUUAGAUCGAUAUUAAUAUUAAACAAUAUAUUAUGGAUAAAAUCUUAGAAUUAAAAAUCAAAAUUUAAUUAUAAAAUCAGAAACACUAAACAAAAUAAACAAUAUUAACAAAACAAAUACAACUUAAAAUUUUGCAAAAUAAUUUUUUAGUUGUAAAAAAUCGACCCGCGGUGUACCGCGGGGUAAAAUCUAGAUUUGGAAGUUUAAGGAAGAAAAAUCUUUUUUUUAAAAUAAUAGCUCCGCGGUGUACCGCAAGAAAAAUCUUUCUCUUAAACUGAGGCAAGAAGAAGAAGAAAGCCAAAUGUUGUUUAAGUGUAUAUAACUAUAUAUAGAUAUACCAUUUAAACCUAAAACACAAUUAAUAUACUCAAAACUAUUAAUAUAGAUAUAUGGAUGGUACAUUUAUAAAAUAGGUCGAAAUAUUAUAUUAUACUCUCUAUUAAUAAACAAAACUAAUUAUAUUUAGAUUUUUUAAAAAAAAAUUAUAGCCCCGCGGUGUACCGCGGGUUCAAAUCUAGUUUUAAAAUUAAAAUUCAGUAUGAUUUUAUGAUUAAUAAAACAUAUUUAUGUCAAACAAUGUUGCUUACCAAAAAAAAACAAUGUUGCUUACCAAAAAAAAAAAAUGUUGGUGUUGGAUCCCGAAAACGAGGAUCUUCGACCCGGGAAACAUUCGCACUUCGUUAAAGUGCAAUUUGCUAGAUACAUCGUCAAAAUCAGAAGUCUCGGAUUAGAUAAGAAUAAGGGAAACGACCCGAUCGCAAAGCCGAAGUUAAAAAGAAAAUGAAGUAAAUUAGGUCAAAGAAGAUAGAAUUAAAGGUUUAAACCCCAAACUUUCCUAUUUAUUUAUAAUUUAUAGUUGUCCAGAUCCACAAAUAAUAAUAACAAUAAUCUAUUUGUAAUUUUUGUUUUUUCUUUAUUAAAGAUACACUAUUUUAAAAUAUAUUUACAUAAAGAAUUACUUUUCAAAAACAAUUACGAAAACUUUCAAAUUUAUAAACAUAAGCAUAUAUCUCUCAAACAUACAAAAAAAAAAAAAAAAAACUAGUCUGUGAUAACAAAAAAAUACUCUACAUUUGUGAGUCUAUGAAUUCAGUAGAGUUAUUUUUCCACUUCUGUUUUAUCAGUCAGAAACUAAGAUAAUUAAUUAAAAAUGAUGAAUUAUUAGAGUACACGUGUAAUAAAAAAUAGCAAACCUAAUUUAGUAAGCAUUUACUCAAAAAAUGUCGAAUAAUAUUCUUGCCUUGAUUAAGAUUUUCUUGUAAUGCAGCAUCCUUAAAACUUUCUACAAAACUUAUGAUCUUGUUUGUUAGUUGGAAUGGACUAAAAGAUGAUGUUCAAGGAUAUAAUAAAAAGGUGUAAUCGUUUCAACGUGACAUAAUAUAUAUGUUUUUACUUCCACAAAUUGUAUUUUUCUUUUACAAUUAUGUAUAUAUACAAUUUGACCACAUACAAAUUAUUAAUAGUUAUUGAUUGAUUUUUUCUGUGUUGAUUUUAGGUUUGGAUUAAUUGUUUAAAUGAUAUAGAAGAUUCUAUAUUUUUUCGGCAAAAGUUAUAUAUAUAUAUAUAUAUAUAUAUAUAUAUAUAUAUAUAAUAUAAUGCUUUAGUUGCUUCAUUGUCUUUAGAGUUUUAUGAUUUGAUUUGUCAUUGCACUUGUGAAUAUUUUGUUUGGUUUGUGAUGAUUGUAGUUGUUGUUUUAAAAAAAUGGAUAAUAUGUUACAAAUGUGAGUGAUAAAAACAAUUUGAAUGAUCAAAAUAUGGUUUAUGUAAUUGAAGAAUGUGGUCUUCUAGAAAGUACAAAUAAACGACAUAUAUAAUUUUCUAUGUAAAGUUUCUAAGCGUUGGAAAAACUUUACAAAAAUAAGAGAAAGAUAAUUCGAUGAUAAAAAUAAUAUUAGAUGCGUAUUGUAAAUGAAAUUAUUUAUAUGUAUACAUAGAAAUAGAGUUCAACUUUUCUUCAUCAUAUAUAUAAGAACUUUUACAUAAAAACAUCUCUUGAAUUAAAACUCGAAACCGGAUGUGUUAGUGUUUCAAGAAAUGAUAGCAAUAUCAAUAUAAGAAUAUAAUCUUUUAUAUCCAUUUGUUGAGUUAAAAUGAUUUGUUUAUUGAGUAAAACACUUUUGUUUUCAAAAUUAAGAUAUGUGAAGACCUACAACACGGUUCAUGUGAUUGUUAGAAAAUCACAAAAAAAUGAUAAAAUGUAAAACACUAGUAUUUUAGUUUUCGUUUUUUAAUGCAUGAACUAAUGCCAUCCCCAAAAGAUUAUAUCAUGAACUAAGGUGGUGUUAUUCAAUGAUGGAUUUUAAUAGAAUUGAAAUCCAACACUAAUCCAGUGUUAUUAACCUAAUGAUUCUAAAUCUAACUCUAAUAGAUUUUAAAGUUUGGUGUUAUUCAACUAAGAUUUAAAAUGCUUCAUUAAAAUCCAGUGUUAUUCAAAACUAAAAGACUUGUAAAAUCUUUGUAUAUCAAAUCAUUUGAAAUGAAACAUCUUUGGAUUUCAUGAGUAAAUAAUUAGAAUCAUAAUCCUAGAUAUACUGCAGAGAUUUUGAACUCCACACAAACAGAUUGUUAAAAACAAUAUCAGAAAUCAAAUCUAAACCUUUAAGAAUUGACUUUAACUCCAUGAAUGAAUAACACCCCCUAAAUGACUGGACUGUCGGAUAGAUUUAAGUUUAUAAAAUUUAUAAUUAUUGUGGAAGUUAUUUUUCUGUUGACAACAAAAUCGGACAUCGAUGUUUCAGUAUUGUUUAGAUAGUACAAAUUUAAAAAUAUUUCUUCAGCAUAAAUUAUGAAUAUAAACAUAUGAAAUGAGAAAAGUUCAAAAGCUAGCAAACACAUCAUCUCAAAAAGAUGAGAAAGAUAAAAAAAGGAAUUGAAGUACAAACGAUUUUGAGCGUUUUUCACCUAUAUUUUGCAUUUCGUUCAUCUAAAUCUUCUACGCUUUUAAAAGAUGUGAUCAUACAUAUAAUGAUUGAUUUCCACAGACGAAACUCAAAGUCCAUUACUAAAUUUGAAAGAAAAACAUAAUCUAACAAAGGAUAUUGUUCAAGGGCUUGGUGUAUAUUCAUAGCUACGCAAACCCCGUAAAUAAUACACCGUGAUUGAAAUAUGAGCAAUACCUUAGCAAAAAUCCAAACACUUUAGAAAAUAAUAAGAUAAAAACUGAAAUGAACAUAGGAGUUGAGAAACAACCAAAACAACAACAUACUAUUAUUUCUAAAAGCUGAACACAUUUAUUUUGAGUAAGUUUUUAAAAUUAAAAAGAUAUUGCUAAUUUUAAUUUGCAUGUUUUUCUUAUAAAGUGAUUACAUAUUUGAAGGAUAUGUGAUGCAAAUUAUAUGUUUGAAAUAUUAAAUAUUUAUUAGUUUUAAAAUCAUGGUACUUAAGAUUAUUACCCGAAAGAUAAAUUUAUAUUGUUGUAAUUCAUAUUGUAACAAGGUAAAAUUAACAAACUUUGAAAGAAAUUAUUUCUAGUAAAAAAUACUUACAAAAUUUACAAAUGUUUUGAUAUUUUGUAACAAUUUUAGAAGCAUUGUAAAUUUUUAACUUAUAAAUUGUAACUUCAUUGAUUAGUUAUUAAUGGAAGAAAAAAUGUUCAAAUGCAUUCUAUAUUAUUUUAUUGUGCGUUUACGAAUAGAUUAACGAUAUAUAAAUUCAAAACUUGUUGUCUUAAUGUUUGAAAGCAUACAAUCAAAAAAAUUCAAACCAUAGAGACCAAAUUAUUAUUAUGCAAGAAUCAUCUCCGAUAAAACACAUUCAUCAUCAUCAAUUGAACAAUCUAAUAUUAUAAACUAUGUCGCUUUAAUUUAAAAAAACUUUUAAUUAUGAAAUAUAAACUGUGCAACUUUAUCACAAUAAUUCAAUAAUGGAAGAGUACAAGCAACAGAGUGGUAAACACAUUUACAAAGUAUAUGUGUGUUAAAGAAAUGAGAUCUCAAAAGAAUAUUUGUUAAAGUUAUUUGCGAAAUAAUUUUAAUUAAAAAUUCGUAAAUAUUCUAAUUUUUCUUUAAUAAUAACUAUAAAUUUUUUAUUUAAUUAUCAAAAUCAAAUACCAACAAACAAAGAGAACUACCAAUAGUUGGUGGAAAAUUUUUAUAUUUGUCUAAUGUAUGUUUUGACAUUGAAUAUGUGAUAAUUCAACUUAUGUAUUGAUUUAUCAAAAAUAAAAUGAAUGUAUAUAUUACAGAUAUUUUGAUAUCUCAAGUUUAUUCUCUAAAUGAUUUGUUGUUUAAAAAGAAUGGUCACGUAAAAAUAAGAUAUAUGGAUAAUGAAUGUUAAUAAAAAAUUUAACUAGUUGGUAAAAUAAGAAACAAAACUUUGUUUCAUGGAACGUGAAAGCAAAAAUGUACACGUGAGUUUUUCUAGAUUAAGAACUUACUAUCUCAAAUUGUUAUGUGAGAAAAAUAUUUGGUAUGGUACAUAAUAAACUAAGUACGUGGAUGUUGACAUCUAUAUUAUCAAAAGAUAAUAAAAUAUAGACUAAGUUAUUUUUUAACAUCUUGCUUUACUUUAUCAAAAUUGAAACAAAGAUUACAUAGUUAUUUCUUAGAGUCGAUGCCACAAAUUUGGAGUCGAAAAAGUUACUCAUGCAAGAUAAUGUAACAUGUAAAUAGAAUGAACAUUUGAACGAAUAAAUGAAUUUAUAGCUGCGUGGAACAAAUGUUAUCGCUUGAUGUUAAAUCAUGUAAGAGUUGUUGUUACAAAUAUGAAAUAUAAGCAUGUGAAAGAUAAGUUACCAAAAAAAAAAAGCAUGUGAAAGGUUCAAGCAGAACUCAAAAGAUUGCUUUGAAGAAUUUUUUGUUGCUGUAAUUUCCAAAAGUAAGUUGACUGUGAGUUUAAUCUUGAAGUUUAAGACCGUAUUGAUAAUACCAUGAGUUGGUGAUUAACAUUUUUCCCCAAAACGGACUGAAAAAGAAGCAACCUCUUUGGUCGGUAAUGACUUAAGUUACCUUCUUUUAUAUUUUACGAUCGGGUGUAGUGAUCUAAUGCUAUGAAUAUAUUAGUCAAGUGAAUUUCAUGUGCUUCACCAAUUUUAAAUUUCAUGUAUAUCUUUUUUCCUUUUGUUGUAUAACUUUUGUUUCACCAUUUUGCUUUUGACUAAUAUAAAAGUUAAUAUCUUUUGUAUUUUGCUUCGCCAUUUUUAAAACGACUAUUAUUGUAUCGCAUGUGCCAAAGAAGUCGUAAGAAGUGGUGACUACUCUUGGUCCUUUGCUCUGAAAAUUUCCGCCUAUUUUCGUUUACUCCCCGCUUAGUUGUUAGGUCCACUCUAUCCAACUAUCCGCCUCGAUUAAUAACUAAUUCUUUGAAGAAAUCAGUCACCCAAUUAAGCUCUGUCUAAUCUGAUUACUCUCCACCUAAUCUUUCUUACUCCGAUUAUUUUUAUAUUGCAAGUAUAAAACACCUUUACUUUUUGUUAUUCAGACAUUUAAAUUGAGAGUUUGUGAUGUUUUACAAUAACUUAUGUUCAAAAUUGUGAUAAAAAUCAUAAAAUUUUGUCGUAAAAAUAUAUUUUUAUUGUGUUUAUAGUAAUUUUGAAAAUAAUAUUAUUUAAAAUUUUAAUUAUAAUGGAUUAAUAUAUAUUUAACACAUUAAAAUAACCUUAAAACUAGUUUUCGAUUAACCUCUAAUUUUUAUCUAAUUUUUUGAUUAAUCGCUAAACCCAUACCGAAUGUCCAACUAGCGCUAGCGACUUUUCGAACAAGAAGUCUUGGUUUUAUGUACUGACCUCUUUCGUUGAAAAAUUGGGUGUAUUUUUCACUUUCUAUUAAUCAAUGUUGAUUUCUAAAAUACUUUGAAAGUUUUGGAUUUCAUUUCAAUUUCCUCAUUUUAUAAUCAUUUGUUCUUUUCUUAUCUCCUUCCAUAUUGAUCCACUUCCCUCCUCUGAAUUUUAAGACAAAAUAGAUUUGUAAACUUCUGGGCUCUCUUCGUUUGACCCACAUUUUCUCGGGAAAAAUUCGUCUGAUUUCUCCGAUCGUCUCUUCAUUGAUCGGAAAACCAACCACGACCCAUUAUUCCUCGCCUGUUUCUGGCGCAAACCCUUGUAUCAAUUUUGGAUUUUGGUGAGAAAAAUUUAGGGAUCUGAAGAAAAAGAACACGAUGAUGACGAGUAUGGAAGGGAUGGUGGAGAAAGGAGUAUUGGAUGAUAUUAUAAGAAGAUUGUUAGAAGGUAAAGGAGGCAAACAGGUUCAGCUUUCCGAGAGCGAGAUUCGUCAACUCUGCUUUAACGCUCGUCAAAUCUUCCUCUCUCAACCUAAUCUUCUCGAUCUCCAUGCCCCAAUUCGUAUCUGUGGUAAAAUCUCAUGAUCGAAUUGAAUACUUGUGUUUGAAAUGGGAAAAUUAGGGUUUCGACGUGAAUUUGAGCAUUUGUGUAUUGUAAUCUCACAGGUGAAAUUGUAAAGUUAGGGUUUUUUUAUUGUGUGGUAAUGUUUUUUCUUUUUUGGGGAUUCUCAGGUGAUAUCCAUGGCCAGUAUCAAGAUCUUUUGAGGUUAUUUGAAUACGGAGGCUAUCCUCCUUCAGCAAACUAUCUAUUCCUUGGUGAUUACGUUGACAGAGGCAAGCAAAGUCUUGAGACCAUAUGUUUGCUUCUUGCUUACAAGAUUCGGUAUCCGUCGAAGAUAUAUCUGUUGAGAGGGAACCAUGAGGAUGCUAAGAUCAAUAGGAUUUACGGGUUUUAUGACGAGUGCAAACGGAGAUUUAAUGUACGACUUUGGAAGGUAUUUACUGAUUGCUUCAACUGUUUACCCGUAGCUGCACUCAUUGACGAGAAGAUACUGUGUAUGCACGGUGGGUUGUCACCAGAUUUGGACAAUUUGAAUCAGAUUCGAGAGAUUCAACGGCCUACAGAGAUUCCAGACAGUGGUCUUCUUUGUGAUUUACUUUGGUCAGAUCCUGAUCAGAAGAUUGAAGGAUGGGCUGAUAGUGAUCGAGGUAUCUCUUGCACUUUUGGAGCCGAUAAAGUCGCUGAGUUCUUGGAUAAGAAUGAUCUUGACCUCAUUUGCCGAGGCCAUCAGGUAAAACAAACAAGACCUCCACGAAAUCAAAGAUUCGAAAAAUUGAAACCUGUGAAAUUGUACUUUACUAAAAAUAUGACUUGAGAUUAGCUUUUGUCCAUAAAGCUAGAGACCUCAUGAAUUCUUACCAUAUUGCACAUGUGUGAUGGUUUUGUGUUGCAGGUAGUAGAAGACGGGUAUGAGUUUUUCGCAAAACGGAGAUUAGUCACGAUAUUCUCAGCUCCAAACUAUGGUGGGGAGUUUGACAACGCUGGUGCAUUAUUGAGCGUGGACGAGUCUCUUGUUUGCUCCUUUGAGAUUAUGAAACCCGCCCCAGCUUCAAGCAGUCAUCCUCUCAAGAAGGUUCAUUUCUACCACAGAUAUAUAGAUUUAAGCCCAUCUUAUUACACGAUUCUUCAGCUAGAACAAACUGAAACUUGAAACUUUCUGAAAAGGAUAAUAAACCUUAUUGGACUUUUGCAACAGAACCGUUAGUCCAUAGGUUUUAAUGUGAGAACUUUGUAUGGAAUUCAAAGUCCACAUUCUUAAGCAGUGGGAGCAUUAUUGCAAUUUUGUUAGGCCACAAAGAGUUACGUUCCUUCUCGCAUGUUUCCGCAAACUUUUAACACCUAUUUUCUCUACAUUUCUCUUUAUCAGGUACCGAAAAUGGGGAAGUCUUGAAUUUCUAGUUCUCUCUCUCUCUCUGAAGAUAACGGUUCCACUUCCACAGCUCAAGCUAGGCAAAAGAUUCAGACUGUCUUUACAACUGUGUCUGUGUCUCCAGUUAUGUGUUGAAUGCAAUGAAGAACCCAAAGGGUACUUAGUCUGUAAAAAACCAAAAAAGUGAGAAAACAAAAAAACACUUCGUUUUCUUUGUAUAGAUGCAGAAUGAUCUGUCUUCUGCUUCUGGGGAUUUUAUCUCCUUAUUAGUCUCUUUUCUCUCUUCUUUUAGCCCUUUUAGUUUAAUUCAUAGUGCCACUUUAGAUUUUAUUUCUUGGUUAUUUUUUUUCCUUGUUGUACAAACCCUUUUGCAUUUCUUCAUUUUCAUUUGUAAUCUGUUGCCAAGGUUUUAUUUACUUGUCUCUAAUUUUAUCAGUAUAAAAAGACAGAACAAUACAACACAGUUCUUGUCGCAUUUGGCAAAAUUUCCACUUGAGACAAGCCUUUACUUUUGGUAACAGUUAAUUCAUGGUCUUUUACAAACUACUGCUUUAAAAUAUCAUUCGAUAAGCUUAAUCAGAGCUUGUUCUUCUAUUUAUAGCUGCACUGUAUGAAUUCCCAUUCCCGUUCCCUCCCAAUCUUCUAGAGGUCCUCUGAAUCUCAGCUAGCCGCUGCUUCUGAUUACGGUUAUUAGAUUGCCUGCAGUACCUAAAGCAAGUGUUAAUAUGGUGAAGUGUCACUUAGAGGUUUACUUAAAGAGAGAGGAGAGAAGAGAGAGGAGAGAAGAGAGAAAGGUGAGACCUGAUCAAGAACAUUCCUGCUACAAGAAACGACAUUCCCAAAGAAAUCUUUUGAAUCGUUGUCAUUUCACGAACCCAUUGGAGAAGAUCUUUAAAACAUGACAAAGUCUCAGUCUUUAAAGGCGUCUCCUUUCGAGAGUCUCUUGACCAUGAUUCCACUACUGAUUCUAGACUUGCUUUGCUUCCGUAGCAUGGUUUUUCUCUAGAAUCAUGAUUUGUUUGAACAGCAAAACCAGCUGCUUCACAGAAUGCUGUGCCAUUGGAUUCCCAAUUUGAGGCCUUAACGCAGACGAUGUCGUCGUUUACUCCGCAAGGGCCAAUCACCUAAGCAGAUACUGAAACCAUUAGCUUCCAAAAAUCUACAGAAGAAAAAGUCCUACCAUUUGUAUAUAACAAUCUUCCAAACACUGAGAAGUUUCUUACCCGUGUAAGUGCAUUACUGGCAAAGUAUGCAUCUUUGCAGGCUUCAAAGACUCUGUCACAAAACGAGGCGCAAAUACGAGGAGGACCUGGUUGAAUUCCAACAUUUGGGUUACAGAUUGAACACUCCAAUAACUCAAACAACUCCAAGCACUCUUGACUAGCUUCUCCAUAAGUAGCCAAGUUUCUGACAGCUACGAAAGCCGGGUUUGUCUGAACAGCAGUACAACAAGUCCUUUUACGAAACACCCGGCACAGAGUAAGAUCCUUGGAUCCUCUACCAACAGAUUUAGGAGGCUUUCCUUCUGAUUCAUAAGGCGGAAACCGCCCUCCUUUAGAAACACAUACUCCUUUCAAAUCUGGUUUCACUGCACCUGAAAACAUUGUUCUACAACCAUUCUUAAGCAAGUACAACCCCCAAAACCAGGCACUUCACUCAAAUUGAACAGUUCUUAAUAAGUUUCUAUUGCACAUUUUUCAUCUCUUUUCAUGAUAGAACAAUCCCAGAAUGAACCAACAAUUCAAUUUCUAAUCAAUUUUCUUUGCAUCAAACGAGUCAAGAUUAUCCAAAUGACAAAAACAUUACGAAAGAUUGAAACUUUCGAUUACAAAAAUCAAUAUCUUCGGUACCCAUUUCUAAAAUCUAACCAACAGAUCAAAUGGAAAUGUGACAACAAAAGAAGAACCCUGAGAUUUAAUACUAACCGGACGAUAAGGAGAUCAGGAGAUGAAGAAACAAAAUCGGACUCUGAAUCAAAAACACCCUCUUCGUUGAACAUCUUCCCAUCUUUCUCUUCACUGAUCUUAGCUUAAAGCAAAAACAGACAAAAGACAAAGACGAGUACUCGUGACUAAAGGUUCAACAUUUACAAGUCUUGCCCGAGAGGAAGAGUAUUACGGGUCGACCCGAAUACCCAAUUUCACAGACUCCGUCAAAUUUGGUUUUAGAACAAAAGAAUCUCUCUUUUAUCGUCACUCUGGGACCCGUUGGAAUAAUCUUAUGAAGAAAACACCAUUAGUCACAUAAUAAUUAAAUUUAUAUAAUCUAUUUUACUUCAAUAUAGUCAAAGCUUAUAACAUUCAUUAUAUUGUGAACUUUUUUUCCUCCUUAAGAAGAGAUAUGGAUUAAAAAGCAAGGCUUUAAAUGUGUCACCAAUAAUCUGUCCGAUUAACCGGAAAAAGAAACGACAAUGUUGACAGUUAACAAGAUGAAAUUGAUUCGGAUGAUUGAAUAAUCUUCAAAGCAACUUCACGCCAGCUUCUCUUACAGAAUCGAUAACAGCCUUGACUUUACCAUGAUACCUCUGUUCUCUCUUCAUCUGAAUAGUAACAGCGGGAAUAUCUUUCAUCAAGAGUCUUUCUCCAAGAAUUUUACCAAUCUUUGCAGCAGCAGCAACGUCGCGCGUGAUGUCCAUGGUUUCCCUCAAUGCUUUCUCCUGUGAGCUCGCUGAGCAAGCCACUGUAGCUGUUGGUGAGUGGAUGACUUGUGCGUGAACAAACUUGUUUGUGAAAUGCAUUUUCAGCACGUAAGGUUUGAGGUAGUCGAAGAGACGUGGUGGUCUCACUGCCGGUGGAAUCACCAUCUGAGAAACAAAGCAUAAAACACUUUAACAGAGAAUCUAAUCAAACAUUGUAAAGGGAACUGAGAAAAAACUCUCAACUUUCACUACACAUCAAUAGCCCAUGACCAAGAUUCAAACUUUGAAUCCGUAAAUGAUGUAAUCGGAAUUGAAUUACGUUGAAUACAGAAAGAUCACAUAAGUAGAGACAACUCCAAUGAAUAAUAUAACAUAAUAUCAAACAAUGACCACCCUAUCUAAAGCCAAAUCUUUGCCAGUACAAUAAUGUGACACUCCUGGUUUGCUAAAACCCGUCUCUUUGUUGAACCAAAACCAAACCUAUAAAAAUCAAGAUUCUAAUCAAACCAAACAGCAUUUGACUUCUUUCAGACAUUUCAUCAAACACUUGGUGGACAUCAAUUUGUGCUUAAACCACAAACAUAUACUCAAAUAUCAGAGUAUCUGCAUUUCAAGCUAGAAUGGAUUCUAUCUAAUUUCGUCAAUUAAUUUCCAUGAAAACAAAGAUUAAACUAAGUAAAGAAGAUAAACUAAAAUCUCUUAAUUUUCAUCUCUCAACGGAUUAAAUACAAAAGUUUGAUAACAAGAAAAACUCAUUCUGUGGUACCUGAAGCUGCCGAGGAAAAUCUUGGAAGAUGGAAACUGUAUGAAGCGAUCUCUUGAUCUUUGAAAGAGAGAAGAAGAAGAAGAAGAUGCGUUUAGGGUUUUUUUUUUUUGGCUUUGUGAUUCAGGUCAAUUUCUGGUAAUAAUGAAUAACAGAAGUGGCCUUGAUUUAUUUGUUUAUUCGAAAUAAACCCCUAAGAGUUUCAGAUUUUUUGAAAAACCCACCAAAUACAUUUGUUAAUGACUUAAUGGGUAAGUUUGAAAAUUUAAUGGGCCGACAAAGCCGAAAUUAGGCAUGACCCAACAUUGAAUCUUGAAGAACAAAUUCAAUUUAUUUUGUAUGAAAGCUAACGGACAUUUUUUUUUUUUUUGGAUCAAAGCUAACGGACAAUUUUAAAAGUGCGUUUUUCAACCUAAACAAACGAUGAGUGCUAAUUUAUAUCUAAACGUUUAAAAAUUUCAAAUAACCUACCUGAACUUUUGAUGAAGUGCGUACGAAUCAAUGUUAACAGAUGUUAGUCAACUGUAACGGUUGUUGACUCAGCUGCCACAUAUAUAUCGACGUGGCAUGUUUUUCAAGUAAAACGACGUCGUUUUAUGUUUUUAGAUUCAAAAUUUUUUAAAAAUUUGAAAAACCGAGAUUCAAACUUGUGAACCCUUUACAUUUUUAACCCAGUCAUUGCCACAUUUUUUACAAUUUAUUUUGGUACCAAUUCAAGUCUAACUAUUUAUAUACAUAAAUAAAUCGCGGGAUUGGAUUUAAUAAAACGACUUCGCUUUCAAUUGGGGGAAUAAUCAAAUUUAGGGAUUUCUUGUUUGCUUUCAUUUUCUUCUUCUUCAUAUGAGAACUCAAACGAAGAAGGAGAUAAUUGAGGAGAAAACAAAUUUUGAAUCCAAAAACGCUAAACGACGUCGUUUUACUUGAAGAACAUGCCACGUCGAUAUACAAGUGUCAGCUGAGCCAGCAACCGUUACAGUUGACUAACAUCUGUUAACAUUGACUCGUAAUUACGCACUUCAUCAAGAGUUAGGUUAUUUGAAAUUGUUAAGCGUUAAUUUAGGUAUAAAUUAGCACUCAUCGUUUGUUCAAGUUGAAAAACGCACUUUUAAAAUUGUCUGGGUUGAAAAAAGCUCUUUUCUCGUCUAAACCGUCAAGAAUCAAGUUGAGACCGGUUCAUACCAAGACAAAAAAAGUUAUAAAAAAAAAAGAUUGUAGUCUUAUUUAUGAAACUUUUCAUAUUUAAUCAAGUUACAAUCCCAUCGAAAUUUAAAUUCAGGAUUCAACCACGGCUUCCUGAUCGAAAAUUAUAGAUGAAACUUGACAAUCUAUAACCAUAUAAUAACUUUGAAAUCCAAAACGGUAUGGCAGUUAAUUUUUUAAGAAGUUCGAAAAUGAGCUUAAACGAAAUCUGUUAUAGAUUAAUAACCAAACAAUAUGUGUAGUUCAGGCAAAACGCUAAUUUUUUUAUUUGAAUAACCAUAGUAUUUUGCUUUCUGGUAAAAUGUUACAAGUUUUAACUAAUUCUAAAAGUUUGUGUUUUUGUUGGCCAAAAAAGUUAGUUUGGUCUCUCCCUUUCUCCGGUUACAAUAGUAACACACAUCAUUUCCACCAUGCAUAACAAGUGUAAUGCAAUGCUUCAGUUGGGCUUUAAGCUUGGAUUUUCACUUAUUCAGUGCUCGACUAACUAAGGUUUAAAUCAAGAUUUGGGCUCUGUUUUCUUUUCUUUAUGCAGGUUUCCUUUGUUCUUGAACUUUAAUCCUCCUAGCAUUAUCUGCUAGUCCUCUUUCUUAUCUUCUCGGUUGUAAUAGUUUCGUCUUCCUUCUUUGUAUACUUUCUCUUUAAGUUUAAGAAAGCCUUUUAACAAAAAAAAAAAAAAAAAAGUUAGUUUGUAUAGUUUAGUGGUGAUAUUAUUUGUUCAUUUAUGAAAGUUUGUGUAGUUAUGACUCUUAUCUAUUUUUGAUGUGGGUUCUGAUUUAAUGUUACAACUAAAAAAAAUUAACAAAAAUAUCGUAUGGUGUAAAAUAUUUAAGGUGUAAAAUAUUUAAGGUGUAAAAUAUUUUUCGAAUUGAUGAGUCUGUUAGGUUAUGUAAAUUUUAGCUGAUGUUUUUUACAAUAUGUAAUUUGUAAACAAUAUCCUUGUUUCUUUCUUAGAUGAACCUGAUAAAAGUUACUUUAUUUUUCUUUUGUCAAUAAUAUUAAAUUAAUUGAAUGGCAGAAAACUGUGGAAGCCCCCUUGGCCCAUUGGUUGAACAAGGGUUAAUUAAUGCUUCUACAACCAGAGGUUUGGGGUUCGAGUCUCAGAUAAUGCGAUUUAUUAAUAAAUUUGCAGAUUAUUGGAGGCAAGUGUGCAGGAGAUCUCCAGCUAUGUACAAUUAUAGCCGUUCGCCAGGAUUCUACGCAUAUCGGAAGUGUCCAUCAAGAGCAUAAAGAAGGAGGUGAAGAAGGUGAAGAAGGUGUCGUCUGUCGUGGAUCUAAUAAGGGUCGGAAGGAAUUGUCCGUUGUAGAAUCGUCUAUGUAACAGUUCUCAUAAUUUGCAAUAAAUAAUAAAUUCAGACGUUAAAAAAAAAAGAAUGGCAGAAAACCAAACAAGGAGAACAUUACUUAUAUAAAAAAAAACGUAUUACAAUUAUAUACGAGCAUUCUGUGCAAAUUUAUCCUUUUUAAAAGUAGCUCUACAAGAAACAAAAUGAUAAAACCCCACAAAAAAAAAAACUUCUUAACUCUUCUCUAAUUUUAGAGAUUUACUUUCAUCAUAAAUUUCAUAAUCUUUAAUGGGUAAUACAUUUGUUUUUGCAAAAUCAAAAACGAAAAACCAUUCCAAAACAUGUAGCCAUUCAAGGUGACUUCGUUUAGUUAUUGAUCUAAUUAAACACUUACAACAUAGUAUACAUUACAACAUAGUCACAUACAACAAAACAAAUUUUACAAUAACACUUUACCUAAUUAUCGCAUAUAAUCAGUAUAUUGGAAGGCCCACAUAUCGUAAGGACUCAGACCCAAAAUCAAACAGAUAACAUUUUUUUUCCUUCACAAAACGUUUUUUUUCAUCGUAGGACUUCACAAAUUGUACCUCAAGAAUUUUUUGGCUGUCUCCAUAAGUACAUGACAACAUAGCUUACGUAACUUAUUUUUAUUUUUGUGUGUGUUUGUUUGUUUCCCUUCGUCAUAUAAUCACUUUAUUCAUACUUUAUUAAACUGUUACUGUUACUGAGCACAGAGACAUAUGUCAGUGAGUGAAAGAGAGAAAGUCCCCCGCUUUCUAAGGCAACUUUGCCUCAACAAACUUUCUUCUUUUACCCUACACAUUUACACGCAUGCAUACAUUUUUUGUAACUAUGACGUAACCAAAUCGUUUAUUCAACUUUUGUUUUAUAUUAUUUUAUUACACUCUCCUCAAGUUACUUCUUUUUCAAACAUAUAUCAAGGUUUCUUAUCCAUUUAUACAUCUGAAAUUCUGAAUUUAUUACUUAAAAAAUAAAUAAAUAAAAGCAUAUUUUGUUUGUCAGAGUUAACAACAGUCUUGAAACUUGAAUAUUCAGAUAUCAUGUAAAGUAAAAUAGUUCUAUUAUAUUUCACAUUAACAGAAACUAAUAGUUUCUAUUAAAACCGUUACAGUUAUUCGGGAGCAAGUUCCUAGUAAAAUAACUCUAAGAUAUAUCUUCAACUUUGAGAAAGUUUUUUUUUUUUUUUUGUUAAAAACUUUGAGAAAGUUCAUAGUAGAUUGUAGAAUAACUAUAAGAAAAAUCUUUAACAAAUAGAUAGUAUUAUAAAUGACUAUAUCGACGCAUUACUAUAUCACAUGUCUUUAAUUAUAGUCGUGUGCAUUAUUGAAGAAAAAAAAAAAAAAAAAAAGUCGUGUGCAUUAUUAUUACGUACCACUACCAACUCACAAAAAGUGGAGUACCAGCCAUCAAUGUUUACGCAUGAAGUAGCCCAAUAAAAUCUGAACUUAGAACGCUUUUGUACAUUCUCUUCUCUCCAUGGACGAUUGCAUACUCGGGGAGGGGGAGAGACACGUGUUGGAGGAGUAGAACACGUGCGAAAAUAUGAUCAUCAUGUACCGAUCGAUCUCAUUUGUGUUCGCACGUGCCCUGCUUCUCCAUCAAGUGUUACUCACCCAUUACAUAUCUCUUGCAUCAUCAAACUGCAUAUAAUCUCCAUGACCAUGCAUAUAUUUUAUACAUAGAGAGUGAGAGAGAGAGAGGAAGAUUUGUAUGUGUGUGUAGAAGAAGAAGAGAGUUAAGAAUUAAAAUAUACAACUUAGAGUGAGGAGGCAAGAACUUCUGCUUGCUCAUUCACGUACAUUUAUAGUGGGUUUCAAGUGUUUGAUAAAAUGAGGCAAAAGUCUUAGUAUUAAAAAUAAAUCACGAAAAUACAAAAAGUAUUAGCUUGAAGAUAGAUGGGAGUGGAAUUAAAGUGAUUGAGUCUUGAAGUGGGAUUUCUUUAAAUGUAGAUAAGAAGUAAAAUGGCAAUCAUAUCACACCAAGUCUUUCCAUUACUUUAAAUGAUUCUUUUAAAAAUAAUUAUUUUUUCAGAAAUGUAGUAGACACAAGACGCAUGUGUACAUAGCUAGACCUCGCAGUUAAUGAUAUAAUUUAUAUAUUUCGCAUUAUUUCCAACCCUCCCGACGUAAUUUGAUUAUAGAAAUAGUGAAAUAGACCAACUAAUUUUGGUUGGUAGAUAAUUAAAAAUUGAUUAUGCAUAAAGAUACAGAAUUGACCUUUGACCAGGACAGGGGGAUCAGAUAAUUAAUUUACAAUUGGACAAUAUUAAAAUUGGGUAGCUUGUAAGAAUAGUAAUAAUAUUUUAAAACAUUCCAUAUAAAUAAUGAAAUAGUUUACUACGCAAUGUAUAUGUAAUAGAGACAGACAGUAAAGAUUGGUGAUGAGUUUGAGUCAGUUUAUGUCUACUUCCUGCCGCCGAAUCCAAUUUCAAGUUUCACUAUUUUAUCCCAAUUUUUACUUCAUUCUGAUGUCACCAUAUGUAAAAAUAUAAAUGUGCUAACAGAAAAUUAAACAUAUUUUAUCAACCAAGUGUUUAAGAACGUUUUUGCGCAUUAAUUUUACCAUCAUUUGUGUAUCAUGGAUUUUCAAAAUUCCAUAUACAUAUAUGCUUGGUCACCAAAACGAAGAAGCUACAAAAUGCGGUGCCUCUUUUACAUAUGGUUCUUGAAAUAUUUGUAUAAUAUUUAUAUGUUGAACCAAAAAAAAGAAGUAUAAUAUAUAUAUAUAUAUAUUUAUUAAAAUAAUAUAUAGAUACACUUAAAAUGAAAGAAAAUGCUAAAUAUUAUAUAGUAUAUAACAAUAAAUUCUUAAUUUAAGCAUCAAUUAAAUAUUAAAAAAAAUAUAGGGAAAACAUAUACCGUCUAAUCUCCAAAACAAUUUAUUAGUGCCUAGAAAUUUUUAAAAAUAUGUAUUUUUCACUUCGUCAAAUACAAAAUCGCAUUAUUUGAUUUUAAAUAGAAAGUCAUUUUUUUAAAAAGAAAAGAAGAAGAAUGGUGAAGAGAAAUGAAAGAUGAUGAUGAGUUGAUGGAGACAGUGACACAGAGAGGAAUGGGUUGCGUGUUCCUCGCGAGUUUCUUCCUCUCUCUCUUUUAUUUACCCUCAGUUAGCAAAAAAAAAAAGAUCUCACCACCAAAGAUAGAGAGACAGAGACUUUGUGUAUUGCAGAGUUCCGAUGCAAUUCUUCUCGCUGUUUAAUCAUUUCUUAUUCUCCUCUUUGCCCGUUUGUUACUAAACAAGUCUUUAUGAUCUAUGUAUCUUAUAACAUUCACAUAUUUGUAGACUAUAGUCAAUGGGAUGCAAUAAUCUAUGUUCUAACAUUUUUUUAUAUAUAAAAAAUUUAGCAUUUACGAUAUACUAUUAUUUCCAUUUGGUCGAGAUGGAGAACAAUUACCUAUAGCGACCACUGUUAUAGGAAAACCAAAAAAGUGCUAGGAGUUUGUUAGAACUAAUGUUAAUAUAACUAUAGUUAUCUCCAUUCGUCGCUUAAAAUGAAGCAAUGAAAAGUUAUUGGGUAAAUUAAAAGUAAAAUUCAGUUAAAAAAAAUCAUAUUUUGCGUUGGUCAAUUCAAGUUUGAUUGCUACAUGUUUAAAAGUAUAAGCAUCGAAUCUUGGAUAAUAGAUUUUUCAUGAUAUGUGAAAAAGAAAGGGUUGCGCACAAAGAAAUAGAAAAGAUAUUUGUAUUUUUGUAAAGGAGAUUUCAUUUUUACAAGAAAAAAAGAAAAAGAAAAAGUGGAGGGAUUCUGAAGUUCACUGUCACUUACUUCUGACGAAGUGGAAGUGAAUCGUUCCCCCAUGUUUUAUGGGUUUGCAUUUCCCCUCUGACGUCGUUGCUUUUAACACUCUCUCUCUCAUUUCAAUAUUUACAUUUUCAUUUUUAUAACUCACACAUUAUGACAUAGUAGUUAUAUUCAUAUUCGUAAGUAUCGUGAUAAGUUAAAUUAGGAAUGACGUUCGGGAAUUCGGAUCGGUUCCGCUAUGGUUUUAUUCGGUUCCAGUUUUUUAGGUUCUAGAGAUUAGGAUCAAUAUAGGUCAAAGUAAAAUUUUGUUACAGUUCUGGUUCGGAUUCGAUCCUUUGUUUAUGAAGUAUAAGAUCCCUUAUAUUAUUAUUUUUUAUUAAACUUUAAGAGUUUUUGAGUAUUUUUGGAUGUUUUGGGGAUUGAUUAGAGUAUUUUUGGACAUGUGCGGGUAUUUUGAGUAUUUUUUCUGGUUUCUUUUGUUAUUUUGGGUAUUUUAUGUUAUUCGGUCUAAUUUUUUUAAUAUUUUUGGGUAUAUACUAAUUGUACUUCGGAUAUUUUCAGAUACUUAAAAUAUUUUUUUGUUCGGUCUGAUUAUUUCGAUUCUAGAAUUUAUGAUUCAUUUGGAUAUUUAUAAUUUUUCUUCGGUUUUGGUUCCGUUAGUUUGCUGUAUACUAAGCUAAAUAGUAUCGAAAACUAAAUAUCUGUUAAAACAUAAUAUAAAUGUUAAACUAUGAUAAGCAUUUUGAUAUUAGAAAAAUUAUGUUAAUGAAAUUAGAUAAACUUUGGUGAUUUAUUUACCGCCAUAAACUAUGAGGGUACAACAUUUUGUACCACAAUAAUACUACCGAAUGAUUCUAAUUACGUAUCAAAAUCUGAUGAGGUGAUUUUUAAAUCUCAAAAACACUAACUCGAACUUAAUUAAGAAUCAACACAUUGAGAUUAAAAUAAUAUUGGAAAAUGUCUUCUUAUUGAAACUUUGUGAGCUAGAACACAAAAGAUGAAUGAAAAGUAAAGGUAAUGAAAUCUAGAGUAAAAACAGUAGGAAAUAGUUGCAUUUCUUCCUUUAAUAGUCAUUUAAUUCCCAAAUCAAAAUGUCUUAGCUUGUCGAUUUCGUCCCUAAAUUCAAUAUUUUAUCCUUUGAUUCUGCAACAUGAAUGUGUCAAGCUUGUUUGGAAUGACUAAUACUUAUUUACUGUUUUUUUUUUUUUUUUUUCAUCACUUAUUUACUGUUUUACUAAGUAGUUUGUUGGUUACAUAAAAGACGGUUCACAUUGUGCCGUUAUAAUGUUACGAUCAAAUCCUAAAUUUUAAAAUCAACCAUCAAAGUAUGACACCAACCCAAGUCUUUUGAAUUUUUUUAAAAAACUAUCAAUGUAUUAUAUAUUCGUGGUUUUGGCUGACUAUCGAAGCCAUUUAUUUUUGUCAAACUAUCAAAGAAGCUGUUUCAGUAAAUUCUACCGUGAUGUUCAUAUGCUCAGUUUACGAAUGGACUUUUUCCAAAUUGAUACAACAUUCUAGUGAAGGCCCAACCAAAUUAUGCGGCCCAUAUUAUUCAUCAGAACUCAGGACAAAUAUUGCUCUCUUCUAACGUGAGUGAUAAUCCAAAUACUGUAUUGGCCAAAUUAAAUAAAAUGGAACCAAACCCAAGUAGUUAACUCAGGACAAAUAUUGCUCUCUUCCAAAUUACGAAUUUGUUAACUUAGUCAAACCCUAAAUCAUAUUAUAAGAAUUUUCAUAUUCAGGAAAAACUAAUCAGAGAAAAAAACAAAAAGUUAGACCUCCUAAUAAAAUAUUUUUAACUCUCUAAGAUAUUUAGUUUUAAGAUAUAAACUGAAUCUCUUAACAACAAUACAAAAUAGUUACACCUCGGUUGUUGUCGCACACACAUAGUCACAUAUAUUAUGUGUACGUAAUCCGUUAUUCAAGUGUUCUCGAGAAAGACGAUCCACACAUUAAACUCAUAUAACAUAUUGAUCGAUCUAUCUGUAUAUCUACUAUACCUCUAGUUCUUUCCCGACAAUAAUAAUUAAUUAUAUCAUUUGUUGGAUAUUUUAUUUCUUCUUUUAUUCGUACUUAAUAUCUCACUUCCAUAAGUGAUACAAGUCUGAAAGUGUAAGACUUCGCUCCUAGCAAAAAAAGAAAAAGCACUUUCUAUUUUCUGCUUUGAACAUUGCUUAAGUUCUUGAUAUUUUUACGUAUCAGAAACGGUAGAUGAAAUGUUGGAUAAGUUGAAGAAGAGAACCAAGCCGGAACACAAGUACUAUGUAUGAAGUUCUCUAAACUCUUUUGCGAUUACUGAUGAAAGUUCAGUCUCUUGUCUUCCUCACGGAUAUGUUUAUCUUGCUAUUAAAAAAGCUUUAGUAAGUUUACUGUGUUUUUUUCUUUUUAUAUCAAAGUUUUAGUGCGUUAAAAAUAUAAUAAAAUCAAAUAUGAAAUUUAAAUAACCAAUAUGGAUAAGGGAUUUAGGAAACAAAAACAAAAACUACAAAUAUAACUAAUUAUAUCGAUUUUGUUGGUAUAAAUUGAAGAAUUUGAGCUUAUGUGAAAUUUAGACGCAAACUCAGUCAUGAAAAUUAAUAGGCUACAAGGUAAAAAAGUUUUGCCCCAUUAGUUAGUAAGACUGUAAAAAGAAAAAUGUAGAAAGAAGAAUUUGAAACCCCCACUUUUACGUUUCUCUAAAGGCGGAAGACCAGUGCCGUUACACUUAUACUUACUAAAGCAACUCCGUGCUAUUUCGGGAUUUUGAAAAUCGUUGUCCAUAUGUUGGCAAAAAUGAUCAUCAAUAACAAAGUCACAAGUGCAGUGACAAUGACCUUGUACGCCAAGAGUGGAUGAAUCCUCCAACGCAGAGCGGAACAAGACCUCCAAACAAAAUCUAGGGCACAUAUGAUGCUGCUUUAAGCAAAGUAGGUUGGAAAUCUGCAUUUUCUGCUUGCAUAGACAAAUAAGAUCAAAUUAAAAAAGCUAGUAAAUUCAAGUUUUAGUUAUAUAUUUUUUACUUACUAUAGAUAUAUAGGUGACGAUGUUGUUAAACACCGUCUCAAUAAAUCAGUCCACCCAAACUCGCAAGCGCACUCAUGCCAGUGAUCUUCACGUUAUCAUUCGCAUGUGUCAUAACGUAAGGGGAAAUCGACAUGAAACUACCUAUAAGGGAUCCAAGCUCUUCUCCCGUAGUAGAUGAUGUCACAUACUCAAAUAAAUAUUUGAAAUUAAUAGGUUCUCAUGUAAAUUCACUUGUCAACCAAAUUGGCAGUAAUAGAUAAUGUCACAUACUCAAAUAAAUAUUUGAAAUUAAUGAGUUCUCAUGUGAAUUCACUUGCCAACCAAAUUGGCUCUACAAUUGAGAAGAUAUGUAAUAAUGUAGUACACACAUAUAUCUCAAAUCACAUGUGGAUGUAAGUAUGUUGUUUUCACUAUUCUUUUCUCAAAUGUUAACUAAUUCCGAUAGUUUUAAUAUGAAAUAGAGUUUUAAUGGUGUAAGUGAAAAAUUAGAAAAAAUUGUACAAAAUAUGUUAUUUGAAUCAUUUUCAUUGGAUUGCUUUCCAUCUUGAUUAUUUGCUACACUAAUUAAACUUGAUCGCAUCUACUUCUUUUCAUCCUAAUCUACUUCUUUUCAAAACAAGUAAAUCAUUCUCUUUUGCCACUAAUAACGGUAUUUAUUGAUUGUAGCCAAAAAGAAAACUUAAGUCUUGAUCAUCAUCAAACAAAACCAAGAUACCAAAAAGUAAUCAGAAACUUUUUAAAAACAAACAAAACAAGUUGCUCAGCAUCCUUCUCUACAUCAUGAUACUUAAUCAUUCCUGCAAAAUUCACUUCAUCAGCUCACGAAUCUCUCUGCUCAAACACAGUUAAGGAAAAUCCGUUUAUUACUUACCUUUAGAGCAAUUGGACUAGAUCAAAUUGUUCAACCAAACUCCAUUCUUUACCUGCAAAUUUUAUUUCUUCAAAUUGAUUAAAGAUCUUUCUUUACUUUCUGUGAGUAGGAUUUAGAUUUAGGUACGACGGUACGAGAUUUUUUCUUUUUGCUGAAAAUUUUGCAUAUAAAAAAGGCCCAAAUAUUUUUAAAAAUUAUCAUUAAUAUGAGAAUUAUAUUUCAAAAGGCCUAAUUUUUUAUAUAGAAAAGUAUAAAAUUACUAAAAAAAAUUUAAAUAACAAUUUUUACUAUAAAAAAAACCGCAAAUUUUUGAAAAAAAUAUUCAAUUUUCUUUUGUUUUUAUAAUAAAUAGGCCAAAUUUUUUUUUUGCCUUAUAGCUCCUAAUGUAUUGCGCUAGGGCUGCAUAAACUCUGUGUGUCUUUUUAGUAUUGUAUUAUCUUGUUAGUCAGAUGUGUGAGCUUCUAAGUAAGAUAUGAGAGAUUCUCAUUCAGAUGUGGGAGUCCUACUGCCAAGAAGAUACCUACGACUCCCAAUGCGACAACAAACGAUGCCUUUUUUUGUAGGGAUAUUGUACGAUACACUCCAGACAUAAGUGAAUAGCUUCUUCAAAACCAGUAGUACUGCUACUGUAUUGAAAUUUGAAGGGUAUGUUAACUGAUUUUUUUACUAUCUAUCUUAUUAUACAAAUCUUUCUUUUAGGAUCGAAUUAUUUGGAAGAUUGGAUAACUUUCUAACGGAUAUAUACAAUAACUAAAAUCAUUUAUAUUGCUCGGACCGGAAUCAAUUUAAGAGUCGGUUAAAUUGAAAACAAUUUCUAACCGAUGAUAUAAAAGAAAAUGCAAAUGUACAUGUUUUAUUGGGGAAGAGGAAGAUUUACAAAUCUCGACAUUAAACCCGUCACUUGUUAAAGAUAUUUCUUACCAAUUUUUAUUUUUGACAUUCUCUAUCUAUAACUAUAACCAUUUUAAAUGAUUUAAAUUACCUAAUCCUAUUACUAACUUAAAAUAAUUAUGCAGAAUCUUGUUUAAAAUAAUUGACUCACUCUCUCUCUCUCGUUCUAUUUUUGUGAGACUGUCAGACUUUGUGGGUCUCGUUUUGCUUAUUUUGUCUGUCAAACACUAGAAAUGGAUCCACGCGUUGCUUGGAUUUAAUAAUAUAUAUUCAACUUUUUAUAGUUUUGUAAAUUACAUUAUUUUAAAUACUUUUUUAGUUACAAUACUAUUUGAAAACAAUAUGUAAUUCUAUAGGUAAAAACGGUUAUAUAAAUAUAAUAGAAAUGUUAUAUAUGAUAAUUGUAUAGAUUUACAUGUCUAAUGUACUACAUAUAUUAAAUGUUUUUUUUUUCUUUUUGUAUUUGACUUAUUAUCCUAUGACCGUUCAUUAUAUAUUUUCUCUUUUAGUGUAUGAAUUUUUAUGCAUAACAUUUUUUUCUAUAAUUCUAGAAACUCAAGUUUGAUAUUUUAAAUAUUCGCUUUCUCUUUAGGAAUUUAGCUUUCUGAGACUAUUUUUGUCACUCAAUUCCGAUAUUUCCAUAUUCUAUUAUUUUUAAAAAAAAAAGUUUCUAUCUUAUUUAAUUCAAUGAUGCAAUUGUGCUCUUUCUACCUAAUUUUAAUAUUUAUAAAAUAAUAUUUUAUAUUUUAAAUAAGUGCAUAAUAUUUGUAUUACUAUCAAAUGCCUUUAUACAUUUACUUAUAUAAAAUUUUAUAUUAUAUUCUAUAUAUAUUUUUAUAUAUAUAUUAUAUUUUUGAUAAGCUAAAAAUUAAAAGUAUACAUAAUUAUAUUUUAGUUUUGUUUUCAAUUAUUAUACACGAUACUAUUUAAUUAGCUACAUUUUAACAUUUUGUUUAUUUUCAUUUAUAAACUAAUCAACUAUUAUUUUAAUUAGUAAUAUGUCAUAAGAUUCAUCACUAAUUCACUAUAUAUUUUUUUGAAACUAAAAAAUGUAUGUCUUUUUAACUUUCAUUCAAUUUUAGAAAUAGCUAAUAAAUAUAUGAUAAAAUAUCCAUCAUAUUAGUAAUAUGUCGUAAGAUUCAUCACUAAUUCACUAUAUAUUUUUUUGAAAACUAAAAAAAAAAUUUCUUUUCAAUUUUCAUAUAAUUUUAGAAAUAGCUAAUCAAUGUAUGAUCUUUCAACUUUCAUACAAUUUUAGAAAUAAUCAUCAUAUUAGAAAUAUGUCAUAAGAUUCAUCACUAAUUCACUAUAUUUUUUUUUGAAAACUAAAAAAUGUAUGUCUUUUGAACUUUCAUUUAAUUUCAGAAAUAGCUAAUAAAUAUAUGAAUUUUCAACUUUCAUUCAAUUUUAGAAAUAUCCAUCAUAAUGAUUUUUAAUAUAUCAAUUUUAAAACGAAAAUGUUAUAAAUUUAUAUAUAUGAUUAAUCUUAAACACUUUUUCGCUAAAAUUUAAAUUAUAUUAUUAUGAAUAAAUUUAUAUUUCUUUGUUUUUUUACUUAUAAUAUCAAUUCAUUUGUAUUUAAAUUAAAUAUUUUUUAAUCAUAAAUAACAAUAAAUAAAAAUAAGUAUGUAUUGAAUGAACAUUUUAAAUAAAUUAUAAUUUGUAAUUUUUAAUUAGAUGCAUGCUUAGGUGGAUGAUGAUGUGGAUAAUCUAUAUAGAGAGUAAUCUCCUGUUAUAUAUAUAGAUUUUAUAUCUUUUCUGAUUUUAGCGUGUUAUUAUUCUUCAUCAACCAAACAAAUUUUAUCAAAUCAUUUGCAAUCUCUAAUCAUUUUGUUUAUCGAGAAAACUGUUUAGAAGAAAUAGACUCCAUAGAAAAUCUCAAGUUUCGCAACAACAAAAGGAAACGAGUAUUACUUCAAUCAAACUAAAUAAUAUCUAACACAAAACAGAAGAUAAUUGAAGAAUCAAAACCAAACCAACAGAAAGAGAGGAACAGAGGAUAUAGCACUAGCCCAAAACCGUUUUUUAAUCUUCUUCCUCUGCUUCGUUCUCGGCAAUGUUGAAGUACCUCAACUCAUAGAGGUUACGGUCCUUGUUUGCCGCAAUCACUCUGAGCCAAUCCCUCACGUUAUGCUUCUUCAAGUACUUCUUUGUCAAGUACUUGAGAUAUCUGUCACAGACAUAAACAAGGAAUUACACUUAAGAGACAAUCUAAAAUCAGGUAAACGAAAGCAUUACCAACACUAUUCGAUAUUCUCCAUUCAACACCGUACUAACCAACAAGAUGAACAAAAGCAUUACCAAAACUAUUCAAGUUUCCACAUUCAACACCGUACUAACAACCAAGAUGACCAAAAACAUUACUAAAACUAUUCAAGAUUCUAUAUUAAACAUUGUACCAACCGACAAGAUAAACAAAAACAGUACCAACGAACCGACUUUUACAUAAACAUAUACUCGACUCUAAGCGAUAAAUUAAAGAUUCUACAUUCAACAUUAUACCAUCCGACAAGAUAAACAAAAACAUUACCAACCAACCAGUUUUUGCAUUGACCUAUUCUCAACUCUAUGCGAUAAAUUCAAGAUUCUACAUUCAACAUUAUACAAACCGACAAGAUAAACAAAAACAGUACCAACACAUCGGUUUUUACAUUGACUUAAACUCGACUCUACACGAUAAAUUCAAGAUUCUACAUUCAAAUUGAAGCAUUACCAAAACUAUUCCUAACGACCAAAGCCACAAAUCUAGACACAAGUUAGGUCAAAAUCGGUGCAUUUGGUUUCAGUUUUAACGAUACCUCUUGGAGAAUUGACCAUCAGAAGUGACAGUAAUCUUGCUCUUCUCACGAGUGAUAGAAACAGAAUCACCAAGAGCACCAGCUUUACCACCAACCUUAAUCCUCUCCUGAAGAAACUUCUCUAAAGAAGCAAUCUCCAUAAUCUUAUCAUCCACAGGCUUCGAACAAUCGAUAGUGAAGGAAACUCCCUUCUUCUUUCCCUUAGUCGCUGCUGCAUUACCACGACUCAUUUUCACCUCUGCAAAUCCAAAAACAAACUCAUUUUCAUUAUGUAAAAUUCGAAUCUGAAUCUAUGUUCGUCGAUUACAUUUCCAGGAAAACGAAAACUAAACAAUAGAGGUAAGGGUUUAAACAACAACAAGAAUCGAUUCAAUGGAAGAAUAACGAAGGACGAUAAUGGUGUACCUGAAGUUGAAGAAGAUGGGAACUGUGUGAAGCGAAGAGCGGCGUCUAUUGAUCUUUGAAAGAGAAGAAGAAAAAUGCAAUUAGGGUUUUUUGGCUUUUAAGGUGCUCGUGUCAUUUUGUGAUGAUAAAUAACAGAAGUGACCCUGAUUUAUUUGUUUAUUCGAGAUUAAACCCCGAAACUUUCAGAUUCAUUUUUAAACCCAUUUAUUUGUAAUGGUUAAGUUUGAAGUUUUUACGAUGGAUCUUCUAAUGGGCCGAGAAACUUGAGGAGUGUGUUGCCCACAUUUUUCUUUUGCAACAGUAGGAAAAUAACUGAGCCAAAUUAGAAUCUUCAAAACAAUUCCAAAUUAAUUUAUUUUUAUUUUUUAACUCUGGAUUUAUUAUUUAUUGCAAAUUAUGAGAACUGUUACAUAGACGAUUCUACUGACAAUUUAUUCUACAAUUAAUUUAUUUUAUAUGAUAAUUUAUUUUAUACUUUUAAAUAAAAUAUAUAAAUUACAAAUUUACAUGAGAGGGCAAAAAGAUGAUAUAAAGAAACGGAUCCAAAAUGGAAUAUCAUAAAAUAUGUAAAUAUCAUAAUCAAUCUUUUGAUAUGUGGAUUGACGAUCUAAUAAUAUUUUUUAUACAACAUUGAUGAACCAAAUUAUUGCACGAUAUAUUUUGGUUUUUGAACUUAUUAUAUAUCGCUAAUGUGAAUUAUGUGAUUAUGUUAGAUACAAAGAAUCAAUAAAAAGAUGAUCAUUAAUAUAUUUUAUACUUUUGAAUAAAAUAUACAAAUUACAAAUUUACACAAAAGCAAAAAGAUGUCAUAUUCAUAAAAUUAUACAUAGGUACAUAUAUAACGGAUUGUUACUAUGGUUUAAUACAUCGUUUUGGUGGUCUCUUUGUUGGUCCUCUUCUUCCAGGUGCACGCCUUGAACAACUACCAUCUACUUCAAUCUCGAUUUCUUUGAUCAUCUUUUGAUCCCAGACCUGAGACCCCUACCUCGAAUUCUUUCCCAACAAAGAAAACAAUCACCUAAUCAACUUUUUAUAUCUUUAAGUUAUAAAUUUUAUAAAAUGCAGUUGAAACAAUGAUUCAGAUUGAAUAAAAUCCGUAUCGAAAAAACCAGUACAAAAAUUGAAAGGGAGUAGAAAGAGAAUGUUUCAGUAUUUUUUUUAUAUAUACACAAAGAGACGGUAAAAUCAAUUAAAAUGAAUAAAUUAAACGAUUUUAAUUUCGUAUUCUUUGAAAUUUCUUUGUCUUGAAGAUGUAUUGCCAAACAUAGGAUCGAGACCAAAAAUUUGUCAAAGUGAAAUUGAAUAACAUUCAGUUAUCAUUCUAUAUUGUAACCCAGAAAAAAGUUGAACUACAACAAAACCAAAAUCGAGUUGGAUAUAUCAAAAUGAUCGCAAUAAAAAACUUACUUGGCUUUAAAGCUUCAUAUUGUACUCGGGCCAAUUCUGUGUUCGAUAAUCCAGAGAACAAAAACAAGGACAAAGUUAGCAAGCAAACCACGACGUUACACAUUUUUACGUUGUAUUAAAAUUUUAAAGUAUGAAUUUCGAUAUGUAAAUCGGUGCAUAUAUAUAGAGAAAAAUGAACUCAAGUUACGGUAUUCAAUUGAAAAAUUACUAACCCCACGCGCCUGAAAUUGUUUUUCUCUCAAAUUUUUUUCUCGCCCUUGCCGCAACCUCGAGCGUCUUCUCCGGUGACUGGUGGUUGGUGCCUUCUUUAGCAUCACACCGGUCACCCCUCUUUUCUUUUAUCGUUGCUCCACUCCGGUGCUUGAGAUUCUCGGCCAAGUCUCGAUUAUGCUAUGUUUCUCGCGGCGAGUGUUGGAGAUCCGCCGUGCGUGACGGCCUCUUACGGUGGUCGGGAUCUUUUCCUCUGUGGCUCUAUUGCUUGUCGACGGCGAUAGACGAACGGCUGAGUCUUGUUUCCUUCCCUUGCGUCUCGCAUCUCGACCGGCGGAGCAAGCCUCGCUUGCAGAUCUACUUCUAGAUCGUCUCCUUCCUGGUGUUUCUGGUGGCGAUAGAAGUUUCUAUCGGCGGCGCUAUGGUGUCGCUUCUCCGCUUUGCAAGGAUUCACAUUUUCCAAGCCUCCGCUUGGAUUAACCGCCGUGCAUUGUCUCGCUUUUUUCGGAGGUUUGUCAUCUUUCUGAUGGGUUGUUUCGCUUGAGGACGGCCAAAUUCCAGAGGUUAGGUGCUACUGUCCCUUCCGCGUGAGUCGAUUUCGUGCGUUGGAGUUAGUUUCGCUUUGAGUGGUUUUCAGUGGCUCCGUCGAAGCUUCUCGGCCGUGUUGGUUGUGUUGUUCUUCGUCUUGAGUCGUUGAAGCCUCUACCGCUCUUGUUACUCUCCUUCGCAUAGGUUUCAGAGUAUCGCUGCUAGUUGGUUUCAGUUUGGGCGUUCUCCUUGACGGCGAGACUAGGCGAUUUGAUGAACAUUUCUCUGUUGGCAACUUCUGCUUGAGGACAGUGGCAGGACUAUUAGGAGGAUGUUCUGACGUGGCACGUCUGGUUUGUUCACCGUCUCGAAUGCUCUUUUUGUGCCUUCAGGUGGCUGCUGUGAUGUUUGAUUUGUUGAUGACUUAGUCGUCGGUGGUGACUUGUUGAUCAUCUCCAAUUGAUAACGUCACUUGUAUAUCUUGACUUGUUGAUUUUGCUCAAACCCAGGUUUUGUUUGUGUCUUGCUAGUGUUGUUGCUUUGAGUCGAAGUAGGCUUUGCUUUGAGUACUCGCCUUUUUGCGUUUUGCUUUGUGCUUUAGAGGAGCUAGUAAGGCUUUUGACGAUUCGGUGUGGUUGUGCUUUGUGUUAUCUUGCUCUGUGCUAGCUGACUUCGGGGAAUGAACUUGGUAGAGGGAGCUCGUACCGUUUCGCAUAUUUUGGCUUGUGAGGUUCCGUUCAGGGAAAGCUCAUGGAUAUGUUCGCAGAACCGCUCUCACAUGACGGGAGGAGUAUGUGAUCGAGGGCUUUGAGUUCUAUGCCGUUGACGGCUCGGUCUCGGACCUCCUUUGAAAGGCUUCUGAAGCUAAGCGUCCUGUGAAUCUAGGUGUUUACAAUUUGCAGUCGCCCUUCUUCUUCAGCAACUAAUCCGGGAAGAACAAUAAAAUCGUCAUCGCUUCAUCUAACUCCCUUAGCCUCGUUGCUUUGGUUGAGUGGAUGGACCGAGUUCUUUGGCUUCCAAAUUAUGCUUCCAUGUUUUAAUUUUUUUUGCCAUGGGACCAUUUGUAUAGGUCUAUAAUCUUUGAUUGUAAACCUAAACUGUUUUCAUUUUCUAUGAAAUAUUUACCUUCUUAGCAAAAAAAAAAAAAAAAAAAAAAAAGUUACGGUAUUCAUUUAUAUAUAUAAUUUUUGAGAAAUGAAGUCAGAUCACGCGGAUUGGUGCUAUGGACAUAUGAUUUAUAUAUAUAUAUAUAUUUCUUUUGUUUUGUUCAACUGACUGUAUCAUUUUUCUCUAAACAUGUUAGUUUUUUUUUAUCAAAAAACAUGUUAGUUUAUGUGUUGAAAAUGUACUGCUAGAAGAAAAAAACUUAUGUGUUGACAAUGCGUAUUUGACUCUUGAAAAUGUCUUAUCUGAACUGGUCUAACAUAUUAUUAUUAUUAUUAUUUCAUUAUUUUGUGGAGGUCCAGGUUCUAAUUAGUUUACAUUGGCUACAAUACAUCUGUGUUAUAUUUUUUUAAAAAAAAAAUUACAAUACAUCUAUGCUAACAAAACAAAGAGACAAAAAUUCAAAUGGGCAUUACGCUAAACAGCAAAAGCUUUGUAUCUUGAAUGCAUUUAUUAAACUUGAUUGCGUUGCUUACUUACGAUUUGUAAGCUUCUUGCAGCGAUGAAGUUCAGAUUACCACCUUCAACCGUCACUUAUCCUAGUGGUUCUCAUACCUCUUGUGAGGUUUUAGACAUAUAUUAAUAUGACACACCAAUUCAGAUCACAUACAAGUAUACUAACUUUAACGAGUCCCGGGUACAAUGAAUCUCGUGUGGGGCUCUUACCCACAAACCUCCACUAGAAUCGAAAAGAGUUGAAGGUUUGUGCCACGACCUCUAAUUUCUCUCUUUAGACGUUCCUAGAUCACUAUUACAUCAUCUAAUGGAGAGAGAGAGAGAGAGAAUCACGAAAAGGAAGAAGAAGAAGAAGAAGCAUGUAAACGAUACAAUCAGAAAAUAGAAGGGAAAAGUGACUGUACUACUCUGGCUUACAUGCUCUGUUUUUUUUUUGUAACUAACACCUACCAAAUUUUAGCAACGUGUGAAAUUAUUUAGUGUUAUUAAACGGUCGAAAAUUUAUCAAUUCGUCAAUGUUAUAAUAUGAGCCGAAACCAAUUUGUCAAUAAAUAUAUCAAUUACAUAAGAAAGUGGCUGCUAUGUAAUUUGAUUAAUGCAAAAGCUGACUAUUAACAUGACACAUUUUUCUCACUUUCAAAUGAGAAAACAGAAAGAAAGUUGAGGCAUAUCUUAAUAUAGCAUAAAAGUAGAAACAUUUUUAUGAAUUUGGACGUGACCAUUGAAGAAAUUAUUGAACUAGGAAUUGUAGAGCUUUACCCCUAAGGGAACUCUUCCAGAAAUUCUCGAAGGCCCAAGACAAGCUUAGGCCUAGGAGGGGGUUUGGAAGUAGUUUUCAACAAGCAAUAGACGCACCUCGGUUAAGACCUCAUUAGCUGCGUCAUUGCCCCAAGCGCAAGGAUGAUUUUGAAACGAAAGAGAGGCCCUUUAUUUAUAGCCAAACAGAGCCUAUCAAGCUAAUAUAUACUUCCGAUGUGGGACCUUUUGUGUACCAAAUCACAUAACGCAAAGUCGCAAUACUACCGUUGUUGCUUUGUGGGAUUAUUGCAUACGUCAUUAAGUUCUCGAAAACAAAAAGUUUCUCAGCGGAAGCAAAAAGACUCAAAGACUGAUAUUAAAUGGUAGGGGCUGCGCGAACGCAAACCCCCUCUGCCACAAAUAAUGACAUAGGCUCUUCCUCAAGGGAAGACCUUAAGCAUAGCACCCCAACAGUAUGUGCAAUGCGGUCACUAGCCUAGGCCACUCGUCUUAUUGAUCGCGAGUCGACCCUGUCCAGGUAAGUGAUUUGCUCGAGCCGUCCACUUCUCUAUAUAUACUCCUGCUUCCCCAGUCAUUGCUUUGGGUGUAAGCGAUGUGGGACUUCUUAAUAUCAUCAACACAUUACACAUCGUGCUGGUUUCUUUUCAACGGUAUGAAUUUUUGUCUUGAUUAUUAACAUGGGCUGGAUGCUCUAGGCCCAAUUAAGUGGUUGAAACGACGGUGAAAACGUUUUUUACAAACAGAAAAUUAUUAACAUUGCCAGGCACAAAAAAAAAAAAAAAACACAUUGCCAGGAGACUGUAAAAACAGUUUUUAAAAGACAAUACAGAAAAAUGUGAAUUUGGGAUAGGAGAUACAGAUAUUAUCAGGAUUUAGGCUAAUAUCAGAGUGAAAUGACCAUGCUUAAUAAAAUAUAUAUUUAUUCAUUUAGUGUCUGUAUGAAACUCUUACAUUUUCGCAUCCCGAAUGUUGCAGUCAAUCUGCAAGGCUAUAGUAUGCCUAAAUUAACAAAAUAGGUAUCAGCCAUUUCAAAAUACCAAAAGAACUUACAAAACAUGAAGUUUUCAUUAGCUAAAAUAUGCCUACAAUAACAGAAUAGGCAUGAGCCAUGGUAAGGGUUUCUAGUCCUUAUUUAAGUUAUCAGGCUUCAGAAAUUUUGGGAUUCUAUCAGUGGCUCCAGAUUUGUGAUCAUAGUACUCCACUGCAGCUGCUCCAGCCAGAGCGGCUAAUGUCAGCGCCUGAGCAUGCAACCUGACAAUAUGAUAAAAAUCUGUGAGAUACCAAAUGUCAAAUAAGAAGAAUUGAGAGAUCAUCAUACAUAUAGUAAAGAACCAAUCUAUGAAAAUUUUAGAACUGUAAUGGUCACAUUUGUGUUACAUAUCCAACACCCCAAGUACAUGUAUUUAAGCACAAAACACGCAUACGAUUAGCUGUUGUUACCAAUUGAUUUGUCUAGCAAUAAGGCCCAGCUAAUACAAUGAAGAACAACACGAACAAGCGAUUUUAAUUCACUUAAAGAAUCUAAGGAAAAGAAUUAGAGUACCCCCUAAUUGAAGGCUCAUGCUUUCUCUACCAUUAGUGUUCUUUAACGUAAUUGUUUGUGGUUAAGCAAAAUGUUGUUAUAUGAGAACACAUAACUAAGUUGCUUUGAUGUUCAUUAAAAGGAGAUAAGAACCAGGUUCUUCAAUUGAAUGAUCUAUAUAGCUUAAGCCAUUGAUAACUUCUAUCAUCUAAGAACGUCUAUAUACCAAAAUCAAAAGAAACAUUUAGGAGCACUAAGAUAAGAAAAUUUUACCUAGCGUGGAUGAUUCUGACACUGGUUUUCAUGGCAGGUUUUGACCAGUUAUAGGCGAUUGAACCAGAGAUACCACUAAGCCAUAAACAACCUAUCAAAAAUCCAAUUCAGAAACAACAAAUUUUAUCAGAACAGAACACAAAAACUCAUACAUGCAUCAUCAUCUCCAAUGUUACGAAACCAAAUCGGCAAAAAAUGGUGAAGCAAAGAAGAAAUUCGAUUUUGGAAAGGAGAAAAAAAAAAACCCUAAAGUUAUCAAAAUUGAGAUAAUUUAGAUCCAAAACUUUGGAUCUGAGGAUUUAUUCAGAUCUAUAAUAACGAUGAACCAACACGAACAUUCUCCCGAAACUCGAUUCGUGUACGCUACGAGAAAAUUUGUUAUACGAUGAACACAAAGGGAAUAAGAGGAGGAAGAGUGAGAUUACCAACGGUACGAAGCUUGUGUUCGACGAUCCAUUCCCUGACUUCUGCAAAUUUUGUCUUUGAUUCUGCCAUUGUUGAAGAAGAUGAGAGAAAAAUUAAGAAUUGGGAGAGAAGAAAGAGCGUCGGGCGUUGGUUUUAAAGCGGUAAAUUCUGAGGAAGAGAAAGCCAAUUUCCUAACUUGCGCUUCAUUUCGCUGAUUCGUGUUUUUUUUUAAUAAAGUGUAAUUUUUUUUUUUUUUUUUCAACAUUCCUUAAUUGACUUUUGUUAUUUUAUUUCAACGCUAGUUGAUUAAAAAAGCCAUCGAACAUAUAAAAAAUCUUUUUGUUUGGUUAAAUUUCCAAAGAGUGGCAAAACCACACCGAAUUUAAAGAACUUGAAACGUCUAUGGCUAAGAAAUCCAACCAGAACAACAAAAUGAUUUAAAAAAAAUGCUAAAGCUUAACAGCAAUUUUCAUGCCAAAACAGACUCACUCUUACACUGAUAAUGCUCAUGGGCUUCUUUCUUCAUGGUUGCGCAUCAGUAUUCAUCAGUCAUCAUCAACGAUAAUUCGACAUCUCCGAGAACGUUUUGUGAGUUUAUUAAGAUCCUCGUAGACAUCUGAAUUUGAUGCAUAUCGAGGGUAGUCUAUGAAACUCAGAGUGAGUUUCUUGAGGACUGCUGAGUUUUCAAGAAAGUACUUCGCUAUUAUCAUCUCCUCUUCCUCCCAUUCAAACAAUCCUUUUAUCUCAACACAUUCGAGAGUCGAUAUGAAACACCGAGGCACAUUUACGAGAUUCAGCUCCUCCGUCUCGUCAUCCUUUGCAAAAGCAAUCUUCUGCAAACACCAAAACAAAGGCCGGGUAAUUAUACACAUCAACAAUACCAAAAUGCAUGUUGUUACGGCAAAAUCGCAAAAGGUUUUACCAGGAUUAGGAUUUUCAGAUUCGGGAAACUCUCAAGAAAGGCUGGCAAAAACGGUAGCAAGGGGCUCGGGAACACAGCCUGUAAACGGGAUAAGUUAUUGAAUUUGGGAAUCGAUCCUACUUUUGAGUAACUAUCAAGGGCCUGCAACAAGAAGAGAGGAAAAAAGAUACAAGUAAGAAUUUUCCAAUUAGACAAAUUUCAGGAAUAGUUGUCUGCGAGAUGAAAUAUAUAUAUACCUUCACUGUUUUCUUAGAGAUGAUCAUAUGUCUUGCACGAGAUAUCCCAGUGAGAAAAUCAAGGAUUUCAUUUGUCUUCCAUAAGUCCUCUGGAUCAAAACUACUGUCAUAAUUGACAACAAACUUGAUAUCAAGGUCAAUCAUGAACAAAGAAGUCAGGUUCUUUACUAUGAUUUUCUCGAAAUGGUCUUCUUUGAGAGUCAUAGACUCUAGUCCUGGAGCAUCAAUCUCAAGUACUGUGUCUAGGACUCUUGAUCUACAAAAACUUCCAUAUGUGAGCGGAACAUAAAACGUCUUCAGACUCCAAGAUCUCACACGGGUAAGCGCAACCACCAAUUCAUCCUCAUCAAGAUACCUUACCAAGGUCAGUUCUUCAAGAACAGGACAUCCAGAGACAAGCUUUUCAAGAUGCAUAGUACCAGACCAUCGAAUUUCCUGAAGAAACAUGACUUUAAGACAAGGCAUAUAAACAAAACCCGGAUCCCUAAGACCCGAACACGAGAGCUUUAAAGAAACCAAUGUCUUGCUCGUAAACAGAUUCAGAGGCAUGAACUCGAAAUAAGGAUACAUAAAGCCGUCAUCCUCUCGAUAUUCGGUACUGCUCACAGCAUCAAGAAGUCGAAUUCCGCGGUUAAUCGCUGUACCGAUCCGAUCCUUGAACCCAAGUAUCUCACGCCUACUGUAAUCUACCUUGAAUUUUUGCAGGCGUGACUCAGGAUUAAACUCUAAAAACCUGUCGAUGAAGUUAAUAAACACUUCUUCAUAUUCUUCAUCUUGAUCAGGUAAAUCACGGCAGUUCAAGUCAAGUCCGGGAACAUUUAGCCAUAGAUUCUUCCAUCUAGUAGAUAAAACACUCGUCUUCACCGAAUCUUUAGUCGGAAGGCAUAAGAGUAUUUGAGUAAUCAAAGAUUCCGGUAAUUCGCUGAUUCUAUCAAACCCAGGCAUCACGAGACACAAAACCCUAAGAGCAUGAACAUACAACAACAAUGUAACUUGAUCGAAUCCUAGGCGUAUAAUUAUAUAAAUCAAUUAAAAUCAAGUAACGUUUACGAAAGACUCACCGUGGAUUUGAUUCUCCGGCGAAUUAUCGACCGGAGUUCUGGCUUCAGAGGCUAAGUGAUAAACGCUGGUAUCGAUCAUUUUGACUCAAAACCCUCAUUUUAGUAUUUAUACCAGUACUCGAAGCAGCUCCAAUUCCAAUUGCGUUUCGAAAAAAAAAUGGUUGCCAGUAUUAUUUCUUAAACGCAAUUCCAAAAAACGCGAUCUAUAAGUAACUUUUUGAAAUAAAUACUAGUUUUCACAAGUAUUUACAAUAAAAUAUCAUUAGAUUUAAUUCUUAAGAUUUGCAAAAUUAAAUAGAAGAUACAGUAUUAACAAAACAAUUUGAAUCCUAAAUUGUCUCUUAAAACUUAUUUUUCCAUACCUACAUUCGCUCAUUUGCUAACUACCAUUUAAAAAAUAAUAAUUAAUUCUAACAAUAAUCGUUUAAAGCUAACAAUAAUCGUUAUUUAGCUGAUAUUUAAGAAAAUAGAAACUAAUUACUCCACAUAUAUCUCAUCAGUAUUCAUUGUUUAGCUACAUAAAAGUAAGAAUAUUUAAGAAACUAUAAACUACUUACUCUACAUAUAUCCAAGAUUCUUGGUAUUUCCUUAUCUAUAAUUCAUAUAAUGGAUCAAAUAUAUCUUCGAUCCCAACUACAUCUUAUGUCUCAACUAAUUAGUACUAUCAAUCUCUUAAUAUAUGGCAUAUUCCUUGCAUUUAUAAUAAAUCCGAGAUUUUGUUCCAUAUAUGUUAUUGUUACAUAGAUAUUAUACUUCUUUAGCAAGAUUUUCAUCACUAACUAACGUGUAUCGAAAUUUACAUCUUAAACCACUAUAAAUAGAGGCAUUAUCUACGUCUUCUAAGAGCAUCCACAAUGGUGCAUGUGGGUGGAUGUGUGUUAACAAUAUAUUUAUUAUAAUUUUUUUAAGAGAGAGAGAUUUGGUUAGUGGAGAAACAGAGAGGAGAGAGAAAGAGAUAGAUUUAUUAUUUUCCAUUUUUAAAAUAGUCACAUUCGGAUGUUAGUUUACAUCCAUAUUUUGUCUCAACACCUCUAAAUCUAUUAUUUUCAAUUUUUAAAAUAGUGACACCCUUAGCAAAGGUGUGCCACUGCGUAUGGUCUAAGGUUAUCAUAUUCGUGUCCGUCUCCAAUUAAUUCGUCAUCGGGUCGUAAAAAGAUUAAAAACCCUAAUUUCUUUCUUUUAUUGGUUUUAGUAUUAAAAGAUUAACCCUAAUUUCUAUUGUAGAAGAAACAUAAACCCUACUCUAUUGUUUUAGUAGAUUAGGAAUCUAAGUUUAUCGAAUCCUAGGCGUUGAUUCUUGCGUAUAAGUUUACCUGAUUUACCGGACUACUUAUUCUUAUUAACUAUACUUACUAAAAUUAAAUAUUUCUUUAAAUAAAAGCUUCUAUAUAAAAAUUCUAUAUAUUAAAUUAUUAUAUUUUUAAUUGAAAAAAUAAAUAAUUUCAACAUAAUUUCAACACUAGCAUAUUCUAUCAUAUAUUAUUAAAUUUUAAAUUAAAACUGUAAAUUUAUAAGUCUAAAUUUAUGAAUGAAGUAAAUACAAUUUUAUUUGUAUAUAAAUAUAAAUAUUGAAUAAUAUUGUUAAUAUAUAAAAAUAUUUUUAAGAUACUCGCUUUUAGCCAAAAUAUCUUAUAAAAAGAAACUGAGUAAGUAUAUAUGUUAGAGUGAAAGGCUACCCAAGUAAACUAUUUGCGUCUUUUGUUUGUCUUUUUAAAAAUCCUUUUUAUUUUAAAUUUGUAUGUGUGCUUUUUUUUUUCUUUUUUUGGGGAGGGAGACGUAUUAUCAUAAGAAAUUAAAAGAAAUUACAUUCAAACAUCAUCCAAACAUGUCUUGGGCAUGUAGCCCCUCCAACACAUCCAACAUAAUUGAAUUAACACAAUCUGGCCUAAAAUCAAAUAAAUGAAAUCCUAAAAGCAAGAAAAAACAUAGUUUGCUAACCAAUCUGCAACACGAUUAGCUUAUCUAUACACAUGUGAGAUACAAACUAUCCAAUCUUUUGAUAUAAAGUCAUAGCACAAACCUACUAGGAAAGACAGUGGGUGAGAAUCACUGAUCACGGUCUUAAGAAAAUCAACCACAAUCUUCGAAUCCACUUUCAACUCCACUCGCGUCACUCUUCUUUUCCAAGCAACAUAGAAACCAUAGUAAAUCGUCCCAUAGUUCCGCUAGAGGUGCAUAACAUAUGCCAAUAUUAACUGAGAACCCUCUAUAGGACCACUCACCCUUAUGGUUUCGUAGGACUCCACCCGCAGUUGCUAAGUCCGGGUUCCCACGUGAUGCCCCAUAUGUAUUUACCUUCAUCCAUCCAUCUCCCGGUGGGAUCCAAGCAAUCAACCUUUCAAUUCUCUCCAUAUUUCUAGUCGGUCCCCCAAAGAUAAUUGCGAGUCAGCCACCUCUUUUGCCAGAUCUUUGAUUAAUUUUAUUUUGUUUCUACACUUUAUGUUUUCCCCAAACACAUUACCACAACUCCACUUCCAUCUCCACCAUGACGUUAUAGAAAAGAGCAUGGACCUUAACGUGUCCCCUGACAUUCCUGCCUCCACAUGUUACCAUAAAGCCACUCAAACAAGGUUUGGGUAAAGAACAUAUUGGCAUUUCUCGAACUAACCAGUCGGUUCCAUAUACCUGACAUCGUCGGGCAAUCCCUUAACACGUGUAGAAUGGUUUUCUCUCCUCCCUUACAAACCUGAUAUAUGCCCGAAUCACAGAGAUGGCGCCUACAUCUUUCCGCAUUCGUCAUGAUGGCUUGAUUCAUAACUAAAUGUGUGCUUCAUUUAAUCAAUCAUUGAUUUAGCGUUCUUUUAUCAUACACUUCUUGUCAAGCUUUUCAUUCAUCUCUUUCAAUAUUUUUUCAAGCUUUCCCUACAAUUUUUUCUCCUUCCAAACUUUCAUUACCUCUUCAUACACAUGUCUCCUUCUCUUCAGCUACGGUCACCAGUUUUCUGAUUUGAUUUUUGUAUGAUCUCUCUGAGCUUUAAAGACUAAGACCAUCUCCAAUGUAUUUUCCUAUUUUUAGCUCUAUCUUUAUAAUAGAGGUAAGUUUUCUCUAUUUUUACUCCAAUGUGUUUCUCUAUUUUUUCUUCUAAAAAGUUUAACUCUAUUUAUAGGGGAAAAAAUAGAGAUUCUUUAUUCUCACCUCUAUAUAUAGAGAAUAAAAUAGAGAUCUCUAUUUUAGAGGUGAGAAUAGAAGUGAGUUGGAUUAGAUUUGCCUCUAAAAUAGAGUUUAGAAGCAAAUAUAGAGGUGGGUUGGAAAUGCUCUAAUACGAGACUUUGCAUGUAGGAAACAAGCUUUAUUUGAGCCACCCAAUCAUAAUUAAAAGCGAGAGUAAUAAGAAGUUGUAUCGUUUUGACAUAAGAUUUCGUAAUGAUUAAAUUGUUCUCCAACUAAACACCGGAGUCAAAGCUUCUUUCACUAAAAGAGAAAAUUUUUAAGUUUCUUUUACAUCUUGUUUCUAAAAUAAUCUAAAGAUUACCAAACCCACAAGAUGAUGAACAAUGAUAAAAAAUUAAGUUAUAUUAAUAAUGAAUACACCAGAAUUUCAAAAGAAUCCUUAACGAGUUUAGAUCACUUAGUUUCUGACUAACACAAAAGAGGUGGAGAGUUUUAAUUCUUUAAUUAAGAUCCCAAAAAAAACAAACUCUUUACGAACACAAUCAUGUGAGCUUGCGUUUGCGAGUUUUGAUCUCCUUUAUCAUGUGAGCAAUCCCUUCUUUAAGUGUUGCUUUCCUCUCUUGUUCGAAAUUCCACAGUACCGGAACAGUGUACCGACCACUCGGGUUAAACUCGUUCAGUUCCACAAGUGCUGUCUUAACUGCGUUCUUCACUUCUUCUCCCCACUCUUUUCUCAGAUUCUUAAGUUUCUCAUCUUCUUCAUCCACCACUUCCUGCACCAUCAUAACCAUGUAACUAACAUGCACCAGAAUCAAGAUAUCUAAUACGAGAGAGAUGAAAGUAACUGAACUAAACAUGAGACAGAACAAACCUUCAUUUUUUCUCCGGUUCCGACACGUUUGAAUGGAUACCAUGAUGGAUCCUUGAGUGUUUUCUGCCAUUUCGAACAAAGCAUGGCUUGUUCCAACUCAACGUUUUCACCACUAAAUCUCUGUCUACACACUUUCAAGAAAGGCUUUUCAUCAAUUUCUCCCAUUCUUUUUACUCCAAUGGUGGGUGAUCUAUCACCUGAUAAAUCUCUCAAUCCCUACACAAACAAAAAAUAGACUUAUAUGUGAAAGUGAAACCCACAAAACAUAUAUCAUCAACACACUCAAGCAAGAACAUGAAAAUAUAGUUAUUACCCUAAUCGAUUCUUUGCGUGCUUCUUGUAUCUCAUCAUUGCUUUGACGUUCUUUAAUAAGUAAGACUGAGUUCAUAUCCUCUAAUUCUUCUAACUCACAACGCUCCUCUUCCAGCUUCUCGUUCAUCUCCUUCAUUACUUUCUUCAGCUCUUCAUUCUUCUCCUUCAUUACUUUCUUCAGCUUUUCAUCUUUCUCCUUCAUUACUUUCUUUAGCUUUCCAUUCAUCUCCUUCGUCACUUUCUUCAGCUCGUCAUUAUUCUUCUUCUAUUAAGGAUAUUUUCCUAUAUUGUAGAUAUUAUCAAAUCUCAUAUGUAUAUUUUGCUUUGUCUCCAAGCUAUUAGUUUAGGGUUUUCGGUUUCUUAGGAAUGUAUAAAUACUUGACCUUAGGGUCCAUGAAAUACAAGCUGAAUAUUAUUCAAUUCUCUACUUUGACAUGGUAUCAGAGAACGAAAACUUUUUCUAAAUCACAAUCACGAAUCUUCUUCCCCUUUGCCUCUCGGCAUCUUACUCUCACGUUUAAAGCCUCUCGGCUUCUUCUUAUCUGUUUUAAUCUCUAAGCCUCUCGGCUUCUUAUUCUCUGUUUCAAAAUCCUAGCCUCUCGGCUUUAUCUUCUCUGUUUUCUCGAUCUCUACUCUAUUUUCCGGUUUUAAAACAGAGCCCUUUGAUUCACGAUGGCUUUGGCUACUACAAACCCGAAACAUAAGACCAUCUCUCCUUAUGAUUUGACAGCGACUGAUAACCCGGGAGCUGUGAUUUCUUAACCUCUUCUCAAUGGACUCAACUACGACGAAUGGGCCUUGAAUCUGCGUAUGGCUCUCAGCUCACGCAAGAAGUUUGGCUUCCUUGAUGGAAGCAUAUCUAAACCAGCCAACGAUGCUCCUGAAUUCGAAGACUGGACGGCUAACAAUCAUUUGAUUGUCGGAUGGAUCAAACAAACAAUUGAACCGAAGAUCAGAUCAACGAUCUCAGCUCGUGAAAUUGCCAAAGAUCUCUGGGAAAUCAUCAAGAAACGCUUCUCUGUUAAAAGUGGAGCACGACUACAACAGCUUCGUAACUCAUUGUCUAGUUGCAAACAGAACGGGUCUACGGUCGACGAAUACUUUGGAAGAUUAACAAAACUCUGGGAUGGAAUUGCAGAAUGUAUGAAUUCAAAACGUUGCAGUCGUGGCAAGUGUGAAUGCGAUCUCAAUACGGCUCGGGACAAGGAACUUGAGACUCUCCGAGUUCAUGACUUUCUUUCGGGACUUGACGACUCCAUUCAUGGUGCAAUUCGAUCACAGAUUUGUGCUAUUACUCCACUUUCCGAUUUGGAUACGGUGUAUCAAACGAUUUCCCAGAAUGAAACAAUUCGCUCGAAUGUAACCAAUGAAGCUGUUGUGAUGGGAUUUGCCUCACAAGUCUCUGGUCUGAAUACUUCUCCCUCGAUAUUUACAAGCGAUGUUACAAAACGGAACACAAGCUUCACUGGUUCUUCUCGGUUUGGUCCAGGGAACCGCGAUCCGUCUCGUAAAUGCUCUGGCUGCGGGCGUAUGGGACAUGAGGCCUCUUCCUGCUUCCAAGUUGUGGGCUAUCCAGACUGGUGGGGAGAUAGACCACGACAUAGACCUGAUCCUCGAAGCACACAAGGACCUCUAGCAGGACGCGGACGUGGAACAAGUCCUCGUGCAAAUCUCACACAGAUUAUCAAUGCUAACUCUGCGGCUGUUGGAUCUUCGGAAAUCACGGACAGCGAUCAACAAGGUUUACUGGGAAUUACUGAUGAUCAAUGGAAGAUUGUUCAGAAAGUGAUCAAUGCGGGAAAGGCAACAGAUCAAUUAAGUGGUAAGACAAAUGAAACUUCUUGGAUUUUAGAUACCGGAGCAACGCAUCACAUGACAGGCCGAUGUGAUCUUUUGAUGAAUGUACGUGAUAUUGCUCCGGUCUCCGUCUUGCUACCCGCUGGUGAAGACGCCAUUGCAACGAAACAGGGCACUGUGCAAUUAACUUCCCGUAUCUCUAUCAAAAAUGUUUAUUUGGUUCCGGGAUUUCAUAUUAACUUGACCUCGUUUUGUCAGCUCGUCACCGAUAACUAUUUAGUUGGACAAGUGACUGAUAAACUUAUGAUCUUGCAGGACCGCAUUACGAGGAUGGUGAUUGGGUCGGGUGAACGAGAGGGAGAGGGGCUGUACCGGUUUCGUGGAAUUGAGACGAUGGCAGCCUUGCAAACGAGUGUUACGGAAAAUUUGAGUUUGUGGCACAAACGUAUGGGUCAUCCAUCUUCUCGAAUCACUGGAAUGAUCUCGGGAGUCCAUGGUGUUUCUAAUAAUAAUAGUGAGCUUUUAUUUAAGAGUUGUGAUGUUUGUCUACGGGCAAAACAAUCUCGUCAGUCUUUUUCGGAUAGUUCUAAUAAUGCAAAAGAAGUCUUUGAUUUAAUUCAUAUUGAUUUAUGGGGACCCUAUCGCACUACGGCAUUUUGUGGAUCACGUUACUUCUUGACUAUUGUUGAUGAUUAUUCUCGGGCGGUGUGGCUUUAUCUACUAGCCGAUAAGACUCAAGUUUCACGAUAUGUACAAGACUUCUUAGCAUUAAUCGAGUGCCAAUUUUCCAAGAAAGUGAAAUCUAUACGAAGUGAUAAUGGGAGUGAGUUUAUGUGCCUUACUAAGUUCUUCCGCAUGCAAGGAAUAGUUCAUGAGACUUCGUGUGUACACACUCCGCAACACAAUGGCCGUGUCGAACGCAAGCACCGCCAUAUUUUGAAUGUUGCUCGAGCUUUGCGGUUUCUAGCAAAUUUACCAAUUGACCAUUGGGGAGAAUGCAUACUUACUGCUGGCUAUAUUAUUAAUAGGACACCUUCUCCAUUGCUUCAAGGUGCAUCUCCGUUUGAGAGAUUAUACGGGCAUUCUCCUUCAUAUUCACAUCUACGGGUCUUUGGAUGUCUUGCCUAUGCUCAUAAUCUUGAUCAUAAGGGUGACAAGUUUGCUUCAAGAAGUAGGCGUUGUGUGUUUUUAGGCUAUCCAUAUGGCAAGAAAGGAUGGAAACUUUAUGAUCUAGACCGUGAAGUUUUCUUUGUAUCUCGUGAUGUUCGGUACUUAGAAGAUACUUUCCCGUUUGCUUCUCCUACCACGACUUCUCUCUCCAAAGACACAGAAGUGUUAACUCCGGUGAUCGGAGUUAUUCCGGUUGAAGAUGAUCCUAGUCCGUUGCAUCAUGAGGCUGAGAAUCAGGUUGACUCCACGAUUACAUCUCCGAUUCCAUCCCCAGAGAUACAUAAGGACUCUGUUAUUGAAGAAACUGAUGUGUUAGAAGACACUCCGACAGUUGUUGAGACUCAGGCCGGCACGGAGACAGUUUUGAUUGAAGAAUUAGGACAAGGCAAACGACCUAAAUUUCCAAAUGUCCGUCUCCAUGAUUAUGUUAUUAGUACAGUGUCAGUUGCUCCGCCUCCUCUCUCUCUCACGUCACCCUCUCCACAGCCAUCCUCAUGUUCGUGUUAUCCCUUAUCUGAUUAUGUUUCUUGUGAGAAAUUUUCUGUUAAACAUCGCAGUUACUUGGCGGCUCUUACUACCAACGUUGAGCCGCGCUCGUUUGCGGAAGCAAUGAAACAUGAGGUGUGGAGAAAUGCUAUGGGUUCCGAGGUGGAUGCAUUGCAAAGAAACCAUACAUGGGAUCUUGAAGAACUACCGCCGAAUAAAAAGGCGCUGGGUAGUAAAUGGGUGUUUACGAUUAAGCUCCGCUCGGAUGGUUCGAUUGAAAGACAUAAAGAUCGUCUUGUUGUCCUUGGCAACCAUCAAAAAGAGGGUAUUGAUUAUACGGAGACAUUUUCACCUGUGGCUAAGAUGACCACGGUUCGCAUGUUCCUAGAUUUCGCUGCCAAGAAAAAUCAUGAAGUUCACCAAAUGGAUGUCCACAACGCAUUUCUUCAUGGUGAUCUUCAUGAGGAAGUCUACAUGAAAUUACCACAGGGUUUUUCGUCUCCCAACGAGACUCGUGUAUGCCGUCUCCGUAAGUCAUUAUACGGGUUGAAACAAGCGCCACGUUGUUGGUUUGAAAAGCUAGUGGAUUCUCUUCUCAAAUACGGUUUUUCUCAAACCAAAUCCGACUACUCUUUAUUUUUCUAUUCGAAGAACGGCAUUUCUCUCCGUAUUUUGGUCUAUAUAGACGAUUUGAUUAUCUCUGGAAAUUCACAAGAAGAAAUCAAGACAUUCAAGAAUUAUUUGUCUACAUGUUUUCAUAUGAAGGAUCUUGGAUUUUUGAAAUAUUUUUUGGGGAUAGAGGUAGCUCGGAAUUCUUCGGGAUUUUAUUUAUGUCAGCGUAAGUAUGCUACCGAAAUUGUUGUUGAAGCUGGUCUCCUUGGUUGUAAACCGGCUGGCUCUCCAAUCGACCAAAAUCACAGCCUCUCUCUUCCGAAGGGUGCCCUGCUCGAAGAUCCGCACACGUACCGCCGACUUGUUGGACGUCUUGUUUAUCUUCUUGCUACUCGACCUGACCUUACGUACGCAGUCCAUGUGCUUUCUCAAUUUAUGCAGUCUCCACGAGAGGAUCAUUGGCUUGCAGCGUUGAAGGUAGUCCGAUAUCUUAAGGGGACUCUUGGACAAGGAGUACUCCUUCGUGCAGACUCACCAUUUCACUUAACCGGCUGGUGCGAUUCCGAUUUUUCAACGUGCCCGCUGUCACGACGCUCCUUGACGGGCUGGUUUGUUCAACUCGGCUCUUCUCCGAUUUCAUGGAAAUCUAAGAAGCAAGAUGUUGUUUCUAUGUCUUCGGCGGAGGCUGAAUAUCGUGCCAUGAAUGCUGUUACUAAGGAGCUCAAAUGGCUCAAAGAACUCCUUCAAGAUCUUGGCUUUGAUCAUCAAGAACCGAUGACGAUUCGAUGUGAUCGUAAGGCGGCUAUUCAUAUCAGUUCCAAUCCGGUGUUUCACGAACGUACUAAACACAUUGAACGUGAUUGUCACUUUGUUCGUGAUGAAGUCCUCAAAGGCAAUGUCAAACCUAUUCAUGUGUCUACAACGGUGCAACUAGCGGAUAUUCUUACAAAGGCGUUGGGACGCAAUGAGUUUGAUGCUUUUCUUCUCAAGUUGGACAUUCGAAACUUACAUGCUCCAACUUGAAAGGGGGUAUUAAGGAUAUUUUUUUAUAUUGUAGAUAUUAUCAAAUCUCAUAUAUAUAUUUUGCUUUGUCUCCAAGCUAUUAGUUUAGGGUUUUCGGUUUCUUAGGAAUGUAUAAAUACUUGACCUUAGGGUCCAUGAAAUACAAGCUGAAUAUUAUUCAAUUCUCUACUUUGACAUCUUCCUCAUUUUCUUCAUCUCUUCAUUCUUCAGCACAGUUACUUUAUUUAUCUCUUCAAAAUGAAUGUUCUUCAACUCAUUCAUCCCUACAUAAAUUUUGUCCCUCAGCUCAUCUAAGCCUUUCUUGAUCUCAUUCAUCUUCUGCCUUUCAUCCAUCUCAUUCAUCUUUUUUUCUUUGUUAGGUUGCUUCGUCUUCUUGUCUAUCUUUCAGCAAAAACUGUAAUCUAAUCUCCAAGCUUCACACACAAGUUUUUUUUUUUUAAUAAGAUACGAAAGUUCUUUAUUGAGCCGCACAAUCCGAGAGUGAUAAGAACUGAGAAGACGUAUCGUUCUGGAUGUAAGAUUUUCGUAAUGAUAAGUUUUGGUUUCCAAUAAAACUUAUUAAUGCACCGUCUCAAACUUUUCUUCUGCGGCUAUUAAUUUAUUAAUUAUUUAAUUACGCUAGAAUACCGAAAAAACAAAAGACGUUGGGUUUGAUUGGUGAACAGAAUAAAAGUAUUACAAGUGGUACAGUUUUUAUUUUUAUUAAUCACAAAAACUUUAUCAAAUGCGUUACUAAAAGUUUAACUCUCAUCUUUUUUUUACAGCUUUCUCGUACAGCUCUUUUAUACAGCUUUGCACUAUUCCGGUAAAGCUAACAGUUCCAGCUAACAGCUAAAAAACUUGUACAGCUUUUAGUUACCAAUCAGACCCGUAAACUUUUAAAUUUAGAUGGUUAGAUGCAGUGUUUUUAAACCCGACCCGGACAGUGAACCGGACUACCUUCUGGGUCACCGGGUCACUGGGUCAACCGGGUUUGAUCACGGAUCAAUUGAUUUAAAUUUAUUUAAUAUAUUUAAUAUUUAUAAAGAAUAUAUAGUUUUAUACAAAUAAAAAUAUUCAUACUAUAUUUACAAAAUAUGAAGUCUAACAAUAAUAAUAAUGUAAUUCAAAUUAAAAUUUUAAAUCCAACUCAAAGUCUAAACCGUAACAAAUAUUAAAAUAGUAGGAGAUCGCCAAUAAUGGAAAUAAACUAAUAAAACAUCGCGAAUUCAAAAAAAUAAUUUCGGUUAUUUCUCUCACCAUUUCAUUCAUUCUUCUUAGACGGUACUGUGAAGUUUCAUUAAAAUCUAAAACAUCAAAUGAGUCUAAGAACUACCAAAAAGUUCUAAAAAUAAUUGAAUCGAGUCUAAAACUCUAUAUUUUAUUCCAAAAUCAAUGAUAUUUUUAAAACUCAUACCCAAUCGGUUCAACCGGUUCAUUGGAUCGCGGAUUAAUGGCGGGUUUUUCUGGUUUUGAAAUUGGCGGAUAUUAGCACUAAACCUAAACCGAAAAAGUAUUCGGGUCAUGGGUUAACCGAUCGGACCGGACGGUCCGGGUCGGGCGUGAAAACACUGGUUAGAUGGUACCCAUAUAUGGCUAGCUAGUGGCCCAUUAUUGACAAAAUACAGCCCACUUUUAGUUUCUGAUUAACACAAAAGAGGUGGAGAGUUUAAUUAAUUAUAUAAUUAAGAAUAAAAAAGGAAAAAAAAAAAAAAACUCUUUACAAACACACUUAUGGGAGCUUGCGUUUGCGAGUUUGAUCUCCUUGGUCACGUGACGUGAGCAAGGCUGGCUCAAAAAGUUUUUGGACCUUGUGCCCAAUUAUUUUUUUUCCUGAAAACUUAAGGUCUUAUUUGAAAAGUUUUAAAAUUUAGGAUCCGUAUUUACAAAAAUAUAAAAAAUUUAGGACUUUAAAACCUUAUAAAAACCAAAAAAAAAUAUGGACCCAGUACUCUAACACUGUCAACAUUGUUUAUAAGCCGGGCCUGGAAGCCCUGGACGUGAGCAAUCCCUUCUUUCACUAUUGUAUUCCUCUCUUGGUUAAAAUUCCAUAGUACAUGCAGUCCCGUCUUAGAGGGUGUGCCAACAAUGCAUUUGCACAGGGUCCACUAUUUUUUAGUCUGUUUUCUUUAAGCAAUUAGGGUCCUGUUUUUCAAAAAAUUAUAUGAAAAUGGUCCAAAUCUAAACAUAUUUAAGAUAUAAACGUUUUUUUUUCAAUUGGGCACAAGGCCCAACUUUUAUAUGAGCCAGGCCUGAGUACAUGAACUGUGUACCGACCACUCGGGUUAAACUCGUUCAGUUCCACAAGUGUUGUCUUAACUGCGUUCUUCACUUCUUCUGCCCACUCUUUUCUCAGAUUCUUUAAGUUUCGCAUCGUCUUCAUCCACCACUUCCUGCACCAUCAUAACCAUGCAACAUGCACUAGAAUCAAGACAUCUAAUACGAGAGAGAGGAAAGUAACUGAACUGAACAUGAAACAGAACAAAUCUUCUUUUUAUUUUCCGGUCUCGACGCGUUUUAAUAGAUACCAUGAUGGAUCCUUGAGUGUUUUCUGCCAUUCUUAUGAAUAGGAAAGAAAAUACGUGUGGACAGCGAUUCUUAUGGGUGGGUGGUCCGUAAUCCACCCUAGUUACAAAACCAGACAAAACCGGACCGGAGACCCAUCACAUGAUUGGACCAAAAAUCUAAAAGAGGACUAAAUCAUCACGGUUUGUUUUGAACUACCAGAGACACUUUUUUUUUUACUUUUUAUUACAAAGCAUUAGUGUUUAAGGUUUUAUGUUUUAUGUUUGAACAAAAAAUGUUACUCUCAAAGAUGAUGGGCAUGUCGGCUCGUUCCUCUUUCAUGUUUCGAUGCUUCCCUACUCUAUUACCUAAAUUACAGACACAUAGUGGGUACAACCACGAAAGAGGUAUUUAAGAUCAGAAGUAUAGAAAACUACUAUAUGGAGGAAGUUAUAUCGAAGAGGAAGAGAUUAUAUAAAAGGGGGAGAUUUUAUUAAAACACUCAAAGGAUUACAAGACUCUAUUACUCUCUCAAAGUCUUUCUCACUUGCUUAGCUUGGUUCUAACACACCUCCAAGCUUCGUUAUUUAUAGUACAAGGCUUAGAGAAUAUUACAUAGAAUAUUCCUUAAGAUAUUUUCACUCUUAUCAUACAACCACACCCAUCUUAUCUUACACUCACAUCUUAUCUUAUCUUUAUUUAUAUUAUUUAUUAUUCCCCCUAUCUCCAAAAGAGAAGUGAUGUUCCCUUUAAUCGUUGUCGUCUUCUUCACUGUCAGAGAUCACUUCAGUCACGUAGAUUUUUUGUCAUGGGAUGUAACGUCUGAUUUUGAAUUUUUUGCCUUCGACUCUGUAGAUAGGAUGAUCUGGAUUUGUGUGAGGCCACGCAUAUUGAUCUUGAAAGCCUGCCAGUACUUGUCUUAUCUCUUCAGCGAAUCUCAUCGGGUACACGUCUCUGUUAUGAUAGUGUGAAGUAUGAGGACAAAAAAGCUUUAUGUCAAGGUCUGACACGUCUAAUCCAUUCAGUGCUGCUAUUGCCUCUACCCUUUGGUGAAAGUCGUUUUGGCUAAGGACAUCAUUAUUGUAGCUUUUCUGGACAUGUGCUUCAUACAGCUUCUUUAUUGUGACUCCAUUAUCUUCUUUGUUUUAGACUGUAGUAAUCUGGAAAGUGACUAGGAUGAAUAGCUCUUGUUGUGCACGGAUCUGUUCUUGCCACCACGUCACAUUGUUGAACAGUGUCAGCCACUUGUAAAGUAUCUUGUAAUGAUGUUUCCUUCUGGUGAAGAUGCACUUCGCCAAGUAUUGAAGCAGCUCCUUCUUGUGAACAAGGACUCCAAUAGUGUACAAGUCCGCCAUGUACCAAAGUACAAGAUACCCUUCUAUUGGGAAUCUUCCAUAGUGAACCGGGUUCAAGUUGAUGGUGGUGAGGAAUGGAUAUACCGGAUGAUAAGGUAGGCGAAAGAGUGGUCCUUGGUCAAGACCAUAUCUAUGGAUGUAGAGCUUCAAGAAACCAUGAAGUGUCUCGAUGCCUCUGUAGAUCAAAACAUUGUCCAGCAUCUUCUCUUGUAAACCUUGUGGCAUACUUGCGAUCAUACUCCUUAAGGUGUUUUCCGUUGGAUUUUCUGGACUCAAGGUGAGAAUCAUUGGGACGAUGGUUGAGAUUUGUCGUUGAGUUCUCGAUAGGAAAUCAGGGAGAAAGUUGUCUUUUCCUUUGAUAUGUUUCACUUCGAACUUCCAUUGUGAAAACCAGCUUGCCCACCUUAGUAGUUGUGCUUGUGGUAGGACCUUCUGCUUGAAUUGUAUCAUCUUAGGAAAUGAUGACAUGUCCAUCUCGAUGAGGAAAUGCUGGCCCACCAAGUGAAACUCGAACUUUUCUCUCCCUCUUUUUACUGCAAGUAUCUCCUUGUAGGUUGAAUGGUAGUGCUUUUCACUGUCCUUGAAAACUCCGCUUUUGUAACCACAAAUAUGUCUUUUCCCUUUCUCAUCUUCUUCCAAAAGGACUGCUCCCUAGUAAAAAUCACUUGCAUCCGUUUGUAGGAUUCAUCUGCCUUUUGAUGGAAUCUUUAAUGCUGGCAAGGUCUUCGAAAUUCGUUUUAGCUCUCUUACUACUUCUGUACAUUUUUUAUCCCAAGUAGGGGCAUUUUUCUUGAGUUGAUCAGAGAGUAUCGAUCUGUGCUUCGCCAGGCCAUGGAUGAAUUCCGACAUGUAAUUGACAAUGCCAAGGAAUUGUUGGACUUGCUUGAAAGAGAGGUUUUCGUCAGGGAACUCAUCGAGUUGUGUUGCAAUAUGAGGCUGAAGAUGAUAUUCUCCUUGAGAGAUGUGCAUACCCAGAAAGUCUAUCUAAGUUUCUCCAAUCGCCAUUUUCUUUUUAGAAAGCAUGACUCCAUAUUGUUGCACAAUGUUGUGAAAUUUCGCCAGCAGUGCUGUAUGGGAAUCAAUGUCUGGAGAGAAUAGUAGAAUAUCGUCGAUGUAGACCAGUGCGUUUGGGAGGAUUGGCUCAAAUAUCUUGAUUAUGGCUUUUUGAAAUAAUGAAGGUGUAAUCUUUAAUCCAAACAGCAUGACCUUCUAGUGGUAAUGUCUAUCUGGUAUGCAGAAGCCCGUCUUUGGUCUAUCCUCUGGUUUGAUUCCAAGUUGCCAAAAACCUGCUUUCAGGUCGAAUUUGGAGAAGACUUGUGCUUGAGGAAGUCUUUGGAAUAUGACUUCUCUCUUUGGUAGGGGAAACUUAUCGUCUACAAGGAAAUGGUUUAGCGGUUGGUAGUUAAUGACUAGCCUUAGUUUUCCUCGCACUUGUUCAACUCUUUUGUUGACAUAGAAAGCUUCACAUGCCCAUGGUGAGGUGGUCUUCUCAAUGAGGUCUUCUCUUUGGAGUUGGUCAACUUCUUCAAGAGCCAGAUUAUAAUGGUAUGGAUUCAUUCCCGGAUGGCUUGCUUUGGUUGGAUUGACAUCUUCAUUUUUCUUGAAAGGUAGUGAUAUAAAGAAGUCCGGGUUCUUCCAUAACGGUGAUGAACACUUUGUGAGGAACUCCAAAUGUGAGGCAACGCAAGAAGUUUUGAUGAUUUCGUCUUUGACGGGAUUGAGAAUCUCCAUAGGGUAAAGAUGAGAGACAGUAGUCAAUGGUAGUAGAUGAUUCUUGUGUUUAAGCCCUUUGGGAUACCAAGAUACUCUUUUGAGGCCAUGAAGGACAUCAAACCCAAGUAUCAAGUCUUUUCCAGGAAGUUCAGACCCGUAUACCUUAGAUUUGAUCAUGUAUCCCGGAAAGAGUUGGAUAUAGAUAGGCUUGCUGGUUAAGGAGAUGUGGAAAAUCUGACCAUUAGCCGCCUUGAAAGCCACCGAACAGGGAUUCCAGUGAGAAGCUGGAAGUAUGUCUGGCUUGAUGAUGGACGAUGCUGCUCCCGUGUCCAUAUAAGCUAUGACUGAGAUUGGUUUGUCAUCUUUGGUCGGGAAGAUGUAGAUUUUGGCGUUGGGUGAUGGUUGGGAUAUGUACGCCAAUUCUUCCUUCUUUGGUUCUUCAACCUUGUAGGCAUCAAAUGUGUAGAGGUCAAAUAGCAUGAAUUGGUCAUCUCCGUCUUCUUCUUCUUCAGUGCUUGAUCCAUCUGAAGAGUCUUCAUCUUGUUCUAUACCCAUAGCUAGAAUUAUGUUGUCUUAUGGUUCAUCGUCAAGAGAGAAAAUGGAUUCAAUGUCGGAGUCAUCGAUAUCUUCGAUUUGGGCCAAGUAUCCGAGUAGAUUAUCUCUUUUCUUCUUGUUUGGGCAUUGUUUUGCGUAAUGACCUUUCUUCUUGUAGAUGUAACAUCUAUCUGAUUUCUUGAAACCUCUUUGUGACUUUUUCCUGAAGAACUUCCACUUAUUUCUUCCUGACAGUUAAGGAUACUUCUUGUGCCAUUUCUUCUUGAAUCUUCUUUCUUUUCUGUAACUUGUUGUGCAUCCACAAUUCUUUUGUUUGCAUUUAAUGGAGAGAUCUGGACGAUCACAUGCUCUUCCAAGGAGUUUUCCUUCUUCUUGUAUUUGCUUUAAAAACUUUUAGUGAUUGCAUAACUUCUCUAGAGCUGCAAGAGAUGUCUAGAAUAUUUCUCCUAAAGAGGCUUGAGCAAGAUUUGCAUUCUUGAAAGAAAGCAUCCUAGAAGUCUCGUUUCCAAGUGGUUCUGGAAGUGAGUUUAAGUAUGAUUGCUUAAGAUUGACGUCAUCUAUCCCGUUUAGGGCGUAGAACCUUUUAGACAUCCUCCCAUAGUGCUUUUCUAGAUCUCUUCGUUUGAAAGAACAACACUUCAUGCUGAGAUAUUCUUCCCUUGCCUGGUCCGUGUAGUGAUUCCAUGCUCCAAGAAACUCAUUGUGGAUGUGUCCGACUAAUGCAUCAAUUGAAGGAGUUUGACGUAUUUGCAACUGUCGGUACUCACCAAGGCUUAUCCACCAUUGUCUGAGUCGUCCUUGGAAUUUGGAGACUAAUUUGUCAAUGACCGUAGGGAGGGUGGCUCCUAGGUGGAGUAAAUGUUCUGUAAGCCAAGCAUGCAUCUCAUAGAUCUUGUCUCGCCAUUUGGAUGAAGGAAUUUCAUCAAAAGAGAAACCAUGAUGUGGUUCAGCAUCAAACCUUGGAUUCCACUCUGGUGGAGGCUUCUUAUGUUCUCUCCCUUCUUCGUAUAUGUUCCCAUCAUCGCUGACCAUGUCAUUUUCUUCUACAGUUGGUUCUACCAUCAUGAAAUGUGGGAUUAGUACUUCGUCCUCUGCUUCUUCUUUUAUCUUUCCAGAUCUUCUUGGUUUGACCUUGCGCUCUAAACUUGUCUCUUGUUUAGCAACCUUCUCAAGGAAAGUAGAAAUUAGAUUGGCGUGUUCUACCAUAAAUUGAUCUUCACUUCUUUCAGGCGGGUUUUGGGACUUUGAAGUACUUGGAACAUAUUCCUUUUCUUUUUCUGUUGAUUGUUUCCUCUUUGUGACUUGUUUUUCUGUAGCAACUCGUGUUGGUAGGAAGGAGGAUGAGCAAAAAACACUUGGGUCUUGGGAAAAAGAUAAAUGUUGUGAUUGGGCCGUAUGAGGUGGAGUAUAAACAGGAUAAGGUGUAAAAAGGUCAUAUGGCAUUGGCUGGGGUUUUGGCUGAUUUUGUAAGGAAUUUAGUUGGGCUCUGAGGGAUUUUAGUUCUGACUCCUUUUGGUACAUGAGGAGUGAGUUUAUGGAAACAGUAAUGGCUAGAUGAAGGAGUUCUUGGUGUAGAGAAGAAAUUCUCCUGAUUAUAUCUUUGAUGGAGAGGUCUAUGAAGGUUACCUUUUUGUCAAUUUGGCUUAGUAGGUGAUUUUGAGUUGCCGCAUUUUCUGAUUGCCAAUUUAGCAUUGCUUCUGCUGCGCUGAUUUGCUUUAUUGAAUCAUCUGGAUUUUUUAUGUUCGGGGUUCUGAUCUUCCACGAGUGCUUGAUGUUGUUUUCUUCAAAAUCUUGUGAUGGGAAUGAUGGUGCUUGAUCUGAUGGAGGACCACACAUGUAGCUCAACCGAACUUCUUGUAUAUCUGGAGUUGCAUGGGUCAAAAUAUUACUUGGGUAUAAUACAUUGUAUUCAAAGUUUCUUCCGCUCGGUUCUCCAAGUAGGCCGACUUGCGGGUCUCCCGACUCAUAACGCUCUUUGAGAAUCUGUUGAGAAGACUUAUUCUUUCUUCGUCUUGGUGUGUCUUCUUCAUCAGAACUGUUUAUUAAGCACUUUUCACAAUCACAAACAUCAAAGAAAUUUGUGACUUGUAUCAUCAGCAAAUGAGUAGACAGGAUCUCCGAGUGAAUCAAACGACUCGAUUGGAAUGUCAGGUAGUUGCUUGUAUAGUUUCUCAUCAAAAUUAUCGUCUGUUGGAGAGAUCGUAUUGAUUUCUGUGCAGAAAGUUGUUGGUCUUGGCUUUUCCUCUUGUUGCUUAAAGGCAAUCUCUACGGCUCCGUCUUUUCUUCUGUGAAUAGAGGAAUCCACCGAUUGUAUUGGAAUACUUCUAUCAUGGAGUUUCUCAUAGUUCGUCACCCAUGAUUUAGGAAGUAACUUGACCAGUUCUUCUCUAGGGAUUUUUCUUGGAAUAUGUAUGCAUGAAGGGCUAUGUUGUGAUUCCAGCUGAAUGAGCAGAGCAUCCUCUGUAUCUCUAGAAAGGCUAAGAUCCAUAGCAUGGUUUUGGACUCGGUACGCCAUCUGAUGGUGGAGUGUCGCCGCAUAAGUAUUUCCGACUUGUGGAGCACCUGUGAUUUGGAGUUGGAUCUGCAUAUUCUUGUAGAUUUGGGGAUCUUCAAGCGCCACAUUGAAGUUUGGGAAUAGUGUGACAAAGAUAGUACCCCCCUCGGAUACUUUCAGGUAAUCUCCACACUUUGUUCCUCUUAAGCCUAUUCUCGAGAUUGAUGGUUUAGGGCUUUAGGAGAAAAGGAAUUUGGAAAAGAAAAAUGUGGCUUCUUUCUGCUCUAAUGGUUUUGACCCAAACAUAUGUUUUGAUCCACGUAUUUUCUGGGCUGUGCGGAUGCUGGAUGAUCCAAAACUCAUAAGAAUACUGAACAUUCCAAAGUAGAAAUCCGAUACUGAGUGUGCCCUUAUGUGGUAUGAGCAGAAAGUUGAUCAUCAAUUUGUUUGUUCAGUCCUCGAGAUAGAAGUUAACAUAAAUGUCAAGAUCCAGUUUUUCAAGUGGGCGGCUAAAGUAAGACACUUUAAUCAUGAUAUCUCCACCUACGUGACAUUAAUACGUUGCCUUGAAGAAGCUAGGCUUUAUGGUGAAAUACUGAAAUAUAUGCAACGAUGGAAGAGGUGAUCCGUAGCCCACAUGUUGGAUUUAGCCCAGCGGUACUUGAUAACAUGGGAUUUUCGCCCAUAUUUGUUAUUGUUUUCUUAUGUUUUAGGGAGCAUUUGGAGUGAUUUCAGAGCUAAGAGGGAGUUAUUCAAGUAUUUAUGGAGCCAAGAAGGUUUUAAGAGUUUUUGAGCUUUAAAGACCAAAAGGCGAUCAAAACCCGUUUCAAGACAGUUUCUGUACGUCAAAAGUAUGGCAUCCGUUAGAGGUCUUCCCGGUUACUAAAUCAAGAGAUCUUGGUGGCUAUGGAAAUCUAGAAGAGUCAAGAUUCGUCUCGAAGUGGAAUCAGAGCUUUUCAUUGAUCCGUUAAGAAGUUAUGACCAGAAGAGUGAAGACAUGUCCAGACCGGCCAGAAGCUAUGCAACCGUUCCGGAGCUUCUAGACCGCACCGGUCACAAGGGCCGAGCCCGGGCUGCCUCCUAAUCCCCACCCCGGUCACUAAUGCCUCUACCCUGUCCAGAGACGCAAGUUUCACUUAACCUAAUCUACGGGAAAAGACGCUUUUACCCCUAGACCUAACCCUUGGUUCUCGAAACCUAUAAAUACAUGUUGAAAGCCCUAAACCUAGUGUGCCUUCACCCGUGCCUCAAAGCUUUCUCUGCCCCCGCCGAAGAGCUGCAGCCGUCGUCCAUUGAAGCUUUGAAGAAUCACCAAAUCUCACUCUCUUUGCUCUUGCUUUCUCUAAGAUCUAUUAAGGUGAAGUCUUACCUCUUGUAUUCUACAUUCAAAGAAGUAAUCUCUAAACCCUAUUCAGUUCUUAUCCCUUUCUUUCUUAUGAGUUUAUCAAACCUUACUUUGAUGAUCUCUUUAACCAUAGAGUAGUUUUCUAGUUGGGUUUAAAGGGUUAAUCAAAGGGGGGACAUGAUCGAUCGUUUAAGUGGCGAUACUUAGGGUUUUCUUUG
RNAcentral lists this long non-coding RNA (117128 nucleotides) under Arabidopsis lyrata. RNAcentral's name for it is "long non-coding RNA (ALYR_LNC001330)". The record is from RNAcentral. Lineage: Eukaryota; Viridiplantae; Streptophyta; Magnoliopsida; Brassicales; Brassicaceae.